RNAcentral lists this long non-coding RNA (105862 nucleotides) under Eucalyptus grandis. RNAcentral describes it as "long non-coding RNA (EGRA_LNC000256)". Lineage: Eukaryota; Viridiplantae; Streptophyta; Magnoliopsida; Myrtales; Myrtaceae. The record is from RNAcentral.
UGGCCUGGAGAGGAUUAAGGCCUUCUAUGGAAGGCAUGCCAAAAAAUAAAUGAGCCGGUCCAUGCUGGCUCCACAAAGGGCUGAGAUCAUCAACUGCUCGUUGGAUAUCGAGAUGCCUGUGUGGCCACGUCAAAGAUCUUUGCAAUGUGUGAAACAAGAUAAGUAAAUCCAUAAGAAAGCUAAUUAUCCGGGCAUUUGCCCGGAAGCAGGGGAUGGAGGAGGAGGCAACCGACCUGACUGUUGAUUCAAUCCGAAACCUCCGUAGCAUUAGCUUUGGCUUGAAUAAAAAACUUCGAUUAAGGGCUUCUUAUUUUGCUGCUCGUGCCCGGAAGCAGGGGAUGGAGGAGGAGGAAAUCAACCUGACUGUUGAUUCGAUCCGAAAGCUCCGAUGCGUUGGCUUUGGCUUGAAUAAAAAACUUCGAUUAAGGGCUUCCUAUUUUGCUGCUCGGCAAAAUGUUAAGCAGCAGUGUCAUUAGGUGAUCAACAACUACCUGUUGUCGGUCUCAUGUUGUCUUGUGCUUGUACUUUAAUUCUCUUUAGAAAUAAAGAUGUUAUGGCAUUAGAUAUGAACGUUCCGAUUUCAUCGCCUCGAUUCGCCGAUAAUUUCUAUUGGCGAAGCUAAUUACAUCGAGGGAAACUCCUAGGGAGCUCAUGAGGAUAUCUCUACUCGAACGAAAACAUAAAAACUCCCUCGAAAUUUGUUGACAUGUAUUCUCGCCUGCGUGCAUGUUUCUGCACGUCAUGCCUAGAAAAUUCUACACGAAGUAAAUUAGCCUUGUUGUCCAAAGGUACCUUUCCAUCAAACUUAAUCGCCCUUGAGGCCUUGGUGACGAGGGCGAGCCCUGCUAGCUCACCGGAUAUGGCAGCGGGUCGGCAAGCAGUGGUGGACGGCAUCAGGUGGUAGCAUUGCAGCGGUAGUCUUGCGUGGCCAGGUUUCCUCGGCUUGGCCAAAAGAGGACUCUCUCUCUCCCUCUCUCUUGUUCCCUUGCUUGAACCCCCUCACUUGCUAGAUCCGGCGAGCUGGCGAGGCUUGCCCUCGCCGGCCAUGGGCAAAGCUUAACCCUCGCUAGAUCCGGCGAAGGCGACCCUCGCCGCCUAGGCCAGAUCCAAUGACUGGCUGGAAAAAGAAGAUGAGAAGAAAAAAAUAAAGAAUAAAGAAUAAAGAAUAAAGAAUAAAAAAUAAAAAUAAAAUUUUUAAAAAUAUUAUUAAAAAUUGUCUACAUCAGUGUCAAUCAUGCCACGUCAGCCGACUAGCGUCCAGUCAAAAAUCUGGCCAAAAUAUUAAAAUUGAUCAGAAAGGACUGAAUUGGCACAACCUAAAAAGAUUUAGGAUUAAAUCGGCACAAAGAUAAAAUAUUUAUGACUUUUUUGACACUUUUCCCAUGUUUUGCUAUCCUUAUGUUUGUUUGUUGUCCAGGGGUUUAUUUAAUUUGUUUCCGCAUACAUUUAAUCGAAAAAUAAAAAGAAUAGGUCGGCGACAUGCUUUGGGAUGUUGCAUUAUGUGCGCAUACCCAGGUGGGCGUGACAUCUCGACAUGAUAACUCCCAAAUCUAUCUCCCAAGCAAUCCAUAUUGUAAAAAUCCCACGCAAUUCACAAGUUCUUUCACUAGGUACGAAAAGAUAAAAUACAAUAAAAAUACGGAGAAUAAAUAAUUUAACAGAGCAUCUUAUAAAAUUUUUAAUAUAUAUAUUGUAUUCAUCGGGAAUUGUGAUUGAUUCAAUCCCGUCCAGUUUCGGGCAAUUCUCGAUUCUUUUGCAUACCCCUACACCACUUGAUCCACACCCAAUUGCAUGCAAAUGGUGAAAAUACACUAAGUUUACAAUGGAACUACCGUCACACUAUUAAAUAACGCAAGAACUCGAAGAACGACAGUUUCGAAGGGAAGGUACGUGCGUGCAAUAGCGAAAUCUAAUUACCAAACCGAGAGAAGGAAAACGAUAUUUUUACUGGGGAAAUGCCUCGAUAAUGGAAGGCAGGGCUUGGAUCUUGAUGAUGUUGUGGCGAGGGAAGCCGCCCUGUUCCAGCAGCAGCUUCCACUCAGACUCCGUCCUCUCCUUCCCUCCCGACUGGUGAGCCAUCAUGAGCAGGUCGAACGUCACUCCGACGUCCUCGAACAGGCCACCGCUGCCCUCCCGGUCGAGAAGGACCAGGUCGACCAUUAUGAGCUUCCCAGGUUUCUGAUCCGACGAUGCUAUGGCUUUCCUGCAAUUCUUCAGUAUCUUCACGCAGUCUUCGUCUCCCCAGUCGUGUAGAACCCACUGUGUUUCAGUGCAUGGCCACAGGAAUUAUAUAUGCUUAUAUAAUCAUAAUGGUUCGAAAACUCCUCAACUUGUACAACAGCCAAUUUGACUUUAAACUUUUCGAUUUUUUCAUAUUAAUUUUAAACUUUUCAACAAUUUUUCGAUGUUUUUAUUCUGGCUAUUAAUUUUUACCCUUGUUCGCAUAUGAAUUUUGAUAGUUUGAAAUAUUUAAUCAAACAAAAAAGUUUACUAAUUUAGGUAGAGACUAAAGGUUUGAUCAUCCCUAUUUUUUUUAUUUUUUUAUUUAAGCAUGAGUUUUUAAAAUGUUUUGAUUCUACCAACUCAAGAUAUAGCCUUGAAGACAUUAUCCGUAGUUUGGACAACUGAUGAGACAAUUAUUGUGGUGGUCAUCCUCAAUAGGUGAUCGUCAUGAUGGUGUUUGCCAUGUUGAUAGACGCGCUAGUGAAUAGAGGUCGCCGUUAAUGUAUAAAUACCAUGACGCCCAUUGCUAGAAGAACUUCGCAUGACUUAAAUGCGUUAUACUAUGCCUCAUUUACGUGCAAUCUCCCUCUAGUAGGCAUAAGCUUAUGGAUUAGAGAUCCAAAUGCAAUAUAAGAGCAUAGGUCGAUAGUUUAGAUCCUGACAUUCCAAUUGGCUCACACAAAAUAGAAGUCACGCCCAUUUCACUAUUGGUGGGCUGAAUCAAAUGUGUAUAAGGGAGGGACUUACCCACAAGGGGAACCAUCAUGAAUUAUAUUAACAAUUGUGGCAUGAGGCAACCAUUCAAUAAGAGUGACCACACCCGUGGCAAGGCGGGGAACUACCGCUAUUUGCUUAACCAUCAGACACCGGUGUCACUACGGUCAGCCGCACACAAUUCCAAAUUUUUUUUUAAUUUUAAUUUUAAUUUUUUUGACGUUGUUAAGGAAGUUUUUGAGUAAUUUAUUUAUGUAACUAUACGCAAAAUGCAUGCAGCCACACCUUGAGAAACACCGCAUCAGCCUUGGGAAUGGCCUCGAACAUGCUGCCUCCCACGUGCUCCACACCGUCGUGAGCCGGCGCCGUGGCCACGACGUGCAGCAAGUCGAAGUUGAUCCCCCGAAUAUGAGGAUAUGCCCUGACGAUCUCGGCGAUCACGCCCCCGGUCCCGCCUCCCACAUCCACUACCGACCCCACGAGGCUGAACCCGUCCCCGUACGCCUCCAGGACGGCCUUCAUUAUGAUCUUGGCCGUGCACGCCAUGGCCUCGUUGAACAUCUUGUUGAACUCGGGGUUGUCCCCGGCGAACUCCCACAUCUUCACCCCGUGCGCCUUCUGGAACGCGAUCCCGCCUUCCCUCACGCACUGGCCGAGGCAGUGCCACGGCGCAAGCUGGAGCGGGUGGUUCUCCAUAAUGACCAUCGGGACGAGGUUCAGCUCCGAGUCCCGGACCAGCCAGCGGGACGAGUCGGUGAGGCCGUAGAGUGGGUCCCCGCUGUCGGACGGGUGGUGGACGGAGAAGAUGUUGCGGCGGACGAGGAGGCGCAUGACGCGGGAGAGGUAGGGGAGGUCGGGGGAAGGGGAGCCCUCGAUCGACCGGGCUAUCUGGGCCAAGGUGACCGGGCGGCCGCCGUGGGAAUGGAUGAUGUCGGCUAUGCGGAGCUCGACUGCGCAGUUGAGGACCAUUGAGUCCGCGAAGCUGAGCAUGUAACGCCAUAUCUCGGCUUGGCCUCGUAGCAUUGCAGCUGCAUCUCCUUCCUUCGCUCCUUCCAUGGUCUCUCUCUCCGUGAACUUUGCCUAUCGGGAGAAAGGUGGAAGAUUGGAUGAAAGCGAGCAUUGUUUCGUGGCAGUACUUAUAGGAAGAGUCGAGAGGAGUUUCCACGUGUAAAUCUUAAUUCAGGUGACAUUAUUGGGGAGUGUCGCGACCUAACCCUUAUCGUGUGUGGCGACCUAACCCCUCUUGUGGGAGGCAAAUUUUGUUAAAUUUAGGGGUAUUGUCAAUUUCGGGCCAACGGUCUUCCAUUGCCUCAGGCUCUCACAAACUUAUAUUUUACGCGACAUUGAGGGUUCAAAUUUUAAAUUAAUUAAGCCUAUGUAAAUUUUGAUUAAGAAAUUGCCACUAAUCUCUUUGGAUUUAGUUAGAAACCUGUUGACACCUCAUUUAAUUUUAGAAAAUAGAAUUAGAAGAUAAUUUUUGAUUAAGAGAGAAAUUUUGAAAAAAAUUUUAAAUUCAAAAACUCAACCAUAGGAUAUUGGAGCCGCUUUGUUGUCGAGAGGUCGAGCGAAAAUUUUUCACGUUAUAAAUAGGGGCUUCUCUUCAUCUUUCAAGGUGGAAAAAUAGAAAAUUGAAAGAGAAAGAGAAAGUGUGGGGGGGGCUUCUCGGGGUUCGAAAGAAGUGAAAAGAAUGAAAGGUUUUUCAUGGCUUUUUCGUUUAUGCCUUUGAAGAAAAUUUGCUGAAAGAAAAGUCAGAAGAAGUGUGCAGAGAGAAAACAGAGGGGAAGUGACGUGAGAGAGACAGGUGAGAGAGAGAAAAAAAAGAAUACACGAGAGUGGAAGAAAGAGAGAAAGGGGUUCGGUUCUUGAAGGAAAAAAGGGAAAAGUCAGCGGAACUUAAGCUUCUGCAGAAAGAGACAGGGACAGGUGAGAGGAAGAGGGUGACGUGAGAGCAGAAGAAGAAAAGUCAAAAGAAAAGAAGCUGCAGAAAAUGCAGAGAGAGACAGAAGGAGGAGACAUGAAAAUGACGUGAGAGAAAGAGGACGUGCAGCAGUGGAAAAGAAGAAACAAAAAGCAAAAAGAAAAGCAGAGCAGAGAACUGUUCAUCUUCUCCAUUACGCCGACCGUCGCGAGGCACCGCCUGCUGCUUGGCCACCGCACCGUGCCCCGCCGCACCUCUGCACCCGCGAGCUUGCCCCAACGCCGUUGAUCCAGCACCUCCGCUGCAACCCCGAGCAGCCAAGGUCCCUGCAUCUUCCCAACCCACGCUGCUUGCCGCCCCGAAGCCAGCAGCGACCGCCGCGCCGCCCUGAGUCCCCGACACCGGAGCUCUGCUGCUCCCGAUCCGUGCAAUCUGACGCCCUGCUGCUCCACCGACGCCUUCACUCGCCGGUCACUGCUCGAUCUGCAACAGCAGUGACCCAACGACCCUGCAACUUCGUUUUCAGCCGAGAUCCGACGACACCGGAGCCCUGCUGCUCCCGAUCCGCGCAACUCGACCCGGCAACCUCCAAGUCUCUUUGCCGGCCACCUCCGCCACCAACGCCAGAGAAGCUGGUCCCGCUUAGCCUUGCUGCUCUGCCCCGACACCUGCAGCGCCUCCGCCGGAGCCCGAUCCGCUCAGACCCUCCACCCAGAUCUGCUCGAGCACCAGCGGCACCCCCCUCCAGACGCCGAUCAAGCUGCCGGACUCCACACCGUCACGAAGACCCGCCUCUGCAGAUCCCACGACGGCCCCGCUUCCGAUCAGGACCUGCACCUGGAGUUUCCCGGCCCGCGACGCCCUUCGCCGAUGGUCCACGCCGACACCCGCGACGCCCCCGUUGCCAUCUUUCGCCCGGCGCUCGACCUCCGAAUUGCCGGAUCUCGCCGGAGCUCCGCACCUCCGCAACCCCCGAUCGCCGGCUCCACGUUCGCUGCCCGCGUCUGCAACCGACCGUUGGCUCCUCGGUGACUAGCCGCACGAGCUGCCGAGCUUCACUUUUGGAAGCAAAGGGAAAACAAAAGAAAAAAAAAAGAAAAGAAAAAGAGAAAAGCAAAUUAGUUAGUUUGUUUUUCUUUAUUUUAUUUAUUUUGUUAUUACUGUUCAAUUUAGAAUAUUGAGAUGUGCUUUUUUUUUUAUAAAUCUCGUAGGCAUUAACUACAGGUAUUUUAUCCUAAAUUAUUGUAAUUAUUAAUUUAACCCGUAAGACGUUGGGUCAUUUUUUUAAUUACUUUAAUUUUUAGGAAUUUUGAUAGCAUUUCAAUUGUUAAAUCAUUAUAGAGUUAAAAUAAUUGUUAAUUUAAUCUGUGAGACGACGGAUUAUUUUUUCGGUUAUUUUAAUUCUUAUAUUCAUUCUUUUAAAAUAAUUACUUGUUUGGAAAGAUUAAAAAGAUAAAAAAAAUCAAAAAGUGCAUAAAAAUCUAAAUAUUGCAUUGGAGCAUUUAGGUUUAGUAAAUUAGGACUGUAUUUUUAGGGUUAGUAAAUUAGAAUUGCAUUUAUAGAAUUAUAAUUUUUAGAUUAUACUUUUAGAUGGGUGAUUUUUGUUAGGGCUAAUUUUAAAUAAUGUUGGCAUGUCUUGAUUUCUUAUAUAGCUUUUAAGAUAAGAUAUAGUUUAAGUUAAAUUUAUUCCUAAAAUAAAUUAGAAUAUUAUUCACUUUAGAUAGUUUAAUUAUUCUUUAUUAUUAAUUUCGAAUUUCAAUAAAAAAAACAAAUCCAAAAAAUAUUAGGUACAUACUAGUUAAUUUGCAUAAUAGGUUUAAUUAGAAUUUGUUUAUUAGUAAAAUAUUGUUAUAUCUGGAACUUAGGUACUUAGGUCCAUGCACAUUUCAUAUUAAAGCAACACACCUAGAUAUUUUUAGAUUAAGUCAAUUUUCAUUUAAUAAAACAAAAGGAGGAACAAAAAAUGUUAUGUGUGCCACAUGAGUUAUAGUUUUUUUUUUAAUAAAAAAGAAAAUGCUAAAAGAUGAUCAUUGCACCAUUAAGUUGCUUUCUUUUCAAUAAAAAACAUUAUGUCAUUAAAAAAUUAAAAAAAGAUCAUUUCCUUGGUUAGUUAAUAGGUUAAUUCAUAAUUAAUCUCAUAUCAUCAUUAUUUAGCAUAGGUUGCAUAUAUGCAUUAAAAAUGAAUCAUCAUUAAAAUAAAAUCAUAAAAGAGCAUGCAUGUAGAAAUACCAUGUCAUUCAUCCCAUAUCAUAUAGCACAUGCCAAUUUAUGAUUAUAAAAAUUAGAUUGCAUACAUAUAAUGAUAAGUUUAAGUUAUACCAUAUGAAUUGCAUCUCGCAUGUCAUUAAAAUAAAUCCAUACAUAUUAAAUUUAGAUUAAGAUUGCAUAUAAUUAACAUUUUUUUUUAAAAAGGAAAAAAGAAAAAUUAGGUGUCUUGUCAUUUAGAAAUCAUGUUUAUGGCAUGCAUUUUUAUUAGCAUUUUUCAUUGAAUGUUAUUUUAUUGAUUGUGUACCCGCAUGACCACCAUUUGCAUGUUAGUAGUUUAGGUUAAAAUUAAUUAACAUUGUCUGCUAAAUAUUUUUGAAAGUAAAAUAAAUGGUACCGAAAGGGCGUUAGACUAAUCUAGCGUAAUCAUGUCUCCGGACUUAUUGAAUCUCUGGUUCGUAAAAAUAAAGUAUUCUACUUUACCAAAAAAAAAAAAGUAUUCUCUCAUACUUUAUUUGGGUUUUUAAUCAAUCCUAAUUGAUUAGUGGUGGCUCCAAAUUGAAUAGAAUUGCAUGUUUAAAUAGAUUAAUUUCUAUCAAGUCGCGAUUGGUAGGACUUGGGAGGGUCCGUGCCAAGUGUUCAGACUUAGUAAUCCAUUAACUUAAACUUUAGGAUUGCCCUGAAAUUUUAGGUCGCGACAGAAACCCAAUAAGAUACAAGAGGAUAUUCAACCAAAGAAUUAGAACUCGGGGACUUCAUUACGUUAGCCUUGGCUCAUGCAUUUUUGAUACCUAGCCUAAUUAUGUACUAACUAAUACCAUAGUAGUCUAUCAAGAAAAAUCUAAGCUUUGUCAUAACCAUUCUAAAACAAGAAAGUAACAUCCAAUAUUGAAAAGUGCAAUCAAUUAUAAUCAUAAUAGAAAGUAUGCAAGCAUCCUAAAUUGUCCUUGAAAAAGAAAAUAAAACAAAGCAAAACAAAAAUCCUCAUCAUAAUGCCUAAAGGCUUGUCCAAUUCUUGGGCCUUAAUAUUUUGGGUUAAUAUUUUGAAAAACCCCAAAUUGGUAUAUGUGUGACAAAUUUACCAAAAACUAUUUUUUUAACUAUGAAAAUCCCUAAACUGGUACACAUGUAUUUUUUUUACUAUGAAAAACCUUAAACUGGUAUACUUGUGAUGAAUUUAUCCAAAACUAGGGGUGUGCAAAAUACCCAGGAACCGCCCAGACUGCCUAGAACCAGACCGGAACCGCCUGGAAUCGGCAAUUCUUGAGGGAACUGGUCCGGUUCCCGGUUCCAUGGGCGGAUCCGCCUACCCACCCACUUGGAUUAGACCGAAACCUUUUUAAUAUUAAAAGAAAAAAUUACUAAAAGAAACUCUAGAUCUCAUCUCACUCCCUUCUAGAGGUGUGCAAAAUACCCGGGAACCGCCCAGACCGUAUUUGUAAAUUCGAUGCGUUUACUUCUCCCGCCGUUCGCAUCUCCACGUACUUAAAUUUGGUUUUUUUUUUCUUUGGCUUGCUUUGAUGCCACGUAGUCGUUUUAUGUUGAAAACCAAAAUUGUUUCGCGUCAAGAUCAGUUCCAUGGAUUCACCCGGGAACCGGACCGCCGGUCCAGUCCGGUUCCUAGGUGAAUCCAUGCAACAAACUGGUGGAUUCCGGUUCCAAUUUUUCGGAAUCGGUCCUUAGUGGGCGGUUCCUGGUUCUAGGUUGGGAAUCGCCCGCCCGAACCAUCUACACCCCUACCCCAAACUAUUUUUUGAUCAUGAAAAAAACUGAUACACUUGUGACAAAUUUACCAUGAUCGAUCAUAAAAAACCAUAAACUGGUAUAUUUAUGACCAAUUUACCCAAACUAAUUUAUUUAAUCACCAAAGAUCAAAUUGAUACAUUUGUAACAAAUAUACCUCAUGUUAAAUUGGAUUAAUAAAAAAAAAAUCACAAAAAUCGUAAACCGUGACAAAUAGAGAGUAAAAUUCCAAAUUGAUAUACUAAUCAGAGGGGAGGUCAGCGGUGGUUUAGAGCGGACCGCGUCGGUGAAAAUACGGUUUCUUGUUUAAUUUGUAUGUUCCAUCAUCUUGAGAUUAUGGGCAAUAAGGUGUAUACAAUUUCUACUUUUCCCCCUAAUUUGGUGAAAAUACGGUUUCUUGUUUCUCUCUUUUCUUCUUCUUCUUUCUUUUUUGUUUUUUUUGUUUUAGACAAGUAUGUGAUGGGAGAAAAUUCUCAAAAUGUGAGUAACAUGAAAGAUUAAGAUAUUAUUUCCCUGCAUCCAUUAAUUUACAAAUAUUUCGAAAGGGGUUCGUUGCUUUAAUAAUAGAUUAUGCUUUUUAUUUGAUUAAGUUGACAUUCCCAACCAAGUCCAAAGCAUCGGAAGACGUUCGGAGCUUACUCGCUCUAUAUUUUUUCUUAGGUCAAUUUUGGGUCACUAUGGUUUAAUUCUCUAGUACAUGUACACAUGUGAAACGAACCAACCACGUGGAGUCACGUGUUUCGUCGUCCGACGUGGUUUGCCCUUGUCCACAUCUCGACCUGCCCAUUAUUUAUAUGCACACCGUCGAAGUUUCCUCCAAAAACACCACAUGAAACACUAGCAAGAACUUUUCUAGACAUUUGCUGAUCAAACCACGCCCUCGAUCGAUCAUCGAUCCUGAAAAUGACGGUACUAAUGCAGAACAAGAUCAGGAUCAAGACUGAGUAGACAUUCCGAGGUAACAGCAGGCUCGAGGCGGUGGUGACGACCACGGUCCACGGUGUCCUCGACCGCGUGAUGGAGAAACUCGACAGGGACGACUGCAUAGCCGUCAUCCCCCUCGGCCAGGGCAACCCCUCGGUAUUCCCCAACUUCUGGACAGCGCGCAUUGCGAAGAAUGCUGUCGUCGACGCGGUCCGGUUGAGUUCAACUGUUACGCCCUCACCAUCGGCAUUCUUCCCUUUAGGAGGUGAUACUAAGGCAUGCCCUAGAAGGAUGAUGAUUUUAUUAUCCGUUGUGAGCAACAUUCAUCAUCCACCAACACACAUGCAAAAAUCGGUUCUAACCUUAAAACUAGUUUUGGAAAUGGCCAGCAUUAAUUUAAUUAGUAAGCUAAGGCAAACUCGAGGUUUGAAAAUUUCAAUAGGGCCAUUGCCGAUCAUCUCUCGCAUGACCUCCCUUAAAAACCAUCACCGGACGAUGUCUACCUGACGAUGGGAGGCACGCAAGCCAUCGAAAUCACAGUGACGGCUCGCGCUCGCCCCGGUGCCAACAUUCUGCUUUCGAGGCCCGGACACCCAUGCUAUGUCGCACACGCGGCGCUCUGUGGCCUCAAGGUGAGGUACUUCGACCUCCUCCUCGACAAGGGUUGGGAGGUUGGUCUAGAGUGCGUGGAGGAUCUUGCGGACGUAAACACCAUCACAACGAUGGUCAUCAAUCCCGGGAAUCCUUACCGAACUGUCUUCAUUAUCGGGAGAGCAAACCUAACCCUGAUUUUAGAGAUCCUUUAAGAUGAUAAUCAUCAGUUCAUCACAACCAUUAAUUCCUAACAUAAACAAUCCUCUCUUUUAAGGAAAACGGGCGAUGAUUUCUGGAGCUGAACUUAAGUACUAUGUCCGAUGGAGUGUUUGAGUAGGUGAUACCGUUUUUACCAACUGAGGUUUUUGGUCAGUCACUUCUCCUUUAGUGGAUUUGUUGUGUAUGGGGAAGAGAGACGGAGAGACGGAGAGACGGAGAGUUUUAAUCAUGUCGCUUUCCGGUACAAUGUGCAAAAUGUUCCGUGGUAUGUUUGCCAGGUAAUAUCUUGCGACUUCAAAAUUAUUCCUUGCUAGUACCCAUUUCUGAAUCACAUGUUUUUGUUUUACCUCGUAUGCUCAACUUUGCUUAAUUCUGCUUCAUGCUUUCUCCUAUUCUUAUUGUAGGAAUUGAGAUUUAAUUUCUAAUUCGAUUAGUGGCUUCGACAUUUAAAGUUCCAUAUUUGCUCUAUGCCACAGCAUGGGAAUUUUGGAAGAAAUUGAACCUAAGAAUGGAUUUAAUGCUUCCAGUUUCUUUGCUCAAACUAUUUCUCUUUCUUUACUGGUUCUUCAUAUUUGCUCUAUGCCACAGCAUGGGAAAUGUAUGGCGGGUGAUAUUUUGCUCGGAGGUAAAGUUGCCAUUGGAAUAGAUAUGAUAAAACCGCCUAGGGUUCAACCUGUUGAGGACCAUUUGGUUAAUCGGAUUUUUAUGGUUAAUAGACAAGUGUUAGGAUUCAAGCGUAGUUAGGAAUGUCCCCAUUAGUUAGUUUUUUCUCUACGGCCUAGCAACCAAGGGGCCUCGAUUACUUGCCCAGUUCUUAGGCCGUAGGUGGUAGCCAAGGGGUGUUACCACCAAUGAGGGCUGUCCCUAAUAAUAUUUUAGUAGGGCACCCGGUAGGACUGCAUUCCUUAUUUUUACUUGCUGGUGCUUGCAAGCCUCACCCCUCCUUGUUGGAAGUGAAUAUUUUUCUUUCCUGCUAUUGGAGAAUACCAAUGAUUUCACACUAAGAAGAGGUUGAACAUUUGCAACUUCUCACUUUAAUUUAUCUUCACAUCAGGUUCUCCCUGGAGGGUCAAUUGAAUGUGUAAUGUCCCUAUUAGUUAGCUUUUUCUCUCCAUGAUUCAUGGAACAAAGCAUCGCAUCGCAUCGCAAUGCUAUGUAAUCAUUUUCAGUAUAUCUCCCUCUCUCAGGUAGCGUUGAGCUGAUUAAAUAUUUGAAUCGACCUCUCCAUUGUCGAGUUCCAAAGUUUGUCUCAAAGCAUGUUGUGUUUGGAUUGUGUACAUUGCUGGUCCCAACAUUUUUGCGCGACGAUUAAUGUCUCGUACCACUUACCUAGCAAAUAAAAGAACGGAUGGAUUCCAAUUGAAUGCGCAUUCAAGUUUUCAACGCCUGGCCUGCGCCCCAUCAGGCUUUUUUACUUGCUUCUCAGUUGCCUGCUCUUUUUCGGAACCACUUAAUAGGAGAUGAGGAGUUAUUGGUCAAGAAUCCAUCCCCCACAUGGGGGAAGUUGCAUUUAAGGGUUCAAGGAGGAGGGAGAGAGAGGGGGAUGGGUUUGAUUCACGCCAUGAGUGAAUUUCCGAAUGACUUGCGCAAUCGCUACAUUGCCUAACUAGAACAUACCUUUGCUAAAAUCUUAGUGAGAAUGUAUUUACGGGCUCGUCACUGGUCGUAGAUGGUGCGAUAUAAAUCAUAUAAUAAAGAAAAUGUGGGCCACUUAUGGUAACAUCACAGGGAUCAUCAACACCGUUCGCCCCUCUCUAAUGGUUUUCCAAAAAAGAGUGAUAGAGAACCACUAAACGAAAUGCCAUUAGCCCCUCUCCAAUCUCACUGAGAUUCCUGGUCAUGGGCUCAUUUGUUUAUUUUCUUUUUAAAUUUCAGCGGACAAAGCCUCACAAACGCUUUCAAUUCUUUUCUUUCUUUUGUCCGUCUUGACCGAUUCUAUCUCUCGAUUGCAAUCUUUUUCUUUCCACCGAUUGCGAUGAUUAUUUUGAACUUGCUCAUUUCCUCUCUGCCGAGAAUAUCUCCCUCCAUUCUCGUCCACAUUUAUGAUGUAUCUUGAUUAGGAAAGAUAAUUUCUCCUGAAUACAAUCAGCUUUUCUUCACCAAUUUCAUGCGCUAAUGGGAAAAAGGAAAGGGAUUUUAUUAUGUCAAAUUGACGCGUGGGAUUUUGAGUCCCGCCAUCGCUUUGCCGUGUCGGUUUACUAUAAAUGCACAUACUAUAAGAUGUGGAUAUUUUUAUUUAGGGACUGAACCAAUCCCCAUUUUUUUAAGGUGAUAAAUGACUAGGAAAAAUCAAAAUUUAGGUGCCAUUGAAAUAACAUAUUAAAUAGAGUAUCCAUGACUUGAUCAUUUGAAGAUUUCUUCUGUUUGGAUUUUUCGUUUUUAAACCCAUCUCUGUCCAUAUCUUAAUUUAAAGAUGAGUCACAUAUCAACCACUUUCAUAAAUAUGGAUUAAAUUAUGGUUCUCUAACCCAUUUUAAUAGCCCUAGUUAUGAGUAAGUGGAGAAGAGGGCUUGCGGGAGCAUUUCCGUAGCUAUCUGAACACAGACUUUUAUCGAUACCGUGCACUCUCGGUAAAAGGAGCCGCCAAAUGUUUUGCAUUAGUCUUUCUUUAUGGGAUGAAGACAAGGAACUAACAGAUGCCAAUAUCUUUUCUUACUAGAAAACGUAUCCCACCAAAUGGUCAAAGUGGGAGGGGUUAAUGCUAAGAAUGCCCUCUUGUCUAUUUUUCAAAGGAUAGAUUGUUAGAUGCGGGCAUUUUCCCAUGCUAAAGGAAGCAAGGAGUCGACAUGAAACGGAUCACAGAAGAAGACGUAUCCGAUCGAUGAAUGAUUGUUGCUCCUCCCACUCCUCCCACUCACACGGAUUCUUCUAUUUAAUGGAGAGGUUCCCCUUCUUCCAUGUGAGGUGGGGCCUACGUAAGAGCAUAAUCUAGGUAGAACGCUUAUUCCCACCUUGUUUUAAUGCUCUUUCCUGAUGGUAUCCAGGGGCGCUAUACCUCGGAAAGUAUGAAGCCAAGGAAGUAAUUAGAUACAUAUCUACUUCCUUCCAAUGAAUCAAAAGAACUAGUUGUCUCAUCAAUAGCCAAAGUCAACACACUUCCAAUCAAUUCGAACUACUUGGAUUCCUAAGCAACUUGCUAAGUUGUACGUGGAUGAGAUUGUUAGGUUGCAUGGCGUACCUAUAAGAAUACUAUCUUACCAAUAUGCUAGGUUUACUUUGCGAUUUUGGAGUAGAUUUCAACAAGUCGUGGGAACUAAGCUACACUUUAUUCCUGCUUUUUACCUAUAAAUAGAUGGACAAUCUGAGCAAGUUAUGCAAAUGUUAGAGGAUAUAUGCCAUAUUAGUUCUAAACCUUUUGAUUCAGUUAAUUUAAUCAUAAAUUUUUUGAUAAUUUGCCAAUUCAGUUCAUCCAACUAAUUUUGGUAGGAAAUUGCAAACUAAAUUGGUAUAAUUGAAAAAUUUAUGAUUAAAUUGACACUAAUGCAAUAAAUUUAAGAAUUUCAUAAUACUUUUCUCCAAGAUUCUCUCCCAUUACUCUCUUUCGAAAAUUUUAAUUUUUUCACUAUUCGAAUUACUUUUAAUAUAUUUUUGCAUGGACCUAGUAGAUAGAAUGUCAUUCUCCUUUUAAAAUCAUUAUCUGCGCGAUAGGCAAUGCACAAGGCUCCCACUAAACCAAUUUUGAACUUAAUCUAGAGUCCCAUAAAUUACUAGAAACUAAUGAUGUACCGCUUUAAUUUUCGAGUUACUCUGUCAGAUCGAUCACUUCAUGCUCUGCUAGAUAUAAAUUUACACAAGAUACUUAUACAAGGAGAGGGAUGUCGCACACCCUAUAAAUUGUACAUAAGAUACUUAUCUCACAUUUAGCAAGUCAAUCCAUUGAAACAAAGUCUGCUUACCAGAUUUGUUAUCCAAUAUUAAUAGGUAUUUUCAAUAAUUUUGAGUCAUGUCAAUUGUAAUUGUGCAUAAGGUUCAAUGACACGAAUUACAAGUGCAUAAAUAAUAAGAAAAUGUUUACCAAAUUACUGUCCAAUCCCCAAUGAUGAGAUUAAGGAAGAUGAAUGCAAAUGCGAGCAAAUCUCCAAAUCGUUAAGGACGAUGCUAGGUGCCUAAGCUCUCACCAAUGUUUUCUCUAUUCAAGGAGAUUUAACUCCGACGUAAAUAUCAGGAGUGCUCAACAAAGCGACCACCUUGUGACAGCUCUUCAAAAAAUUCUAAAAUGUGAAUGCACUAUUUUCACGAUUAUUAGGGCUGUUAUGGAAAUAAUAGGUUUUGCAUGUUUUUUCCCUGAAAAAUGGAGACAAAGGGAAUGUGGGAUCCCCAUAAAUCAUAAGUAAAAUAAAGAUAUGUAUAUCUCAUAUUAACAAAUGGGGAAAUUAAGUGGUUGAAAAUUUAAUGAUCCCAAAUUAAACAUGUUUAAUAAGUGUCACAAGAUCGCUCAUCAGCACAAUCCAAAUAUGAAAUGUACGUAAAGAUCAUAAUUAUGAGUAUAUGGUGUUUUUCACAAGACCGCACCCACCGACUCCCACGAAAGAGACGGGUUCUUGUGAUGUGACCGGCUUGAUUGCACUGGUCAAUCAAGAAUCAAUUAAUUUGUUGACAAUCAAAAAAGAAAGAAAAAAAAAAAAGAAGACGGGCAAGAGACUCCACAUGUAUUCGCAAAUCACGACAAUUUAUACACCGGGGCGCAUUUAGAAAACGCCGAGUGCAGAUUCCCAUUCUCAUUCUGUCGCUUGCUUGUCUACUAAAGUAAUCUUUGAUUUGUCUCUGGCUAAGUAAGAUAACCAUUUGAUUCUCUUGAACUCCUGAAUAUCUUAACACGUCGGGGCUUGGGAAAGAGGAGAAAGAAAAGAUAAUCUAGGUGGAUUAGGUAGGGUCUGGGAAAUUAAUUUAGGACAAGAUGCUGUCUUGGACCCCACCCGUGAGAGGUUGAAAAAGUUUUAAGAAAGUUCUAAACAUAUUAUAUUUACGUCAAUUUAGUUCUAAAUUUUUCAAUUAAAUCAAUUUAGUCAUAUUUUUUUUUGUAUUUAUAUCAAUUGAGUCUAUCUGGCCAAUUUAAAUCGAGAAUCUCUAAUGUUAUCGUCAGUCAUCCUAUGUGAUAGAGACGAUAUUGAUAUGGAUAUUUAAAAAAAAAAAAUCAUGAUUUUCGAGAAAAAAUAAACAAAAAGUUAUAUAAAUAUGUCAAUGUUCACGUCAAUUGUACCACGUAGAAUGACUGAUAUUCAUAUAGUGAUUUUCGGCUUAAAUUAGCGAGAUAAACUCGAUUGAUAUAAAUUGACAUAAAUACAAUAAGUUUAGGAUUUUUUUGAUACUUUUUUUCGUUAUCAGAGGUGUUCAAACGUCAACUUUGGUUAUCUACAAUCACGGAGAGCAAGAAAGGGAGAGAAGCGCACCAAGAGGAAUCGACAAAUUCGCACGACCGUGGGGGCCUACAUUAGGGGUGUGCAAAAUACCCGGGAUCCGCCCGGACCGCCCGGAACCGGACCGGAACCGCCCGGAACCGGCGGUUCUUGAGGGAACCGGUCUGGUUCCCGGUUCCAGUUUUUGGGAACCGGUGGGAACUGGUCCGGUUCUCGGUUCCAUGGGCGGAUCCACCCGCCCGCCCACCCGAACCGGACUGGUUCCCUUUUAAUAUUAAAAAAAAAAUUACUAAAACAAACCUAGGUCUCUCUCUGUCUCUUCCACUUCUCUUCUGCGGCUGCCUAUCUAUCUCUCUCUCUUCCUCAGUUUCUCUCGCUAUUUCGAUUCCUCCUCGGUGACCUGUGCGUCCGCCUCUCCGCACGAGCCGCGAAGCCGUUGUAGCCCAGUCGUUCACCACCCUCCUGCCGGCGCCGCUUCGAUCUCAUACCCGCGCGCCCACCGACCUGCGACAACUCUGCACCUCCGCCAUCGUCGUUGUCGCGACCAAUUUUUCGGUUUUGGACUGUGAACCACCUAGGGUUUGGCUAAUGGAUUGUUAAGCCUAAACUUAACUCGGGCUCUCCCAAGCCCAUACCAAUUCGCGACUUAGGUUCGAAUUCUUAACAUGCAAAUUGAUUUUAUUUAGGAGUCGCCACUAAUCAGUUUAUGGUAGGUCGAUUAGACACCUAAGUAAAAUAAUGGGAGAAUUACUUUACUCCUACGAACCAGAGACUAAGGGUACGGGGACUCGAUUACAUUAGAUUUCUCUAAUGCCCUUUCGGUACCAUUCUUUUUAUUUUCAAAAAUGUUUGGCAAUUGAAUUGAUUUUAAAUAAACUUCCUAACAUGUGAGGUGAUCAUACAUGUGCGCAUACCACCAAUUUAACACUCAAGAAAGCAAAUGAAUAAAUGAUGCAGAACUUACCUCAAAGCAACGAAAGCAUCUGCAAUGUUAAUUUAGAAUUCACAUCAGCAGUCCUAAAUAUGAUUUCUAAUUAACACGCAAUUUUUUGUCUUGUUUUCACUUAAUUAAUGAAAAUCAUGCAAUAUGCAAUGCAUGCCACUAAGUUAACAUGAAAUGAUAUGACAAGGCAACAUGACUUAGCUAUAUGACCUAAGCAAUAUGACAUAACUAAGCAUGUAAUCUAUCCUAAGCAUGAGAUGAUUUAUUCUAAAUAAUUUUUUUUUAUGAGAUUCGAAAUUUAAGAAAUGCAACAUUUAAAUAUGCAAUCUAAAUUAAUCUAAUGACCUAAUUCUAAUGAUGGGCAAUUUCUAAUUAAAUGCACCUAACAAAAAUCACUAAAUGACGUGCAUUGUAUGAAACUAAUUCUAUAUGACGUGCACAUGAUUUUUAUUUUCCUAAUAAGCAUGCAAUCUAUUUAGGAGAAAUUAUCUAAACCAAUAAUAUGCAAUCUUAGUAUGCAAGAUAACAAAAACAAACCUAGUCCUUACGGAUUUUUCUUUUUGAUUUUUUUUAUUUAAUGAAAAUAAAAUUGAUCCAAACACACGGUAUCAAAUCAAACAAGAUAAUAUUGAUAUCUAAAAAUUGGCGAACCAUAUCUCGCGCAUGAGAUCGGGUUGACCAAUUUUAAUUUUAAAUCGCGAAUCAAAUCUCGGGCUUGAAAUUGGAUUGUCGAUUUUUAUAAGGGAUUGCGAGUCGGAUUUUGGACGCGAAAAUCGGACUAUCAAUCCCUUGCUUGAGGGGGCACUUUCAUGUUGGAACAUAUUUAGGAAUAAUCCUACUAAAGGAAAAAAGUAAAUAAGUGAGAAUAACAUUAAAAAUAAAUAUAUAAAUAAAGUAAAUAAAAAAGGAACUACCUAAAUGAUUUUUUUUCCUUUAUCCCUUUCAAGCUUCGUGUCCGUGCGGCUGGUCACCGGCUCCGGUGAGGGGCAGCAGAUCAGAGGUCUGGCAGGGAAGAAACUCCGGCGGCAGCAGGUGGCGGAGUUCGGAAAGGGGACUCGCGGGUCACGGCCAAUUGCGAACAGCGGGUGCUGUGCGGGGGUUUGGAUCCGAGCGGCGUCGGCAAGGGGAGUCACAGACAGCUGGGCUGGCGUCGCGGGUUGCUCGCGAAGGAGGCACGGCGAGGCUCGACGUUGUGGUGGCGCGGGUCGUCGGGCGGAGGCUGCUGCAAGGUGGUGCGACGCUGGGUGGGCGUCCGGAUCUGGCGCGGCUUCAGCGAGCGUUGGCGAGGGCUCUGCAGGCGGCGGUAGGCGCGACGGGAUCUCAGAUCAGUGCAGUUCGGUGGCGUCGGCGCAGCACGGGUCAGCGUCAAGAUAGCGACACCGUGACCAGCGGGCAACAGGCGGUUCGCGGGUGCAGAGGCGCGGCGGUGGUAAGGUGCGGCAACGGUGCUCGCGGUGGCGCAGCGGCGUCGGGCUUUCGAGGGGGUGAGAUCGGCGGCUUCGGUAGGGCGAAGCGGCGGCGUCCAGAGGGCAGCAGCGCGGGCGGCAGUCGAACCCACCGGGGAAGAAGAACAGUGCUUCUUCCUUCUUCUUUUUUAUUUCUUUCUCUCUCCUCUUGUCUCCUCUCACGUCACUUUCUCUCUGUAAUUCUCUUUUCUCCCCCUUUCUGCAGAAGCUUUUUCCUUUUUUCUGCUCUUCUCUCUUGACUUUUUUCUUAAUUUUUUCAACGAAGCUCCCCCUUUAAACCUCUCACACGCACGGCUUUUAUAGGAAAAGGAAUUGGAUUUUCAAAUUAUACUUCGAAUCAAUCUUCGUAAAUCUUUUCACAAAAUUCAUCCCAUAUUGAUAAGGAUUCGAGAUCAAGAUGAAAUUUUUUCUAAAUCCAAAUCUUUCAAGGCCAAAUCGCAAUAUUUUUUUAACCAUCUGCCCUAUCUAAAAAAAAUUCAUAUCCCGAUUGAAAUUUCAAAAAUUAAUUUUCCCACGAGAUAAUGUUCGAUCAUUAAAAAUAUGGGCCUGGGCCGACUUGCUCGUUUCAUGGGCUUAAUCCAACUAAUUUGAAACCAUCCGCCUUCCGUCCAAUAAAAUGCAAAAAAUGCAAAAUAAAUGCAAAUAUAAAUCUAUGUGCUAUGCAAUUAAUAAAAAUUAACCCAUAAUUUCCUAUGUAAUAAAUGAAUAAACUAAAUCGUCAAAAUUUAGGUGUCAACAGUCGUCUUGCCAGAUCCGCCUUCCCCCUGACGUGCAGCAUCGCAACCGUCGCUCGUUUCUUCACGCCGGUGGCCGCGACUCCAGCAACCCACGAGACCCAUCCGCGACCAACGCUCGGCGUCCCCUGCUUCAGCCGCGCGCUGAUCUCGCUCGACGACUACAGAUCUGAGCUCAUCUCAGCCCUGACGCCGUCGCGGUUCAGCCUCCCUGCCAGAUCCGCCUUCCCCCCGACGUGCAGCACCGCAACCACCGCUCGUUUCUUCAUGCCGGUGGCCGCGACUCCAGCAACCCACGAGACCCAUCCGCGACCAACGCUCGGCGUCCCCUGCUUCAGCCGCGCUAAUCUCGCUCGACGACUACAGAUCUGAGCUCAUCUCAGCCCUGACACCGUCGCCGUUCAGCCUCCCUGCCAGAUCCGCCUUCCCCCCGACGUGCAGCACCGCAACCGCCGUCGCCGUUCAGCCUCCCUGCGACCCACGAUCCAGUUCAGCGACCCCCAACCCAGCUCCGCUGCUGCCUCUCGCCCAAGCCUAGCCUACAUGUCAUCCUUUUCCUCCAUAUUCUAGUGGACGAAUUUUGCUUGGAAAGAUCCAAGCAUGAACUAAAGGGCAAAUGUGGGAUUUUUCAAUAGUUUUGAGGAGGAAGAAGAAAUCUUCUUUAACGCCAAGGCUUGCAUUAGAAGUCCGGCGUCUUCUAAUUUCUAGUCCGUCGAUGAAAUAUCAUCUCGACCCAAGUCAAAACUGAAAAUCACUGCUGCUCCUGACUAGAAAAUGGAGGAGAGGCAUGUGCAAAACCAUCCCUGAAAUCAUAAAAGAACUAUUACCGAUGAUUGUCAGCGACGGAAUGGUGAUUGCGGUAGCUGUUCCCUAGAGAAAUGCAUUAAGGAUGGCUUGCUUUUGUCCUGGAUAAUAUGUUUUACGCAAACGAGAAGGAAAAUGCUUCUAAGUCUUUGGAAAUGACUUCAAUUCUGAAGCUAAUUGCCCGAAAUCCCACAUUUCAGAUGGCCUGAAGCACUUCUGCUGAGAUUGCUUAAUUUAGUUACGUAGUGGACAUACAAGUUGCUAAGAGAGGAAGACAAACUCAAUUUGUUCUUGUGAAUUUGCAAAGGGACAAUGCUCGAACCUAGAGAGCAAGCACAAUUCCCAUGGAAUGGACUUUUCAUUGGUAUGUAUCCACGAAAAUGACAAGAUAGAGAUGUCUUGUCCCCGAAACUUGAUUGGUCAUCAUUACUGCGGACUUUUUUUUUUGGUCGAAAAAGAGAAUAUAUUUCCAUUUACGUUGGGAAAAAGGAAGAGCCCAUUAGAAAGGCUUCAUUACAAAGCAAAUCUAGCAUAGCUUGAGGUGGGCUUGUAGCCCAAAGAGCAUGUUUGUUUGGUUCGGAAUACAAGCAAAUGUGCGCAUGCAUUGAUGAGUAAUUGAAAGUGAUAAUUAUACAAAUGGUAUUUGAACUUUGCUCAAUGUAAUAUAGCCUAUGAACUUCCAAUUUUUCGAUAUUGUCUUUGACUUUAGCCCAAUUUAUAAUAUGGUUUCAUUUGUUCAGUAUAGUCCAUAUACUUUUAAUAUAUAUUUAAUAUAGUUAUUGAAUUAUAUGAAAAUAUUUAAUUUUAUUUAUGGACUAAAUUGAAUAUAUACCAAAAGUUCAAAGAUUGUAUGGAACGACUUAAAAGUCCAUGGAUUGUAUUGCACAUUAGAUAAAUGUUUGUAGGAUCAUUUAUGUUAUUUUCCCUAAUAAAAAUUUAAAAGAUUGAACACAAUCAUCAUUGUUAUGAAGUACUUGAAUUAUUUAAUGAUAUCAGCAAAUGCGCAUACGCACUGUGUGUGCAGAAGUAAUCAAAAUUUGAAAGAUCAAGCGAAAUUAUUUUGUUAUGGAAUGUUUGAAUCAUUCAAUAAUGAGAAGAAAUUAUUGACAAAAAUACAAAAUUAUGAAUAUAUUGUAUUAUUAGUGGAUCAAUAACAAUAAUCCAAAAUUCGAAAUCUUUUAGGAAUGUUGUCCUGGCAUAAGACGUAUCUACAUUUUGAUAUUGAAAUAUGUGAGAGAUAAAAUAAAAUUAUGAACUUGCGUGUUUGUAGACGGACGUUAUACUCGUGAGAUAAGCAAUCAAAGAUACGUGUGAAAAAAAAAAAAACAAUUAAGAUUCCCUAUAAGUAGGAAUACGGUAUUUUUUUUUAUUUAUAAUAGUAUAGAUCAAUGGAGUUUCGUUUUCUUCAAUUUCUAGCAAUGAACCAUGGUGCCUCGAAAUAAUAAUAAUUAAAAAUUUAACUUAGGAACAAUAGAGGCUUUAUUACCAAGUGAGAAUGAAUGAGAAAGAAUGGAUCUGAAUUAGGAAAACGGAAGUCUCGUAGCUGGAGAACGAUUGCGGCAUGAUGGCUAAAUUAAAAAAGUUAAGAGCACGAUGUCCUUUCUCUCCUUCUGUCUUUUUCUCCUCCUUCCCCAAGUUUGGAAGUUGCGGUUUCAUUAGAUCAUCCAAUUCCAAUUUCCGGAUGUUGCUUUUGACAUUAUUAUGGUUUAUUCACAUGCGAUUCGCUUUUUUCAAUUAUUCACUGCUUAUUCCGAUUCCUUCCGAUCCAUCCAAUUGUUUCAUGUGGGUUUAUCCAAAAUUGGCUUGGCAACCUUGACUAUGAGAUUGAACUUAUAUAUACUCCGUUUGAUAUUUAAAUGAUCAACUUAUGAAUACUUUGUUUGAUCUUUUCGUUGACACAUUAUACGGUAUAAGUAGAGAUAUCAGCACUCAUAAUUAUGGUGGAAAUUAAAGAUAAUAAUUUGAUAAAUGUGGAAAUUGAAUGAAAAAACAAAUUAGAAGAAAUCUUUAAAUGAUCAACUCAUGGAUCUUCCGUUAAUGUGUUGUUAUCUUUGCACUUGUAGAAAAUUUUGCACUGUAACCAUUAUGAUAUUUUUGCCAUUUGAUUUUUUAUUUCAAUACUUCGUCUCAUUGUCGCGACAGUGGCCGUUGAAAAGACUUUGAGAGAGAAGAGACAUAAAAUGAGAGAGAUCGCGUGCGGUGGGGGGAUGUGGUGGAAUAAGUAAAUAUACAGUUUGGAUUGUGCAAAAUGAUAGGGCUAAACGGUCGUGGAAAAAUCCUAGAGCCACAUAAAAAUUGUGUUGAAUUUCGAUGAAUAAUGGCUAUCUCCUAUAUACGCAUUUGCUGCCUUAGAUGGAUGAUAUCUCUCAUUUAUCAAGUGAGAUAUGAAGCUUCGGGGCUAGGCUUAGGUCUUUCCUGAUUGUUUGACAUCUAAAUUUUAAUUUUUCCUGGUCAUUUAUCACAUAAAAAAAAAAUUAAGAAUCGAUUCAGUCCCUAAACAAAAAUAUCCAUAUCUCAUAGGAUUUGUAUUCACAGUAAACCGACGUGGCAAAGCGAUGGGGGUCUCAAAAUCUCAUGCGUCAAUUUGACGGAUUUGAAAUCCCUUUCCUCCCCAUUAGCGCACAACUUGGUGAAGAAAAGCCACUCGUAUUAGGAGAAAUUUUCUUCUGUCCUAAUCAAAGCCAAAUUACAGAUGUGGACGAGAAAGGGGGGAGAUACUCUAAAGAGCAAGUUCGAAGUAUUAGCAAUCGUAGUCGGUGGAAAGGAAAGGGUUGCAAUCAAGAGGGGGAAUUACCAAAAAAAUCCUAAACCUAUUGCAAUUGUUCCAAUUCAGUCCUAAUUUUUUUUUUGGCCAAUUUAAUCCUAAAUUUUUUAUAAUUAUGCCAAGUUAGUCAAUUUGGCCAAAAUUGGCCAGCCAAGAUCGACUAGGGACAGCUAGCCAACGAAUGCUAAUGUGGCAAUUUUUUUUUCUUUCAAAAUUUCUAAUUUUUUUUCUUUUUUUUCCCCACCUUCUCUUUCCUCUAGCCGACCUUGCCCAGCGACGGCAAGGCUUGAUCUCGCCAUGGCUGGGUGAGGCUGAGCCUCGUCAAAUCUGGCGACGGUGGCCUCGUCGGCCACUGGUGAGGUUGACCCUCGCUUGGGCUAGGCAAGGUCACCGGUGAGGCCGCCAUUGCCAGAUCUGACGAGGCUCGGCCUCGCCUAGCCAUGGCAAGGUCGAGCCUUGACGUCCUUGGGCGAGGCUCGCCUUCGCUAGUGACCGGCGAGGGCGAGUGUUGCUAGUGGCUGGCGAGGCUGACCUCACCGACUCUCGCCUUUGGCCGACAGCCGGCCAGAGGAAGAAGAAGAUGUGGAGAAAAAAGAAAAAAAAUUCAAAAUUCAAAAAAAUAACAAUUUAAAAUUCGAAAAAAAGAAUAUAUAUAUAUAUAUAUAUAUAUAUAUAUAUAUAUAUAUAUAUAUAUAUAUAUAUAUAUAUAUAUAUAUAUAUAUAUAUAUAUAUAUAUAUAUUAAAAAAUUGCCACAUCAAUGUUUGCCGGCUAGCUAUCCUUGGUUGGCAUCCACAUCCGGCUAAUUUUGGCUAAAUGAACUGAAUUGACACAAUUGUAAAAGGUUUAGGACUAAAAUGGCUAAAAAAAAAGUUUAUGAUUUUUUUGGUAAUUCUCUCCGAUCAAGAUAGAAUCGCUGAAGAGGUUUCGUCUACUGAAAUUUACAAAAAAGAAACGAAUGAGCCUGGCCAUAAAAUUAUGAAAAGGAAUCUCAAUGAGAUUGGACAAGCAAAGUAAGGCAGGAAUGGCAGUCAAUCGGUAAGGCAAGAAGGAUUUGACUGAGAGUUACAACAAGAGCGGCAAAACUUUAGGAAAAAAAUAUAAAAAAAGUCAUAAAUCUAUUACUCUUAUAACAAUUGAGUCUUAAACCAAUUUAGUUCUGCAAGUGGGCCUACUUUACACUACCAGCUUUGACAUUAAUAGUUUUUAAUAUUAUUUUAAUAUCUUUUUUUUUUAUUUUUUGAUUUUUUUUCUUUUACUUUUUUUUCCCAUGUUCUUCCUUUUGCCGGUGACAGGCCAUAGGUGAUGACGGGUUAACAGCCAUGGGCAGGCUGGCCUUGCCUAUUGCACUAAUCUCUUGAAACACGAGAUUUAGAAUCUUGUUUACCUAUUCUCUUAAGUUAUAAUCUAUUCUUUUAAGUUACAUACUGCAACAAUAAGAGUUAGAAUUUUCUCCAUAUGAAGAGUAUUUUAGUAAAUUUUGAGCUACUGACUCUUAUUUGAGUUGACAAUCCCCGUUUAAUAUUGUUUUUUUUUUUCCUUCAGUUACUAACAACCCAUUUUUGUUCGCUUGAUUAGCAUCAUAGGAACAACUUAAUUGCUUUCUGUUUGAAUAUACAUAUUUCUUAACCGACCGUAUAUGUGUGUGUAUGUAUAUAGACACUAGUUCUUAGACUAACCUGGAGAGACUCGCAUCUAUCUCGAUGGCGCUCGCAUCUAUCUCGAUGGAGCUUUGGAUCAUACUCUGGCGAGCUCCAAAGAACAUAUAGACCUCUCAAGGCCAUCUUGGAGCUGCCCCUUAUCUUCCCCAAGGCUUCAUCGUUAGACUAACUUAACCACGAGGGGACCAGAAUAAGAACAUGAAGAAGCGAACAGCAUCGUCUAUCUCUUUAUGAAUUAUUUAGCUUAAGCUUCGUAAGUAGCUCACUUCAUGAUCAUAACUUAAAAGGUUAAUAUUAAACAACUUGACUCGUUAGACUUGGUCCUUUUCGAAUAAAUGAAUAGCACAAAAAAUGUCUUUGCACUAAAAAGAAACCGAUUACAUUGGAUAAGUGGCCGAAUGACCAAAAAAAAAAAAAGAUAAGACUACUUCGCUGGGACAAGGAAAACAAGGUUUGUCUGCUCAGGAAUGAAUCCGCGAUCUUCCAGCCAGCGACGUACCACUGCCCUGCUCCCGGUACUCAUAUUCCCAAUAUGAACGCGGUUCAGAUUACCGCGAUUGGCCAAGAAUUGCGGCCACAAGCCUACAAAUGCCCUGGCUUCGGUUAUUGAACCGAGGACCAAAAGCUCUUCCUGCCUUAUCAAUUGCAUGCUAAGAUUCAGAUUCGUUAUCGCGGUCAUGUACGAAUCAUGAUACUCUUGACGUUCUUGUUUUCUGAAGACAAUUAAAAAACAAAAAACAUAUAUAAGUGCUAAAAAAACAAAAGAUUUUCGGAAAAGAAUGUAAUACUCACGUUAACUCUAUGUUAAACUGGUUUUGAGUCCACGCAUCCUGCGCCAUGCGAUAAGCAUCGAACUUCCGGCGGAGGAGAGUAGCUGGAUCCAUUGGAAGAGAAGGUUUGAGAAGAGAAGGGGGAGGAAGAGAGAAAGAUGCGUGCUGUACACAUUCACCAAAUGAGCAAGCAGCAGCGUCGUGUCCCAAAGGCGUGUUGGAAGUUGGUGGACUCACAUAAAACUGGAAAAAAGCCAAGGGGAGUGAUUGAGAUUGAGUUCGUGCGUCGUUUCUUCUUCGAAACACUUUCCGUCCUCGAUGCGUGGCUUAAGCACCCUUGACAAUGAAGAAGAAGCAGCAGCAUGUGAUAUUUCAAUGUAUUCACGCAAGCAAGAGAUCACAAAUUCAAAACUAACAAUAACAAAAUAUAUAAUCACAUAAAAUCUACUUAAAAGCAACACCUCUACACACUGAUCGUGUAUACAGGAAUCGAAAAACGAGCAGAAACAGAGAGAUCCUAGAAGGGGAAAAAAGAAGAAGAAGAAGAAGAGGUCGUGCCUACUCGGGAUUUGGACGAAGCUUCUUGUUAAGAAUAAGGCAAAAAGUGAAUUGGAGAAUUUUAUUUAUAAUAACUAAUAAGGAGUAGGCUUUACAAGGUAACUAUCCACCGCAACAAAAUAUUACAAAAUCAAUUACAAGUAAUUACAUAGAAAUCUAUAAUAUUAGGGAUAUCUAGAAUAUUGUGAAGAUAUCUAGAAUAUAUCAAACUAAAACAAAGAAUUGAGUUGAUCAAGCAUACUUUUCAUUGAUAUGUUAUGCAGUAUAUAUAGAGAUAUCACCUGUAAUUAUGAUGGAAAUUAAAAGAUAAUAGAUAGCAAUUUGUAAAUUGAAUAAAAACAAAUCGGGAGAAAAUCUCUAAAUGAUCAACUUGUAAAUAUUCUGCUUGAUCCCUUCAUUGAUAUGGUACACAGUAUAUGGAUAGAGAUAUCAUCACUUAUAAUUAUGUGAAAGUUAAAGAUAAUAAUUUGAUGAAUACAAAAAAAAAUAAAAAAAAAAUCUUCAAAUUAUCAACUCAUAGAUACUGUUAUCCUAACUAUUGACACCUAAAUUUUGAUUUUUUUUCUAGGCAUUUAUCACAUAAAAAUUAGGAACCGAUUCAGUGCCUAAACAAAAGUAUCCGUAUCUCAUAGUGUUUACAUUCAUAGUAAAUUCACACGGCAAAGUGAUGGGGUGCUUGAAUUCUCAUGCAUCAAUUUGACAGAGUUCUUCUUCUUCUUCUUUGGCCGACCGCCGGCCACGACGACAGCCAACGGUCGGCCACAGGCGAGCCUCGAGGUUGCCCGGCUCGCCAACGCUAGCGAGGCCUCAGCCUCACAAGAUCUGGUGAGCUCAAGGCUCGCUGGCGUCGGGUGAGGCCUCCGCCUCACCGGAUCUAGUGAGCUCAAGGCUUGCCGGCGUCAGGUGAGGCCUCCGCCUCACUAGAUCUGGCGAGCCCUGGCGAGCCUCGAGCUCGCCGGGCGUCGGUAGCAUCGCUAGAUUCGGUGAGCUCGAGCUUGCUCGACGCCGACGAGCUUGAGGCUUGCCUAGUCGGUCGCCGACCAUCGUCGUGCUGGCGACCGGAGGAAGAAGAAAGAAAAAAAAAAGAAAGAAAAGAAAAAUAAAAAAAUAGUUAUAAUUUCAGUUUUUAAAAAAAAAUUGUAAAGUUAAAAAGAGAAUAGAGAGAUUGUGAAGUUUUGGCUUUGAGUGAAAAUAAAUGGGUUGCUAAAUGGGUGCAAAGCUGACCCAUUUAAGACCCAUAUAUCUCACUCUCUUUAAUUUUAAAACCCAUUAUGGGUACUUUAGAAAAUAAGGCUUGACCCAUUUAACACCUCUAAGAUUCCAAUGCAAUCUGUUUCUUUUAAGUGCAAAGAUAUCUUUUGUGCUAUUCAUUUUACUAAAAAGCGAACAAGUGGUUAACCACUUACGAAGCAUAUGCUAAAAUUGGAAAAAGUUGUCAUGGUCGGUUUCUAACUCCUUGCUAAAUAUUUCAUAUAAGAGAUAUACACUGCUGUGCGCUUCUUCGCGUUCUUAUUCUUAUCCCUUCAUGAGAUAAGUUAGUCUAACAAUGAAGCCUCGGGGAAGAUUAGGGGCAGCUCGAAGAUGGCCUUGAGAGAAUAAAAGCAUUCUGCCAGGGGCACGUCAAGAAACAACACUUGGGUCUAUAAUUAGUGUCAAAAGAGUAUGAUCCAAACCUCCAUCGAGAUAGGUGCGAGCGUGCUUAGACAAGAACUGAAUUUCGAUUGAUUGCAAUUUCUUUGUGGUUACUACUUGGAUAUAAUUUUAGGCGCUCAGUAAAUAGUAGGUUGAGACCACAACUCCUAGUUUGUCUCUCGAGGUGCUGCACUUGUGGGUAAUGAGUCCACAAGAACUAAUGUUCCUGUUAUAAUAAUCAAGGCGAACAAAAAUGGGUAACUCAAUAAAGAGUUGGUGAAUUAAAGAAAGAUAUUAUAUUAUGGCUAACUCAAAUAAGAGCCGGUGUAUUAAAAAUCACUUAAAAAACUCUUGAUACAGAGAAACUUCUUACUCUUAUUCUUGUAGAAUGCAACUUAAAAUAUGUGCAAAAAAAAAAAAGGACUUUAGAUCUCGAGUUUCAAGAGAUCGGUGCAACCAUCGCAAGUCCGCCUAGGAUAAGCUGGGCACCUACUGAAUGACAAGUGGCAAAACUAGUUCAUUUGGUCAAGAAGUUAGAGAUGCGAACGAUAAUUAUUCUAACCAGAAAUUAAUUUUUGGAAUAAUUUCUAUUAUUGAAUGAAUUUCUAAGUAAAAAUAUGUGUUUGAUAAUGACACAACGGUCAACGACCGAUGAUCGGUGAUAGGCGUCGAUGGUAGCGACUAGAAACUGGUGACUGUUGGCAGUGGCUGCAGGGAUGGCAGCUGGCAACCCACGGCGACGGUCGAGGAGUGGUGGCAAGGUAUAAUGAAUGGCGGCUGGCAACGAUGGAUGGGCAACCAGCUAGUAGUGAGGACGAAUGGUGAAAAUAGUUUUUAUUUCUCAUUUAUAUUUCAAAAAUAAAAAAAGUAAAAAAAUUUCACUUAUAAUUUUUGUUCCAAACCUAUUUCUGGAUUAGAAAUCUAUUCCAAAAAUAAAAAAAUGAAAUAAUUUUACCAAGCGAAUUUCUGUUCCGAAAAUAAGUUUGGAAUAGAAAUGAUUGUCAUGUGUACCCUAAAUAACUCAAUAGCCCCCAAGCCGUUGCAUCCGAUCAGCAGUCUGGGCCUUUGAUAAUGAAUAGGUGACUUUCUCUUACAAAAGUUUGACUUAAAUGUCAAGAUGGUCAAGCCAUUUUUUAAUAACCAAAAUGAAACAACCGGAACAAAAUAACAAAAAAAAAAUUAUGAAUAAAUGAACAAGUAAAUUAUAUAUGAAUUAUCCUGAGAAAAUUAUUCAAUCAAUUAUAAACUUUUCAAUUUUGCUAAUUUAGAUACAAACCUUCACGCAAAAUUCUAAUGUGGUAGUCGAGUUACCGUUGUUAGCGUUGGAAGGAUUAUAUUGAAAAUUUUGUGCAAAUAUUUGUGAUUAAAUAGACAAAAUUAAAAAUUUUAGGACUAAAUAAACAUGUGUACGAUAGAUUUGAGAGUGUUUGGAUGUCAUGCGCAACAUCUUGAAGUUGGCAUGAGAUGUCUUCAUAACUUUGAAUAUGCCGUAAUGACGAGUGAUCUAAUAAAACUUCACUUAAAAACUAGCAAAGAAGAAAGAUAAAAAACAGGAGAGGAAGGUGUCGCGCCCUAAUUUGUGUAUGCAGUGAUCAUGCCAUAUUCUUUUUUCCCUUUUAAGCAAAUAAAGAUAUAUUCAUAAUUAACCAACCGCUCAUGAGUGGGUCCAGAUAUAUUUGGUUUACCCGUGGAAGUGAAUAUACAUGCGAAAAAUUGCAAAGUGUCGAAGAUUAAAAAAAAAAAAUCUAAAAAUUAUAAUUUAGGUUUCGCCGCGUGGUACUGUUAUCAUCUAUGUUCGUUUGGGAUUAAACAAAAGUAAAAAUUGUGCUUUUUUGUUAAAAAAUUAAAAUGUCAUAUUAAGUUUGAGGAUUUAUGAGAGCACAAUAUGUUAACCUACAUCUUCUUUUUUGACCCAAAGAAGAAACAAAAUCGUCAUGCAUGAUUAAAAAAGAUAUGGUUGAUCAUUUUGAUUUUUUUUUACCUAAAAAAAAAAGAUAUGGCUGAUCAGGAAUUUUUGUAUAAGAUAUCGCAUCGGAAGGGGUUUCGGAAUCUUGCCUCAAAUCUAGAAGAGAAAAAAAAUACACGAACUGGAAGGUGAACUGAUGCCGGCGUCCAUGGAUUCUCCAUCUCCAAAGAGGCUCCGCUCUGAUCCUGAAGCCGAAUCUGCAGACAAGGUAACGAAUUUUCAGUUGAAUACACUGGCUGAUAGAGCAAAAGUAGAGCUUUCUUCUUGGUAGGGUUAAUGGGUCAUCAAUAUUCCUUAUCUCGUUGUUUCUGACAGUAAGCUGAGUUUUUUCUUACGUUUGUUUGUCCAAUUUUCCUCCUUCCUAUUUUCCAUCGAUCUUAUUUACGGAUUUUUCUGACCUUAAUUUUUUUUCUCUGGUGAAACUCAACCCAAAGGAUCGGAUCAGCUGUUUGCCCGAAGAUAUUAUAGGCUUUAUAUUAUCUCUUCUAACAUCUAGAGAAGCACAAGCGACUUGUCUUCUUUCCAGAAGAUGGAGGCAUUUGUCUACUUGUCGGGUCACCAACCUUGAUUUCGACCGGUCUGACUUAUUCACCGAGAUGAAAGAUAAUUGCAAGUUUGCGGAAAAGGAGAAGGCAAGAUAUGUGGAAUGGGUGGACAAUGUCUUGCAGUGUCAAAGUGGAGGAUACCAUUUGCGUAGAUUCAUGUUACGCUUUGAUCUGACUAUCUCAUAUAAGUCUCAUAUCGAUCGAUGGAUUAGGUUUGCGUUGACAAAGCGAGUUAAAGUUCUCCAACUAGAUUUUAGGCCGGCCUCUUUUAAGGAUUUGAGGUCUGAUUGUGACCCUAGUCACUUGCCAUAUCCGUUAGGGCAUGAGACACUUAUGGAUGCUGAUGCAGGGUGUUUGCAACGGGCUUCAGGUCUUAGUAAUUUUGGUUUGAACCCUUCUAGUUCUUGGCAUGUUGGCUUAAGGUAUCUCGAAGAGCUCACCUUGUAUCGAGUCACUGUGGAGGGAGAACUCAUUAAGCAAUUGCUUGCCAAUUGUCCGAUUCUAGAGCGAUUGAUCUUAGUAUUUGCUCGUACUUUGAAUAGGCUUAGAGUAUCUGGCCAAUCACUGAAGCUGAAAUACUUACUCAUUGGAUGUUGUGACGAUCUUGAACGUGUUAAGAUUUACGAUACAGAUCUUGUGUCCUUCACUUUUGAGGGAGUGAAAACUCGAUUGCGUUUGUACAAGCUUCCCCAGCUGUCUGAGGUGUCUAUUACAGGAUGUUUAUGGGAGCUUGUGGAUGUUAUGCGGUCUCGGCUUUCAAGACUUCCUUGUCUGCAUAUUCUCAAUCUGAAAUUUUUUUAUUCACCUAAUGUAAGAGCAUUGAUUGAUUUUCAUAAGGUUUCAUAAGUUAUUUUCUUAUUCCAAUAUUUGUUAGUCUUUGAUUCUCUAUUUGUCUAAUUCGUAGGAAAACCUACCUAUUCGUCAACUACCUAAAUUGACAAGUGUCAAGCAAUUGAAACUGACUGUUGACGGAUCUGCAGAUGCAAGUCUACUUCCGUUGGCUGUCAUGAUCAAGGCAUGUCCGUACUUGCAGAGUUUUGUGUUAGAGGUGGGUUUCCGGGCCUCAUUCAAGUCUUCAUCACUUUAGGCAUUAGACAAAUGCAUUAUGACUGAAUAUGUUAAACCAAGUCACUGUAGAAUCCUAUUCUAGUCUCUGCAAACGGGUGAGUUAUUGAGUCAUCAUGUGAUUGGUAUCUGCUUGAUGUGACAAUCCGAGACAUACUUUCUUUUGCAAAUUCUUUCUUCCAUUGACAUUCUCCAAUGCAUCAAUAUCUUAUGGUAAUUAAUAAUAUAUUACAUUCCUUUCGCCACAGUUAAUAGACCCAUGGUGGAUGCCACGCAGGCAGAGAAGAGAGCUGAAAAGAGUUGUUAGACCUCUCCCUCUCCAUCGAUACCUUAAAAAAGUUGAAUUCUACAAUUAUUACGAUAGACAUUCUCAUCUCGAACUAGUGACUUAUCUUAUUGCGAGUGCCAUUGCCCUUGAGAAGUUAGUGGUGAAUACCUGUGACAAAGAGUAUGUUUCGGGGGAAUGGAAAAAGUUGGAGGAACCUAGAGAACGGGCUUUGCAACAACUCAAGGGAAAGGUACCUUUAAAGAUUGCUCUGAUGAUUAAUUAAUGGAACAGAGCCUCAUGGUAUCCAUACUGUUGACGCCUUAAUUUUAUUUAGGUUUAUUAUAUUAAUUAAUUAAGUUUUUUUAAAUAAUAUAGAAAUAAAAAAAAUAAAAAAAUAACAAUAAAAAACAGCAAAGCAAAGCAAAAGAAAAGCAAAAAGAAAAAGCAGCCUCUGCAUGGGCCUUCGGCCCAUCUCCGCCUUAGCCCAGCCCGGCCGAGUCUUCUUCCUCCUUGCGCCACUGCAACACACGCGCGGGCAGGCGCGACGCCGGAGGAGGAUGAACAGACUGCGACGCACGUGGAGCAGAGGAGCAGUUGGCGUCAACGGGACGUGACCGGAGGAGGAGAUGAUGGCGAAUGGGACGGCGAUCCAACCGGCGGGUCGAGCCUCGCCGACCGGCCACCCCUCGCCUAUAAAUAGAGGGGGGCCACCGUCGACUGAGGAGGAGGCCACAGAGGGGGAGGUAGAGACGAGAGAUUCGAGAGAUUCGAGAGAGAGAGAGAGAGAGAGAGAGAGAGGUCAGCCGAAGCUCGAGGUCCCCUGAGAGACUUCGGGGAGCUCGAGCGUAGGGUCAGCCGUGGCGUGGUGAACUCGGAGGGGUCCCCGAGAGACUUCGGGGAGCUCGAAGGGCGAACCCGAGGGAGAGAGAGAGAGCCCCAGCCAGAUCUGACCAAAACCAGGCCUCGCCGUCACCGUCGUUGCUCGCCGUGGCCUCCACCAUCGCAGAUCAAGACCCCAGCUUUGUCGUUGCUCGCCGUGGCCGCCACCGUCGUAAAUCAACCCCUGCCGUCGCUGUCAUUGCCUCCGUUCAAGAAGGUAAAAAAAAAAAAAACCGUCGCCGUUGUCCCUGCCGCCCAUCGUGACCCCAUUCUGUCGCCGUCGCCGUCGUCGUGGUCCCUAUUGUCGUUGCCAUCACCGCCGUGGCCGUCGUCACCGCCGUAUCGCUUCGGUCUCCUCCCUGGCGCCGCGGAUUUGCAAACCCUAGGGUUUGCGAUUUUCCGGGUCGCGAAGCGGAUCCGGACCCGGAAAAUCGGGUAGGGUUUGCAAUCUGAGGGGCGGCUGGAGGACGAGUCGGGUGCCGGAGCCGGGUCGGGUAGGGUUUCGCCGGAAAGCCAGGUCGCGGAGCCGGGCCGGGUGUCCCCGAACGCUUGGCCACGGCGUCGUUUUGUUUAAUAUUCUAAUAAAUAAAUAAAUAAAAGUUAGGCCCGUGUAGCGGGCCCGUCUACGUUUCGGACUGGCCCGGGUCGGUCCCAACCCGCGGAUCCGACCCGGGUCAGUUUUAUUUUGUUUUAUUAUUUUAUAUUAAAAUAAUAUUCUAAUAAAUAAAUAAAUAAAAUGUUUUAUUUUCAAAAAAUAUUUUUAAAAUGUUUUAUUUUCCAAAAAAAUCGAGAAAAAUAAAAAAUAAUUUAUUUUCCAAAAAUAUUGAAAAAUAUUAAAAAAUAUUUUAUUUUCCAAAAAAUAAAAAAAACCAAAAGUAUUCCAUAUUUUCCAAAAAAAGGCCAAAAAUUCACGAAAAAGCCAAAAAGACUUGUAUUUUCCAAAAAAAAUAAAUACCAAAAAAUCCCAAAAAAUUCCCUUUUGUGUAAAAAAAAAUAGAAAAAGACCCAAAAAAUGUUUUUCCUCCCCCAAAUUGCAUGGAAAAUUCCUCAAGCAUCCAAAAAACCUCAAGGUUUAAACAAGAUUAGGUACCGAAAGGGCAUUAGUGAUUAACUAGUAUAAUCAAGUCUCCGAUCCUAAUUUCUCUGGUUGCGCAAAAGUGAGUAUUUCUCCCGAUACUUCGCUUGGGUUCCUAAUCAACUCAACCCAAAUUGAUUAGUGACAACUCCAUUUUAAAAAUUGAUUUACAGGUUAAAAACUUAGAUUAUUAAAGUCGUGAAUUGGUGGACUUGGGAGAGUCUGGGCAUAACUAAUUUCAGCCAAGCCAUUAGCCUCCUUAGGCACCCGCCCCUGAUGUGGGCGCCGAAAAAAAAGAGGUCGCGACACAUACAAGUCAUAUGGAUGGCAUUUUGCAACCUACUCCUCUUCCCCUUUUCAAGGUUUUCUUUUUUUUUCUUUUUCCUUUAAUUGCAAAUAUAAGUUUGUUUAUUAAUAAUUUAUUGUUUUUUGAUUUUAUUUUAGAUUUUUAAGUUAUGCCAUGACUCAAAGCCAAGAAUAAUGGAUGUUCGUGCACUUCUCGUGUCAUUUUAAUCCAUCAAGGACUCCAAAACAACCACCAUUUUGUGUUUGCUGGGUACUUGAUUAGUCAUUAAAGUGAUGGUAAGAGAAAAUAGACAUGUCACUUUCUCAUGCGCUUUUUGGAUGCCUCCCAAUCUAUAUGUGGUCUCAGUUUGGUGUCUCAAUUUGCAAGGAAGUUAGAGAUAAUUCUCUAGAAUAUAUUCCUUUGUUAGAGAUAAUUAUUUAUAUUAUGCAUAUACCUCCCUUUGAUUGUGAAUAUCAUUGAUUAAUAUGUUAUAUAAGAUAAUUAUUUAAGAAAGCCAAUUUAGGCUUUCUCUACAUAUAUAUUUUUGUUAGUCUAGAUCCAUUCUUCUCAUUCAUUCUCAAUUGGUAACGAAACCUCCCUCCGUCCCUCGUUUCUAAGCUUUUUUCUCUCUUCUAAGCCCAGCGAGCUGUGCGAAAAUAAGAUUGUCACAUCGAGUCAAUACUAACUACUUGAUUUCACGACUCCUCGCCCAUAUGAUCGGAUACAAGUUGGAUUCGAUAAGGGGCUUAGCUUAUUCUCUCCUAUCCUACCACGUGUGUCGAUGGCUAAAUAUAUGAAGACUUAAUGAGGUCUGAAGAUCCACUUCUACACAAAACUCCGAAAGUAGGGACGUGCCCAAGUCACGAGAGUCGGCAGAAGUAGACUUUCCAUCUUUCCAUUCAUCAACUUAAAGCCAAUUGCUUGGCAUUUGUUAAUUUAGGCAAUUGACGAUUCCACGGUCCCUUUCUUGCGAGUAGGGUUAGGUUCCGUCUCAUACAAUAAGUUUGAGGCGCUGAAACCAUGGCUACUUAAAUGAGCAGUCCACAAAUACCUCCAUCUCGGAAUGAAACAGAAGUUGCUUGUGUUUCUGUAAGAUGUCAACUGGAAUAUAUACGACCUAGAAUUUCAUCUGGCUGAUAGCUAAUUUAAGCCCUAGGAUUGAGUCUCACUGACAAAGGAAAAAUGUGGGAAAAUGGAGAUAGAAAGCAAGCAACAAUUUGGAGAUAUGAUUGAGGGAAAAGAUGAAGCAGUGAAGUUCAUCGAAGAAGAAAACUCAAUGUUUGUAGAAUGGCAGGAAAAAAAUAGAAAAAUACUAAACUCAUGGUCGAAUGAACAAAACAAAGAGGAUUAUAGUGUCGAUGGUAAGAUGAUCCGGAUUCCGAUGCACCCACACCGAAGAGAAAGAUGAACUUUUGCCCAGUCACCCAAUUAAAUAAAAAAGGAAGUUACAAUUUAUGCUAAUUUAGGACAAUUUAUAGCUAAAGGAAGAAAGAAACGUGCAUCCAAGAGUAGUUCCCAGCUCAAAAAUGGAACUUUUUUGCACUAAAAUUCAUUACCUUGUCAUGAGAAUCUGCUUCAAAUUCAGAGUAGCACCUCUUUCGAAGAUGGAGAAGCAUACAUUCCAGCGCUAUUCAGCUUUCAAUACAGCAAUUUCUUUUCUUCCUUUAGCGUUUUUAUAACUAACUACUACCGGGGAGACAGUUCGGAGUACUAACGAAACUCGUAAGGGUAAUCAAUAACGAGAUCCUGAAGUCAAAUAGUUGCCUUCUUCUUGGCUUUCCUGCUGAAUUAUAUAUUUGUUUGCUGGAAAAGAAACAGCAAGCAGCCUUUCUGAUGGAAAAUGUCGCUUUGAAUGCUGUUGUUCUGCUUUAACUUUGUUCGUGGGCUAGGUUACAAAGAAGCCGCGUGGGUCUUGAGCACAAAGACAUGUACAGACUUGUGUCGUUUUGAAUAUUAUCUUGAAGUUAUUUCUUAAGUAUGGUUAGAGAUGUGCAAAUUGUACAUCCUCACUGAGGUUGAAUUUCUUUACCUUGCGCAGUACGGUAAGGAUACUUGCCUUGCCCACACAUUGGCAUAUAUAUUUUAAAUGAUAUUGCUAAAAAGGUUUUAUACAACAAAUUUAAUGGACAAUUUUUAUAAUUUUUUUAAAAAUUAAUUUGUUAAUUAUUUUUAUUUUUAAGAAUAUAAUAUUUAUUUUUCUUUUUUCUUUUUUCUUCUUCUUCUUCUUUGGUCAGCCGCCGGCCACGACGACUGCCGGCGGCCAGCCACAAGCGAGCCUCGAGCUCGCCCAGCUCGCCGACGUCGGCAAGCUCGAGUCUUGCCAGAUCGGUGAGGCUCCAGAUCCGGCGAGCUCGAGGCUCGCCAGCGUCGGGCGAGCUCGAGCUCACCCCUCGCCGGAUCUAGCGAGGCUCUAGCUUUGCCGAAUGUCGACGACGCCUCCGCCUCGCCAGAUCUGGUGAGCUCGAGGCUCGCCGACAAGUUUGAGUCUCGCCAGAUCGGUGAGGCUCGAGCCUCGCCGGGCAUCGGCGAGGCCUCCGCCUUGCCAAAUUUGGCAAGCUCAAGCUUGCCCGACGCCGCUCACCGCUGGCAAGCUCGAGGCUUGCUUGGCCGGUCGCCGGCCAUCGCCGUGCCAGCGACCGGAGGAAGAAGAAAGAAAAUAAUAAUAAUAAUUAUAAUAAUUAUAAUUUCGGUUUUUAUAAAAAAAAAAAUUUGUAAAGUUAAAGAGAGGAGAGAAAUGGUGAGGUUUUGAGUGAAAAUAAAUGGGUUAUUUUUAAUGGGUUGAUAAAUGGGUCAUAAAUAGGUCAACUCUCUAACCCAUUUAAAACCCAUAUAUCUUAGUCUUGACCCAUUAAAACCCAUUAUGGGUGCUUUAUGAAAGAAAGCUUGACCCAUUUAGCCAUAAAUGGGUCCAUAAAUGGGUUGUGCAACCCAUUUAACACCUCUACAUGAGGCAUAUAACAAGCCAGUUAGCGUUUGCAAGGUAAUAUCUUUCUGCCUAAAAUAUGCCUUGCUAGUACCUAUUUCUGAACCACAUGUUUUUGUUUUACCUCAUAUGCUCGAAUUCUAUUCUAUUCUUAUUAGAGGAAUUGAGAUUAAGUUGUAAUUUGAUUAGUGACUUUGACGUUUAAAGUUCCAUGAUGAUAAUUGACAGUUUAUCGAGUACUACUUGACUUAAGAAUUUACACAGACAAAAUGGUCCAUCGGUACUUUUUGAAGAAUCUGAACCUAAGAAUAGAUCUAAUGCUUCUAGUUCUUUUUGCUCAACCUAAUUCUGUUCCUUAACUGGUACUUCAUAUUUGCUCCUUGACACGUUAUGGGAAAUAUAUGGCAGGUAAUAUUUCGUUUGGAAGUUAAGUUGCCAUUGGAAUAUAUGGUUUGAUAAACUGCUUAGGGUUCAUCCUGUGGAACAUAGCACCGUAGAACUCUUGCAUUAAGCCUAUUGUGUGUGCACACGUAAUCAUUUGAAUAUAUCUCCGUCAAAUUGAUGCAUGAGAAUUCAAGCCCCCCAUCACUUUGUCGUGUGAAUUUACUAUGAAUGUAAAUACUAUGAGACACGGAUACUUUUGUUUAGGGACUGAAUCGGUUCCUAAUUUUUUAUGUGAUAAAUGCCUAGGAAAAAAAUCAAAAUUUAGGUGUCAAUAGUCAGGAUGACAGUAUCUAUGAGUUGAUAAUUUGAAGAUUUCUUUUGAUUUAUUUUUUUAUUCAUCAAAAUUAUUAUCUUUAACUUUCACCAUAAUUAUAAGUGAUGAUAUCUCUAUCCAUAAACUGUGUACCAUAUCAAUGAAGGGAUCGAGCAGAAUUUUUACAAAAGUUGAUCAUUUAGAGAUUUUCUUUUGAUUUGUUUUUAUUCAAUUUACAAAUUGCUAUCUAUUAUCUUUUAAUUUCCAUCACAAUUACAGGUGAUAUCUCUAUAUAUACUGCAUAACAUAUCAAUGAAAAGUAUGCUUGAUCGACUCAAUUCUUUGUUUUAGUUUGAUAUAUUCUAGAUAUCUUCACAAUAUUCUAGAUAUCUCUACGUUGGAGCGCUGUCCCUUCCCAAAUGGAAAAGAACAAUUUGAGUUUGUCUUCUUCUUCUCUUAGUCACUCGCAGGUCCAACACGUAACUGAUCGCUGCCCAAUUAUCUUAGCAAACAAGUGCUUCAAGCCACCUAAAAUGUUUAUAUUAGGCAAUUAGAAAAGACUGAGAAGGUGAAGUCAUUUCCAAAGAAUUCGAAAUGUAUCUUCCUUAAAAUUCAUUCAGCUUAUCCUAAUACGAUCACAUCAUGGAGUAAACGUGUCCAUAGGCUUUAAAUUUGUUCAAUUUGCUCUCAUUCGCGUCGAGUGUAUGAUCAAGAUGUCAAAUUGACGAAAUUCUAAAAGUAGCUAUUGGGGACAAGAGGCAGCCAUCCCUAAUGCAUUUCUCUAGGUACAACCACGGUAGUUGUUCCUAAAGGCCCGUCAACGGUUUUGCAAAGCAACCGCCAUUUCUCUUCGGGAGAAGACGGGGUGACUUGGGACGUGUCGUCACUGAUAUUGGGAAUGAUUUUGCAAUUCUACCUUUUAGAAAUGGUUUUGGCCACACCCCUUGUCCAUUCUCAAGUUCCAAUUUUGACUCUGGAGUGAGAAAAUAGAAGAUGCAUAAUACAAGCCAAGGGGGAAAAUAAUAAAGAUUAAAAUUUAACUCAUUACAUUUUUGCCAAUUCAAUCCUAAAGCCAAUUUAGUCCUAAAUAUUUUCACAUUUUCCUAAUUUAGACAUAAAAUCGUUAAUAUGAACUCCGGUCAUCCUUUAAAAAUCUUUUAGAGUUUUUUAGUAACUAUUUAUUUUUUCUUUUGUAUUUCUUUUACUUUUUUUUUUUUUGGACUGAGGGUCAACAAUGGUCGCUGCUGGACCCUAUUGGAAAAGAAAAGAAAAGAAGAAAACCAAAAUAAUUAUUAAAAAAUAUAUAAAAGAGAAUGUCCAUGUCUCCAUCGAUCAUAUCACAUAGGGACGUUGAUAUCCACGUUAGUAAUUUCCGAAUUAAAUUGUCUGGAUUGACUCAAGUGACAAAACAUUAAAAAAUGUGUAGGAUUAAAUUAUCACAAUAAAAAUGUUUAGAAUUAGUAUAAGUAUAAUAAAUUUUAAAAAAAUGUGGUAAUUUUUCCAAAGACAAGACUAAGGUAUCUUCUGAAAUAUCCAAUAUCAAUGCCGACUAUGACGCUAUCCACCUCUCACGUAUUCAUCUAAUAGGAUAAGGAGAAGAAAAAGAUGAUAUUAUUAAGGCCCUCCUCGGUCGUGCGAAUUGGUCGAUUCCUCCCGCACGCUUCCCUCCCUUUCUUGCCCUCCAAGAUCGUAGACCGACAAAAAGUCUGAUGUCUCGUGGGCUCGAGACAGCAGCGCAUCCUAAUGCCACGUCACGUUUCUGGCCCUAAAUUAAUUUCCCAGACCCUACCUGACUCGCCCAGAUUGUCUGUUCUCUUUCCUCUUCCCCAAGGCCCGACCCUGUUAAGAUAUUCGGGAAUUCAAGAGAAUCAAAUGGUUAAACAAUGUGUUGAGCCAGAGACAAAUCAAAGAUUACUGUAGUAGACAAGCAAGCAGCAGACUAUGAGGAUGGGAAUCUACGCUCUGUCGUUUUCCAAUGGUUAAGCAAUGUCUUACUUGUCUAUUCUUGACCUAAAUUGUCGUGAUUUGGGGGAAAAUAUGUAAAGUCUCUUUCCUCUUUUUGUUUUUAAUGGAUAGCAAAUUAAUUAUUCUCAUCCGAUUUGUUGAAUCAUCUGCUCACAACUCACGUCACAUGAACUUGUCUUGAAAUGUGCAUAUGUAAUUACACGACAAGACAUCCAUGUCAAAAAUAGUCUGUUUUGAGUCUCAAUUUGCAUCUCUAAUGAAAUUUAUUGAGAUUAUAUGGACACAUGGUCAUCUAUUGAAUCUUUUUCAUUUUAUGUGAUCUCGAAAUGCUUAUCAAGCGUGUUUAAUGUUGUUUAACGUUGAAUUUUCAACCAAUUGAUUUUCAAAUUUUCUAAAAUAUAUAUCUAUCUAUAUUUAGCAUCACUAUACUCGCAUUGGCUCAUGAUUUGAGGAAUUCCAAAUUCCCUUUUGUCUCCAUUUUUUUUUGUAGAGAAACGUGUAUUAUAUGUCUUCUCCAUGAGGAAUUAAUGAUUGUGAAAGAAGUGCAUUCUCAUUUCAAAAUCUUCCGAUACUUUGUGGCAAGAUGGCUGAUUUGUCGAACACUGCCAAUAUCUAUGUCGGAUCCAAUCUCCCGUUGUCUUGAUCCUGACUUUAUAUUAGCAUUAGAUUUCAAGACCACAGUUCAUCAUUUUGUAAUGUUGGAUAAUAUUAGCAAUAAUACUAUUACCCACUUAAGCGGAAUUCAACUAUGAAAAUAAAAUAAAGCAAAAUAAAAGGCACAAAAAGGUAUUCUGGUGUAUUAGAGUCGACCACUAUAUUGCACUCAUACUAGGAAGACAACUCUCUUCACGCUCCUUAGCAAGCAGAUUGGAACAUGCCAUCUUAUUUUAUUCUCGUUUCCUUGACUCCGUGUUUCAUUAGGAAGCAAUCGCAAACAUAAUCAAUAAAAAUCAUGUGAUGAUCCGAAAAAUCCUGUUUGAUGUUAGGACAAUACUUAGCAUGCCGAUGACGGACAUUGAUGCUCAUCCUUCAUGUGGAUCUAAGUCAAGAUAUGGCAAUCAAUUUCAAGAUUCGAAAAAGAUGGAACAUACAACAAUAAUAAUAAUAAUAAAAGAAGAAGAAGAAGAAGAAGAAGAAAUGUUGGGUCUUUGAUUAAAGUUUGAAUGACUUGAGCCGGCGUCCGAAGCUCGCAGGAUCAUUUUAUAUAAUGCAAGCGCAAGAGCAUUGCACUACCACAGACCCACGAGAAAAACGAAAGGACGCUCUUGUCCUUCUUCGUCUCCUCCACCGCCGCCACCAUCAUCGACCUCCCGAACUCGACGGGCGAGCAUGGAGAACGGGGCGCCGGCCUGGAAGUUCCGGGGCAACGGGGGGCUCUCAGCCGCGACGGUCAUCACCGUCCGCGGCGUCCUCUACGAGCUGAUGGCGAAUCUCAACGCCGACGACGGCCGCACCGUGGUCCCGCUCGGCCACGGCGACCCUUCCUCCUUCCCUUGCUUCCGCACGGCCCCCGCCGCCGAGGACGCCGUCGUCGAGGCUCUCCGCUCCGGCAAGUUCAACUGCUACGGCCCGACCGUCGGUAUUCUUCCCGCCAGGAGGUAAGAAGGCGGUGUCGCUCGAGAUUAUCAGGAUUAGAUUUCUCGUUUAUGUUCGCGACCCUUUUUGGCUUGAAUCAAAAGGGGAACAGGGAAAAAUGAGAUUUGAGAAUUGUGUACUUUAAAAAAAUAGCAUUCUAAGAAUGAAAGGCCAAAAGAUAUUUUCCUUGUCUUUUGAUUUUUCAGGAUUAUAUUAUAUUACUGCGAAUGAAAAUAUUUUUUAUUAAUUCAUUAUUUAAUCGACAUAAAUAAUCAUUUAAAAAAAUAUUUUUCAAAUUAUUUAUUUUUAAAGCUUAAGCUUUAGAUUAGUUAUCUGUCUUGUGAAAUCUUGACACGAGCAGAUGACAUGCUCUGUAUAAGCUUCGUGAUAGCAUGGAUCGACUCGUGCUUCUUGUGGUCUGGACCGUUUGUUUAGCCGUGCAGCGUACUCCCUAAGCAUGUUAUUUCGCAUCCUCGAUCUUCCUAGUACCUAUGAGUCGAUUGUUGAUGCGUUUAAGGUACUGACGGAGUCUUCUACUUACUAAUUCCCAGGAUUUACGUUCAUGUGGUCAUACAAGAUUUAAGAAAUCGUACAGUUAAAUAGUCAAUGAUUGAGAGGCUGAUGAGUGGCUAGUUUGGAAGGUGACUCAAUUGAAGUUUUUGGACCUUAUUGCGUGUUCUGUUUCCUUCGCAACGACUGCAUGGGGUCAAAUGCAAAAUGCCUAGUUCUGGCAGUUGUUUUGCUUCGAUUGUACGAACCAUUUUGGUUUGUUCGUGGUUGUAUCUUAACAGCAGAGUAGCUGUUAUUGCCGACCAAUAUCAACUGUAUCGUCAAUCAACUCGAAUCAUCAUAUUGCUAGCAAAUACAGUGUAUUGAAAACAGAGAGUAAAUGAUGAAACCAAGCUUUAUUAGUGACUAUAGGAAGUAGUCAUUGUUAAUGGUUUGGAUAAAGAUUGAAUUUUAUGGAAAGGCCGCUAUGAAUGUGUUGAUCUAGGUGCUUUCUGUAGGUUAAAUAGCAAUUUAUUUCCAGACGACAUGUUUGAGUGAGCUAGGCUAAUCGGGGGCACCAAAUUCUACAGGGCUAUUGCUGAUUAUCUCUCUUGUGAUCUCCCGUACAAAUUAUCACCAGAUGAUGUUAAUCUGACACUCGGGUGCAAACAAGCAAUUGAAGCCAUAUUAACAGUUCUCGCUUGCCCUGGGGCCAAUAUAUUGCUUCCAAGACCUGGAUUCCCAUGCUAUGAUGCAUUUGCUAAACACAGCCAUCUUGAGACACGAUAUUUCGAUCUUCUUCCAGAUAAGGGUUGGGAGGUUGAUCUCAAGGGUGUUGAGGAUCUUGCAGACGAGAGUACUGUCGCCAUGGUUAUCAUCAAUCCUGGCAAUCCUUGUGGAAGUGUCUAUAGCUACCAGCAUCUAAAGAAGGUUGCUUUUGCAUUUUGUUUGAGAUCUCUUCGUAUCUUAGCAAGUAGACGAAUUGUGAACAUGGAAAAAUCUAUGACUAUAAGCUGGAAUGGAGCUAAUAGAUUCCGCUGGAGCUUAAUCUAGAGAGCUACCUUGCCUCUUGAGAUGCUCGUUUAUCUCAAGGCAGUGGAAGCUCGAUAGAUUUAGAUUUGUCGCCAGUCACUUUUAUAAUCUUUGGUAUCCACAUUUGUGUUGCAUCAGCUGUUGUUCAUCAUUUUCUUUCUUUCAUUUUUGAAAAAAGGUUGCCGAAACAGCAAGGAAGCUUGGGAUUAUGGUAAUUGCGGAUGAAGUCUAUGGUCAUCUAGCUUUUGGGGAUACCCCAUUUGUUCCCAUGGGUGUUUUUGGAUCCAUUGCGCCUGUCUUGACGUUGGGAUCAAUAUCAAAGAGGUGGAUUGUUCCAGGUUGGCGACUUGGUUGGCUUGUGACAAAUGAUCCAAAUGGUUUUCUGAUAGACACUGGGGUCUCUCUCUCUCUCUCUCUCUGUGCACGCGUGAGCGGAACGCAAUUGCUUGCUUGAUUGUAUAUCUAUUUGGGCCAAAUUAUGUGACUACUAGGGUUGGUCACAGGAUACUUAGAUUGUUCCUUUUCUCUUUACAGGUUCUUAAGUCCCUUAAAGGAUUUCUGGAUAUAUCCUCUGAUCCUCCUACAUUUAUCCAGGUACGUACCUACUCCAGAUAAUUAACCAGUGACUUUCAGAUUUGAAGACGUGGUGUUUUUCAAAAUGAUUUAGUUGCUAGGCUUUUCUGCACUAUUUUUGUAUCACUACCAGAGCGAGUUGUGGAUAUUCUUGGCUAUUCAUUCAGGAAAUGACAAAUUAAUGAGAGCUUUUUCUCUUGAAGAUGGAUAAUUAAAACAAUGGAUACUGCAUAGCAAUGUAGAGUCGCACCCCAAGCAGAACCCCAAUGAUUUACAUGUUUCCUCUCUACAGUCACCUGGUGUAUGUUAUUUUUCUCAGUGAUUUUAGACUGUAAUGCACAAGCUGUGCAUAUUGCUUUUAGAAGUGAUCGAUAUUCCGUCUCAGUCAUUGGGCUUGAUUUAUCUGAACUCACUUUCACUUGAUAAAGUAUUGUUCUUCAUUUAAUCCUUGCAAGAGUGCUUGCUAACUUUUAUUUGUGGACAACUAGCAUCCUUAUCAAAUAACAGCUAAUUAUUUUCUGCUCUUCAUUGUGAUUCUAACAGGCGGCAGUCCCUCACAUUCUUGAAAAAACAAAUGAUGAUUUUUUUUCAAAAAUCAUUUGCAUACUAAGAGAGGCUGCAGAUAUAUGUUAUGAGAAGAUUCAAGAGAUACCUUGUGUCACAUGCCCAAAAAAGCCAGAAGGAGGCAUGUUUGUAAUGGUAUGGGCAUACUAUACACAUACACAUACAUUAUGUAUGCAUAUAUUUUUAUUUUUUCAUCGGUAUAGCGUACACUGUUAUGCAAUUUAUAUUUUUUCUCGAUAUGUGAAAGAUGCCAUUGUGACAGGUCAAGUUGAAUUUAUCAUUGUUGGAGGGCAUAAAGGAUGAUCAGGAGUUCUGCUUAAAACUGGCUAAAGAAGAAUCUGUUAUUGUUCUGCCUGGUAAACUCAGCCUCUCCAAUUGCUGGUGAAAGGAAAAUAUAUUGAUGUUAUUUUUUAUGCAUCUGUUUCAUUUUUCUAACUUAUUUCAGCUUUUUGAAUUUUUCAAACGCGUCCCCUGACAUUUGUUUCUUGAAAUGCACAUUGGUUAAGAAUGCUACAAGGGGCUUCAGAGUGAGAGUCCUGAUGACCAACUUACUUCGCAGAUUUCAAAGGACCCUAAAAUUUUGGAGAAAUAGAAGGGAUCCUAGUGAUUUCAUUUGAAUUUACUCUGUGGAAUUCUUGCGAGCUUAUGCUGAGAUAAUUCCGGAGCAAACCCAUCCCAUUUUCGCCACUUGCUUCUUACUUGUGCAAUGUCCGUAUCCAUCAGAUGAUAAUCGAUGACAUUCGUUUUUGCAAGGAUAGCUGUUGGAAUGAAGAACUGGCUUCGCAUCACUUUCGCCAUCGAUCCAUCUUCUCUCGAAGAUGGCCUGAAGAGGAUUAAGGCCUUCUAUGGAAGGCAUGCCAAAAAAUAAAUGAGCCGGUCCAUGCCGGCGCCAGAAAGGGCUGAGAUCAUCAACUGCUCGUUGGAUCUCGAGAUGCCUCUGUGGCCACGUCGAAGACCUUUGCAAUGUGUGAAACAAGAUUAGUAAAUCCAUAAGAAAGCUAAUUAUCCGGGCAUUUGCUCGGAAGCAGGGGAUGGAGGAGGCGGCAAUCAACCUGACUCUUGAUUCGAUCCGAAACCUCCGUUGCAUUAGCUUUGGCUUGAAUAAAAAACUUCGAUUAAGGGCUUCUUAUUUUGCUGCUCGGGCCCGGAAGCAGGGGAUGGAGGAGGAGGAAAUCAACCUGACUGUUGAUUCGAUCCGAAAGCUCCGAUGCGUUGGCUUUGGCUUGAAUAAAAAACUUCGAUUAAGGGCUUCCUAUUUUGCUGCUCGGCAAAAUGUCAAGCGGCAGUGUCAUUAGGUGAUCAACAACUCCCUGUUGUCGGUCUCAUGUUGUCUUGUGCUUGUACUUUAAUCGUCUCUUUAGAAAUAAAGAUGUGAUGGCAUCAGAUAUGAACGUUCCGAUUUCCAAAUGCGUCGCAAUUCGCCGAUAAUUUCUAUUGGCGGAGCUAAUUACAUCGAGGGAAACUCCUAGGGAGCUCAUGAGGAUAUCUCUACUCGAACGAAAACAUACAAACUCCCUCGAAAUUUGUUGACAUGUAUUGUCGCCUGCAUGCAUGUUGCUGCACAUCAUUCCUAGAAAAUUCUACAUGAAGUAAAUUAGCCUUGUUGUCCAAAGGUACCUUCCCAUCAAACUUAAUCGCCGAACAAGUAAAGCGAAUUUGAUUAUUGUGUACGAAGGCUGGUUUUUGCCUGGAAUUCCUAUUAGACAUGAUAAGGUCGGAUAAAACAAAAAUCAAGCAAUGUUUGGAAAAUCACUGAUGUGUGAUGUCCAAGCUGGAUUUUGAACAGAUGGGUUGAAUGUCAAUGUGAAAGCUCUAUAAUUUUUUAUGUUUGCAACUUUAAAAAUUAGAACAUGCUAAUGGAAAUCACAAAAAGUGUUAAAAAAAAAGUCUUAAACCUUUUGUAUUUGUGCCAAUUGAGUUCUAAACUUUUUUUUAGUGCCAAUUUAAUCUUAAACAUUUUUACUUAGUAUUAAUUCAAUCAUUUCCCAAAAAAAAAAUUCAGUCAUUUCUGGCUAAUUUGAGCUGGAUUUUGCCGACUGACUAUUAGCCAGCUAACAUAGAUAAAUUUUAAUAAUAUUUUAAUAUUUUGCUUUUUUCUUUUUCUUUUUUUCUUUUUUUCCUUCUUCUCCUCCUUCCUUUAGCCGGUGGCUAAACCUCGGCGAUCGGCCAAAGGCAAUAGCCAACGAGGGCGAGCCUUGCUAGCUUGGCAUGAGACUGCCCUCGGGGCACGGGCAGCCUUGAGUUGGCCUUGUGCCGGGCUGGUGAGGCUUACCCUCAUUGUAUCUGACGUGGGUUUAGCCUCGCUCACCGUCGCCAAGGUCCGCAACCAGCUGGAGGAAGGAGAAGAAGAAGGAAAAAAGGAAAAAAAAAAAGGAUAAAUAAGAAGAAGAAAAUUCAAAAAUUAAAAUAAUAUUAAAAAUUGUCAACAUCAAUAGUGAUUGUGCCACAUUAACUUGCCGGCGCCCAGUCAGCAAAAUUCGGCCACAAUUAGCCAGAAAUGAUUAAAUUGGCAUCAAGUAAAAAUAUUUAAGAUUAAAUUGGCACAAAAAAAAAGUUUAUGACUAACAAAUGUAAAAAUGUUUAUGACUUUUUUUUUUAACUCUUUUCCUAUGAAAAUCCGACUAGUGGAGUUAAAAAGUAGCACAGGGCAGCAUACCAAACAAACGUCUUCGGUCCAUUUAUUGGAAGGCAGUUACUAGCCAGUCUUACUACGUUGGAUCCAAUCCUCAAAACCAAAGGGAAAGACUCAAAAGAGGAAGGAGAUGCAUUAUGAUUGGAUUUCUUAAACCAAGUCACCGUAGAAUCCUAUUCUAGUCUAUGCAUAUGGGUGAGUUAAUGAGUCAUCAUGUGAUUGGUCUAGGCUUGAUGUGAUAAUCCAGAGACAUGCUUUCUUUUGCAAGUUCUUUCUUUCAUUGACAUUCUCCAAUGCAUCAAUAUCUUGUGGUGAUUAAUAAUAUAUGACAUUCUUCUUUUGCCACAAUUAAUAGACCCCUGGUGGACGCCACGCAGGCAGAGAAGAGAGCUUAAAAGAGUUGUUAGACCUCUCCCUCUCCAUCGAUACCUCAAAAAAGUUGAAUUUUACUAUUAUGGUCAACCUUCUUAUCUUGAACUCUUGACUUACCUUAUCGCAAGUGCCAUUGCCCUUGAGAAGUUAGCGGUGAAUACCUGUGACAAAGAGUAUGUUUCAGGGGAAUGGAAAAAGUGAACGAGCUUUGCAACAAUUCAAGAGAAAAGUACCUUUAAAGAUUGCUCUAGUGAUUAAUUAACGAAACGGAGCUUCAUGGUAUCCAUAUAGGAGAUAUGGAUGGUGUUUGCAACCUACUCCUCUCCCCUUUUUCAAGGUUUCUUUUUUAUUUUAUUUUAUUGCGAAUAUAAGUUUGUUUAUUAAUAAUUUAUUGUUCCUGAUUUUAUUUUGGAUUUUUAAGUUAUGUCAUAACUCAAAGCCAUGAAUAAUGAAUGUUCGUGCAAUUCUCGUGUCAUUUUAAUCCGUUAAGGACUCCAAAACAACCGCCAUUUUGUGCUUGCUGGGUACUUGAUAGUCAUUAAAGUGAUGGUAAGAGAGAAUAGACAUGUAACUUUCUCAUGGGCUUUUUGGAUGCCUCCCAAUUUAUAUGCGGUCUCAGUUUGGUAUCUCAAUUUGCAAAGAAAUUAGAGGUAAUUCUCUAGAAUAUAUUCCUUUGUUAGAGAUAAUUAUUUAUAUUAUGCAUAUACCUCCCUUUGAUUGUGUAUAUCAUUGAUCAAUAUGUCAUGUAAGAUAAAUAUUUAAGAAAGCCAAUUUAGGCUUUCUCUACAUAUAUAUUUUUGUUAGUCCACAUCCAUUCUUCUCAUUCAUUCUCACUCAGUAAUGAAACCUCCUUCAUUUCUAAGCUUUUUUCUCUCUCUUCCAAGCCCAGCGAGUUGUACGAAAAUAAGAUUGUCACAUCGAGUCAAUACUAACUACUUGAUUUCAUGACUCCUUGCCCAUAUGACUGGAUACAAGUAGGAUUCAAUAGUGGCUUGGCUUAUUCUCUCCAAUCCUACCACAUGUGUCGAUGGCUAAAUAUAUGAAGACUUAAUAAGGUCUGAAGAUCCACCUCUAAUUUGUUUUUUUAUUCAAUUUCCACGUAUAUCAAAUUAUUAUUUUUAACUUCCACCGUAAUUAUGAGUGAUGAUAUCUCUACUUAUACCGUAUAAUAUGUCAACGAAAAGAUCAAACAAAGUAUUCAUAAGUUGAUCAUUUAAAUAUCAAACGGAGUAUUUAUAAGUUCAAUCUCAUAGUCAAGGUUGCCAAGCCAAUUUUUUUAUUCAAUUUCCACGUAUAUCAAAUUAUUAUUUUUAACUUCCACCGUAAUUAUGAGUGAUGAUAUCUCUACUUAUACCGUCUAAUAUGUCAACGAAAAGAUCAAACAAAGUAUUCAUAAGUUGAUCAUUUAAAUAUCAAACGGAGUAUUUAUAAGUUCAAUCUCAUAGUCAAGGUUGCCAAGCCAAUUUUGGAUAAACCCACAUGAAACAAUUGGAUGGAUCGAAAUGGAAGGAAUCGGAAUAAGCAGUGAAUAAUUGAAAAAAGUAAAUCGCGUGUGAAUAAACCAUAAUAAUGUCAAGAGCAACAUCCGGAAAUCGGAAUUGGAUGAUCUAAUGAAACCGCAACUUCAAAACUUGGGGAAGGAGAGAAAGGACAUCGUGCUCUUAACUUUUUUUUAAUUUAGCAUCAUGCCGCAAUCGUUCUCCAGCUACGAGACUUCCGUUUUCCUAAUUCAGAUCCACUCUUUCUCAUUCAUUCUCACUUGGUAAUAAAGCCUCUUUUGUUCCUAAGUUAAUUUUUUAAUUAUUAUUAUUUUGAGGCACCAUGAUUCAUUGCUAGAAAUUGAAGAAAACGAAACUCCAUUGAUCUAUACUAUUAUAAAAAUAAAUAAAUACCGUAUUCCUACUUAUAGGGAAUCUCAAUUGUUUUUGUUUUUUUACACGUAUCUUUGAUUGCUUAUCUCACGAGUAUAACGUCUGUCUACAAACACGCAAGUUCAUAAUUUUAUUUUAUCUCUCACAUAUUUCAAUAUCAAAAUGUAGAUACGCCUUAUGCCAGGACAACAUUCCUAAAAGAUUUCGAAUUUUGGAUUAUUGUUAUUAAUCCACUUAUAAUACAAUAUAUUCAUAUUUUGUAUUUUUGUCAAUAAUUUCUUCUCAUUAUUGAAUGAUUCAAACAUUCCAUAACAAAAUAAUUCACUUGAUCUUUCAAAUUUUGAUUACUUGUGCACACACAAUGCGUAUGCACAUUUGCUGAUAUCAUUAAAUAAUUCAAGUACUUCAUAACAAUGAUGAUUGUGUUCAAUCUUUUAAACUUUUAUUAGGGAAAAUAACACAAAUGAUCUUAAAAUAUUUAUCUAAUGUGCAAUACAAUUCAUGGACUUUUAAGUUGUUCUAUACAAUCUUUGAACUUUUGGUAUAUAUUCAAUUUACUCCAUAAAUAAAAUUAAAUAUUUCAUAUAAUUCAAUAACUAUAUUGAAUAUAUAUUAAAAGUUUAUGGACUAUACUGAACAAAUGAAAUCAUAUUAUAAAUUGGGCUAAAGUCAAAGACAAUCGAACAAAUCAAAAGUUCAUAGGCCAAAUUACAUUGAGCAAAGUUCAAAUACCAUUUGUAUAAUUAUCACUUUCAAUUACUCAUCAAUGCAUGCGCACUUUUGCUUGUAUUCCGAACCAAACAAACAUGCUCUUUUAAGUCUGCAGUAAUGAUGACCAAUCAAGUUUCGGGAGACGAGACAUCUCUAUCUUGUCAUUUUCAUGGAUACUUACCCAUGAAAGUCCAUUCCAUGGGAAUUGUGCUUGCUCUCUAGGUUCGAGCAUUGUCCCUUUGCAAAUUCACAAGAACAAAUUGAUUUUGUCUUCCUCUCUUAGCAACUUGCAUGUCCACUACGUAACUAAAUUAAGCAAUCUCAGCAGAAGUGCUUCAGGCCAUCUGAAAUGUGGGAUUUCGGGCAAUUAAAAAGCUUCAAAAUUGAAGUCAUUUCCAAAGACUCAAAAGCCCUUCCCGUUUGCGUAAAACAUAUUAUCCAGGACAAAGGCAAGCCAUCCUUAAUGCAUUUCUCUAGGGAACAGCUACCGCAAUCACCAUUCCGUCGCUGACGAUCAUCGGUAAUAGUUCUUUUAUGAUUUCAGAGAUGGUUUUGAGCAUGCCUCUCCUCCAUUUUCUAGUCAGGAGCAGCAGUGAUUUUCAGUUUUGACUUGGGUCGAGAUGAUAUUUCAUCGACGGACUAGAAAUUAGAAGAUGCCGGACUUCUAAUGCAAGCCUUGGCGUUAAAGAAGAUUUCUUCUUCCUCCUCAAAACUAUUGAAAAAUCCCACAUUUGCCCUUUAGUUCAUGCUUGGAUCUUUCCAAGCAAAAUUCGCCCAAUAGAAUAUGGAGGAAAAGGAUGACAUGCAGGCCCCCACGGUCGUGCGAAUUUGUCGAUUCCUCUUGGUGCGCUUCUCUCCCUUUCUUGCUCUCAGUGAUCGUAGAUAACCAAAGUUGACGUUUGAACACCUCUGAUAACGAAAAAAGUAUCAAAAAAAAAUCCUAAACUUAUUAUAUUUAUGUCAAUUUGUAUCAAUCGAGUUUAUCUCGCUAAUUUAAGCCGAAAAUCACUAUAUGAAUAUCAGUCAUUCUAUGUGGUACAACCGACAUAAACAUUGAUAUAUUUAUAUAAUUUUUUGUUUAUUUUUUCUCGAAAAUCAUGAUUUUUUUUUAAUAUCUAUAUCAAUAUCGUCUUUAUCACAUAGGAUGACUGACAACAACAUUAGAGAUUCUCGAUUUAAAUUGGCCAAAUAGACUCAAUUAAUAUAAAUACAAAAAAAAUUAUGACUAAGUUGAUUUAAUUGAAAAGUUUAGAACUAAAUUGACGUAAAUAUAAUAUGUUUAAAACUUUUUUAAAACUUUUCCAACCUCCCACGGGUUGGGUCCAAGACAGCAUCUUGUCCUAAAUUAAUUUCCCAGACCCUACCUAAUCCACCCAGAUUAUCUUUUCUUUCUCCUCUUUCCCAAGCCCCGACGAGUUAAGAUAUUCAGGAGUUCAAGAGAAUCAAAUGGUUAUCUUACUUAGCCAGAGACAAAUCAAAGAUUACUUUAGUAGACAAGCAAGCAACAGACAAUGAGAACGGGAAUCUGCACUCGGCGUUUUCUAAAUGCGCCCCGGUGUGUAAAUUGUCGCGAUUUGCGAAUACAUGCGGAGUCUCUUGCCCGUCUUUUUUUUUUUUUUUUUCCUUUCUUUUUCGAUAGUCAACAAAUUAAUUGAUUCUUGAUUGACCUGUUCAAUCAAGCCGGUCACAUCACAAGAACCCGUCUCUUUCGUGGAGUCGGUGGGUGCGGUCUUGUGAAAACACCAUAUACUCAUAAUUAUGAUCUUUAUGUACAUUUCAUAUUUGGAUUGUGCUAAUGAGCGAUCCUGUGACACUUAUCAACAUGUUUAAUUUGGGAUCAUUAAAUUUUCAACCACUUAAUUUCCAAAUUUGUUAAUAUGAGAUAUACAUAUCUUUAUUUUACUUAUGAUUUAUGGGGAUCCCACAUUCCCUUUGUCUCCAUUUUUCAGGGAAAAAACAUGCAAAACCUAUAAUUUCCAUAACAGCCCUAAUAAUCGUGAAAAUAGUGCAUUCACAUUUUAGAAUUUUUUGAAGAGCUGUCACAAGGUGGUCGCUUUGUUGAGCACUCCUGAUAUUUACAUCGGAGUUAAAUCUCCGAUCAUCUCAAUCCCGACUAUAUACUAUCAUUAGACUUUGAGAUCACAGGCCAUUAUUUUGUCAUGAGAUGAUCUAGAAAAAUCCCAUUUGAUAUUAGGACAUUGCUUUGGAUGCUAAAAGUGGACCUUGAUGCUCAUUGUACGUGUGGAUCCAAGUCGAGCUCCAACAUUUUAUAAACAAUUUCAAGAUUCAAAAAAGGAUGGAAUGUAUAAAGACAUCGAUAUAUUAAGUGAUAUAAUGGACUGUAAUUGGCUGUUUAAACAAGUAAUCGUCUUUAAAUACAAUGAAAUCCCGCCGCAUUUCUUAAUAGACCGAUGUUGUAGCUUUCGUGAGAAGAUGGCGCAGUCCUUUGUUCUUUUUUUUUAUCUACGCUCGUGUCAAUUAUUGUCGAAUGACAACAUGCAUUGUUAGUGUAUAUUUUGAAAUUCAAGAGAUACAGAAAAUUCAAACGAACGAAGGAAUGUUCGGAUUCUGCGGUUCCUCCCAUAUUUUUUUUUUCUUUGGUCGAACUCUAAUAGAGGAAUAUGAGAAUGAGUGAUCGAGGGUAUUGACCAACCUUACGAGACUUGAGAUUACACGAUAAAUGGCUGCAAUUGACAUGAUCAAGUAAGUAUUCCCUUCAAGUCAAGUUGUAUUUAUUGUACAGCAUGUCCGUUAAUUCAGAUCAAUCAAUAUUGGCCUUCAUACGUACAUGGCGUCAAGUAAAACGAGAUUCAUGAUGUAGUUUGUAAUUGUGACCAAUAGAUUGGUUAAACAAGUGAGUCGGAUCGAUAAUGGUUCGACUCAAUUAUACAUAUUUGGUGACCUAUAUUUAGUUUGACCUAGCUCACUUUAAUCCAAUUUUAAAACAUUAAUAACCAAAUUAAGAUGAGAUUGCGAGAGUAAGCAAGUGUAAGAUAAAAUAUGGGUAAGGGGGAGUCACGUAAGUGAAUUGAAUCUAAAUAAGUUAAUGAUUUCACUCAGCUUGUCAUAUAUGGAUUAAGAAAAUAAUUUAUAAUUUAAUCUGACACGUCUAGUAGUCAGUUAAUGAUGGUGUUGCUGGAUCCCAGUCACGUGCUGUCUUUCCUGGGGCGGUCAGCUGCACUGCGAGCAGCCGGAGGCUUUUCGCGCCAGCCAUUGUGGUCGCAAAACCGACACUCCGUCGGCGUACGAAGUUCACAGGAUCUUUUUAUACACCGCAAAGCGCAAGAGCACCGCACUUCCACAGACCCACGAGAAAAACGAAAGGACGCUUUCGUCCUUUUUCGUCUCUCCAUCACCAUCAGCAUCAUCAUCAACCUCCCGAAUUCAACGGGGGCCGGCGGGAACGGCAAGGGGAAGGAGGCCAGCAUGGAGAACGGGGCGCCGGCUUGGAAGUUCCGGGGCGACGAGGGGCUCUUCGCCGCGUCGGACAUCACCGUCCGCGGCAUCCUCUACCAGCUGAUGACGAACCUCAACGCGGGCGACGGCCGCGCCGUGGUCCCGCUGGGUCACGGCGACCCUUCCGCCUUCCCUUGCUUCCGCACGGCCCCCGCCGCCGAGGACGCCGUCGUCGACGCCCUCCGCUCCGCCAAGUUUAACUGCUACGGCCCGACAGUCGGUAUUCUUCCCACCAGGAGCUAAAAAAGCGGUGUCGUUUUCGCGGCCCUUUUUGGCUAGAAUCUAAAGGGGAAUAAAAAGCGGCACCUCGUGAAAUCUUGAGACGAGCAGAUAAUAUGCUCUGUAGAAGCUCGGUGAUAGCACGGACCGGCUCGUGCUUCUUAUGGUCGGGACCGUUUGUUUGGCUGCGCCGCCAUAUUCGCUAAGCAUGUCAUUUCGCAUUCUCGAUCUUCCUCGUACCUAUAAGUCGCGAUUGUCGAUGUGUUUAAGGUACCGACAGAGCCGUGUCCCUAAAAAUCACCGGGAUUUACGUUCAUGUGGUCAUGCAAGACUUAAGAAAUUAUAUGGUUAAAGAGUCAAUGAUGGGGAGGCUGAUGACUGGCUAGUUUGAAAGGCGACCCAAUAGAGGUUCUUGGACCUUAUUGUGCGUUUCGUUUCGUUCGCAACAACCGCAAGGGGUCGAAUGCAAAAUGCCUAGUUCUGGCGGUUGUUUUGCUUCGUUUUUUACGAACCAUUUUGGUUCAUUCAUGGUUGUAUCUUAAUAAGCACGGUAGCUGUUAUUGCCGAUCAGUAUCGAUUGUCCUGUAAAUCAUCUCAAAUCAUCAUAUUACUAGCAAAAGCAGUGUGCUUUGAAAACAGGGAGUAAAUGAUGAAACCCAGCCUUAGUGACUACAAGAAGUAGUCCUGUAAAUCAUCUCAAAUCAUCACAUUGUUCUCUUCCUUGCUGAAGUAUGUGAUCAGCUUCAGAAUAUCAUCUCAGUAAUUGCUUGUCAUUUCCGCGAGGGGAAUAUCAUGGACUCAUUCAGAUGAUUUUACCUCUUUUAUGUAACGUGUCAUGAUUAUACAUUUCGUUCCACUGGGUAAUGGCUUGUGAUUGCGGAAUAAAUCAGGUUCUCACGGUAUGGGAGUUGAUGAACUUGUCUUGCCCAUCCAACAGUUGGCAGCGCUUGAUUCUUAGGACGAUGCUGACCAAAUGGCACCUCCCUGGAAUUGCCAAUGUAUUGAGAAGCUCCCCUAGCUCGGAAGUGCUAGAUAUACACAUCAUCCCAGGCGAAGUGCCUUCCAUGGAUGUAAGUAAAUUUAUCCCCAUUCAAAGCUGUCCUCUACAUGCUAUUCUGGGGGUGUGCAAAAUUUUGUGUAACUGUCUGUUCUGAUUUUCUAGGCCCAAGAAGCAUGGCUGCAUUUGUACAAGAUUUGCGAGGGGAACUACUGGGAUUUACAAGAUCGCUCUUUUAGAUGUCUUGCAAACUGCCUCAGAAUUGUCACAGCGUCCAGUGACAUAAAGGAGGAUCAUGUGAUUCAAUUAGUGCAGUUUUUACUCCGUGAGGCAUUUGUUUUGCAGAAGCUUGUCGUCUCUACAGGGCCGAACGAUUCUUCCAUUUCAGUCAAGGAGUCGAAGGAAUUUUCCGACAAGUUGUUGAGUUUUCCCAGAGGUUCUCCUCAAGCUGUAGUUGUGUUUUCUAAUGCAUGACGUUCUUUCCCUGAAUCCUAAGUUUUAAUCCCGAGGUAAUAAGAAGUGGCACCUACCGCAGGGUUGAUUGUGUUACAAUCCUGAUCGACCAGAUUUUGUGAUUGUGAAGCAUAUCUGAUCAAGAUUUCUCGAGUGUUAACUUUUUGGGUUUCGCUGUUCUUCCUUCUGAUUUCUUUCUCUCUCUGGCAACGGGUGUUACCUUUUGAAGAUGCAUUGACAUUAUUGGGAUCGCCUGAAGAGGAGGCUGCUUGUAGAAACUGUUUCUCUGUCAAUAUAUGCUUGGCAGGCCAAUUUGUUUUUGAAGCGGGGGAUUCUGGAGCGACCUCCUUUGACAUUGUAGGUGUAUUCAAUAUCUUGAACUCACUCACAAAAACAUGAAUGUAGAUAAAUUUCGUCCAAUAUAUUACAUUUACAUCCAAUAUCUCUCUGUCCAUGGCAAAUAAAUUUCGUUGAUAUCCCCCCCCCCCCCUUUUUUUUAAUAAUCUUGUUAUUCUUUUUGUUAAAUUAUGCACUGCAUGAAGUACAAAGGUUGCACUGCACUGCCAAAGAGAAAAGUACAGAGGGUGAAAGAAAUGCCCAAAGUGAAAAUGCGCAUCCUGGCAUUCGAAGAGUCGUAAUCACUUGCAGAUAACAUUGUCGUGCGAUCACAAGGCCUAAAGUCAAGCGAUUGUAGCUUCAUUUGUAAUCGCAUAUUGAACAUUAACUGCUUGGAAGUAGAUAAGAUGUGCAAAAUAUCGAGGCCUAAAGUCAAGCGAUUGUAGCUUCAUUUGUAAUCGCAUAUUGAACAUUAAUUGCUUGGAAGUAGAUAAGAUGUGCAAAAUAUAGAAGUUGACGUGUGAGUAAGGGAACCGCGUCACAAACUCAAAUCUAUCUAUUUUCUCACUUUCAGUUUAUCAAUAUAUUUUCGUUUUCGAUACUUGCACUUCCUUUCCCUUUAGAUUCGAUUGUUCUUGAUCAUUGUUAUGCAAUUCAAUGUACCAUCCGAAAUAAUCACUGAACCGGAUUCACAAACACCCAAAGGUUAACCAUUGGCGAAAGGUAUUCUACUAAUUUCUAACGAAACAAUCUUUCAUAUCUCGGGAAGGAAUAAACUAAUUUGGAGUAUUUUAUUUUUUACAGUUUGAGUGUCUAAAUUGUGUUCAAUUCUAUCAUGGUAUUAUAUUGAGGUAAGAGGUAUUUUGAUGGUCUCAAGAAACAAGAAACAUUGGGAUUUUUUAUACAAUAUGGUCGUUCCUUAGAUGGGAAAUUGAUGGUGUACGAUGCAAUAGAUUGGAUCCUGAAGAGAAUAGUGGAUUCCCAAAAACCGGAUUCGACACUAAAUCGAACCCCUAAAACGAAUGCGGAAGACGAGCCCAGGAAGAACAUGUAUCACCGAUCAAAGACACACCAUGGAAUCGAGCGUACCUUAUUGUCCACAGAUUAAACACCAAUGCUGACGAUCGAGGAAAAAUUUUUGAUCCCGUUCUAUCAAGGAGCGUACUGUUAGUUCAAGGGGGAGAAAACUUACGUUGGUUUUGGGAGAGGAGAAAAGAAAAACGUACGUUCGUCCAAAAGGUGCGUUUUCUUUUUCUUUUCUCCCUUUAAAUAUGUCUUCUCCAAAAGACGUGUCCCUUCGGUAAAAGACAUUCCCCCAAAGUUAUAACCCUUCAACAUAUCCCUCCAUCCAUGGGCCUUAAUCUUGUGGGUCGGGCUUUUAGGCCUUAAUCUUGUGGGCCGGGCUUUGGGCGGACGGGCCUUAAGCCCAUCGUCAUACAAAUAAAUAAAACCAACAUCUCCCACUCGCACAUGGUGGGCUGAACAGGAUCCUCUUUACCUCUCUUCAACAUUCAUACCGGUGAAUAAUCCGUGCGAUCAACAUACUUUGAGAGCUCAUUGCUAUACAUCUGUUAGAAAUAUAUAGCAACUCAUAAUGGGCAUCACACUUUGAGUAGAUCGAUCGAUCACAUUUAUAUCUCUCUUGAUCUUUUUUAAAUAAUUAUAUAUAUAUAUAUAUAUAUAUAUAUAUAUAUAUUGUAUUUGUUAGGGAAAUCCCUUAUGAUGUUUUAAAGAUGACAAAAUAAAUCAAAGGCUACUAACAUGUUUAAUGGUUAAGUAAUAGACCAUGCAGAUGAUAGAACAUGUAAAGGAUAUUGUCAAAGUGGGAAGACGACCAGAAGACUGAACGUAACAUGUGCCCAAAGUAUAUUCUGAAGAUUUCCAGACUUCUGUGUCAAAGUCUGAAGGCUGCCAGACUUUAGUGUCAAAGUCUGUUCUACAUCAGAAGUCUGCUCACUCUGACAAAUUCCAGACUGAACGUGAAUGAUGAACCAGAAGACAGACUCUAUGCUGAAGCUGAACUGGGUACAGACCUUAAAGCUAAAUCUGUUCAGAAGCAGAAUAUGUUCAGACUCAGAUUGCAAAGUCUAUCGCACUCAGAUUCAGAUUGUAAAGUCUAUUGCUCUCAGACUUUACAUCCAGAACUCGACAGAACGUAACUCAAGCCCAAUCAUAUAACGGCUAGUGAUCUGGUUUGGAUUCCACAUCAAGAUUGAUUUGAUUGACUCAAUCUAUUUGAUUGACGAUUGGAUCUUGAAGACAAGAUCUUUCUAUACGAAGAAGCUUUACUUAUGGAAACCAAGAUUUCAUUUGUAUGGGCGAUCGGAAUCAAUUUGGGAUUCUACCUUUGUCACUCAACGGCUACCAAAUCUUCUAGAUACAGAGCUGUCCAAUAAGUAUAUUGGAAAACGAUUCUCUGGGAUACUGUCCAACGGCUAGUUUGGAAGUGGAGAAGUAUUUAAGGAGAUGAAGGACCGAUGAGCAAGUAAGAGAUAGAGCGUAGAAUUUAUAAUUCCAAAGUCUGAGCGACCUUCGAUCAUAUACUUGUCUCUUGAGAGCUUAAACGUUUGUGAUCGUGAGAGAAAUACCAAGAGAGUGACUUAGUGAGAUAGUGUGAUCUACUAAGUGUUUGCACUCAAAGUUGUAAUCUCUUGUUGAUUGCAUAGUGGAAUCCAGCCAAGAAGGUUGUUAGUGUGGGAGAGUGGACGUAGGCUUGGAUUAAGUCGAACCACUAUAAUUUCUGUGUUCUUAUUCUCUUCCCUAACUCCUUUGUUUAAAGUUUAUUUUAUUACGCAUAUAUUUGCCAAGAUUUAUCUUAAACACCUAUUCACCCCCCUCUAGGUGUUCAUACUAGCACUCUCAGUAUUCACAAUUAUGAUUAUCCCAAAGACAGUCAUAAUUAGUUGACCAGUGAAUACAAAACUACAAUGUGAUUCUCCAAAUUCAAUCUUCCUCUUUCCUUCAAACUCUCAAUUUCAGUUCAGCUUGCUUUUCUAGAAAUGUCCCAUUAGAUCGAAUCAACUCAUGACCAUUGGCAACAUCCUAAAAUAGUAGACACUAAAUAGAAAUCUUUAGAAUAAGUAAAAGUCAUUAGGACACUAAAAAAUUGAGGAACUCUUUUCAAGAGUCUCACACAGCAUAAAAGUUUAGAUCAAACUUUUGCCACUCUUAUUGGUCGUCUCAUGCAUACAUAGUAUGAAAUACGUAUCAUGGUAUUAACUCCUUUCCCAUGGAGCAUAUGUUUACACUUUCAAUACCGUACAUAUGAUAGUUUAGACAUAUCCAAUGUCUAACUUGAGUUCAUGUAUCUACUCAUUCAAUUCACAAAAUUCAUCGGAACUCACAUCUGGCAUCAUAGACAGAUAAAGUAAAAUAUGUGGGUUAUUUUACUUUUGGACAUAAUAAAUAUUAUGUCAUCAUCUUAACACCCAGUUAAGGCGACAAAUAUAUUUUAAACUUGAGCUCUCGAUUAUCACCUACAUAAUAAGCUUAAAAACCGUUUCAUCUCUAUUCAUCACAUAGUAAAUAGAGGCAAUUACCCGUGUGAGUAGGCCAAUCUUAUAUCUGUCCAACAUACUUUCUCAACUUAAAGUAAUGCACUGAGCAUUAAGAUGCAUAAAGAUCAAACAAAGACUUAUAGGCAUUAAUAAUGAAAAACGCAAGUUCAUUAAUGUGAACAACUCAGGGAAAUUACAAUAUCCAGUACAUCAGACUCUACGCAAUCCUAGAGAUUUUACAUGACCACAAAACACAUCUCUAGGUAUUGGCUUUGUCAUAGGAUCUGCUACCAUUUUAUGUAUAGAUAUGUACUGUAAGUUCACAUCCUUUCGUGCAACCAUAUCUUUGACAAAGUUAUACUUGGUAUCUAUAUGUUUGGUCUUGUCAUAAUAUUUUGGAUCUUUGGUGUACGCUAUAGCUGCUUGGCUAUCACAGUUAACCAAUAGUGGAUUUGCAGCUUUCUUAAUAACACAUAAGUGAUCCGAAAAUCUCUUAAGCCAAACCCCUUCUUAUACCGCUGCUGACAAUGCCACGAACUUAGCUUUCAUCAUGGACAAGGCUAUACAUGUUUGCUUCUAACUACUCCAUGAUACGGUGCCAUUAUUCAGUAAGAAAGCAAAUCCAAAGGUAGAUUUCCUUUCAUCUAAAUCUCCUCCCCAAUCAGCAUCUGAAUAGCCUUCAAGUCGCAGAUCCUUUCCUUGAUAAUUCAGCUUGUAAUUAGCAGUUCCCUUCAGAUACCUCAGUAUUCUCUUAACGGCCUUCCAAUGUGCUUGACUUGGGUUGGAUUGGUAUCUACUCACCAUUCCAACUGCAAAAUAUAUGUCAGGUCUUGUACAUAUCAUAGCGUACAUCAAACUCCCAAUGGCACUAGCAUAAGGAACAUGUUUCAUUUGUUCAUUUUCUUGUGGAGUCCUUGGACAUAGUCUAUGACUCAAUCCUUCACCUUUUGCAAUAGGAGUGUCUAUGGGUUUACAAUCUUGCAUACGAAAUCAUUCAAGAACCUUAUUUAUAUAUGUUUCUUGCGAAAGAGAUAACGACCUCUUCGAACGAUCUCUUGAAAUCUUAACUCCAAGAAUGUAUGCAGCCUCACCCAUAUCUUUCAUCUCAAAGUUGGAAGAUAACCAACUCUUGACAGUGUUUAUAAACUCCCUAUUGCUUUCGGCAAUUAGUAUAUCAUCAACAUAUAAUGAUAUGAUCACAAAUUGAUCUUUGGAUCUUUUGAUAUAUACACAAUGAUCCUCAUCUAUCAUUGUAAAAUCAUAUGCCAUUAUGGCAUUAUGAAAACGUAUAUACCAUUGUCUCGAUGACUACUUAAGGCCGUAUAUCGAUCUCAAAAGUCGACAUACCUUUCCUUUUUGGCCUUUUGUAAUGAAACCAGUAGGUUGUUUUAUAUAUAUUUCUUCAUCUAAUUCUCCAUUGAGGAAAGUAGUCUUUACAUCCAUUUGAUGUAACUCAAGAUCCAUACUAGCCACUAUUGCCAGAAUAAUGCGAAUCGAGGUAAAUCUCACUAUAGGAGAAAAUGUUUCUUCAUAAUCAAUUCAUUUCUGUUGAUUAUACCCCUUCGCCACAAGGCGAGCCUUAUGCCUUUCUAUCGAGCCAUCAGCUUUUCACUUUAUUUUGAGAACCCACUUGUUCCCAACAGCUUUGCGUCCUUUUGGAAGAUCAACCAGUUCCCAAACUUGGUUUGACUUCAUUGACUCAAUCUCCUCUUCCAUUAUAUGAAUCCAUUUUUCCUUACUAGGGCAAUUCAGAGCCUCAUUAAUAUUUCUUGGCUCAUCUUCAUCUUGCGGAGCAAUCAUAAAAGUUUCCCCUUCAAUGUCAAAACGUCGACGGGGAAUACUUUUACGACUUGUUCGCCGUAUGGGAGAUUGUACACUUUGCACAUCAUUCCCCAUUAUGCUCCUACUAGGAUUGGAUAAUGAUGAUGUCGUCUCAUCAUGUGGUUGUAAUUGAGAAUGAGUUGAGUUUAAUUCAUCACUUCUCAUAUUACUUCCACUUGGACGAACUCCACUAAUAUCAUUAUCUUGAUCCAAGGUUUCAAAUAGGGAGUUUCAAAUAGGGAGUAAUCUUCUCCUAUUUCGUCCUUCUUAGGAAAUUCAUCCUCUAAGAAUGUAACAUCCCGUGAUUCAAAUUCAGUUAUACUCCCACUUUCCUGCUCACCUAUGAACACAUACCCUUUCGAGUGUUCGGAGUAUCUUAUUAAAAUACUAUUCUUUCCUUUGGGACCCAAUUUCCUAAACUUGUGAGAGGGCUCAUGAGUAUAGGCAGCACAUCCCCAUGACUUAAGAAAACUUAAGUCCGGUUUUCUACCCGUCCAUAACUCAUAUGGAGUGGAAGUAACUGAUUUGGAAGGCACUCGGUUAAGUAUAUAGGCAGCAGUUAACAACGCAUCACUCCAAAAAGUGAUAGGUAAGUUAGCAUGUGCCAUCAUGGACCUAACCAUUUCCAAUAGGAUUAUGUUCCUUCUCUCCGCAACAACAUUUUGUUGAGGAGUAUAUGAAAUAGACAACUGUCUUUCUAUUCCUUUUUCUAUUCCUUUUUCAUCACAUAAUUUUCUGAACUCAUCAGAUAAAUAUUCUCGACCUCGAUCGGAUCUCAAUGCUUUUAUUUUCUUGUCUAAUUGAUUUUCUACCAAGUUCAUAAACCUUUUGAAACAACUUAAUGCUUCAGAUUUAUGAGAAAUCAAAUAGACAUCCGAAUCGAAUAUAAUCAUCUAUAAAAGUGAUGAAAUAAAUAGCCCCAUGCCUUCCUCUCACAUUCAUUGGACCAUAUACGUCAGAAUGGAUUAAAUGUAGAGGAAAUUCAGCUCUUUUACCUUUUUCCAAAUGGUUUCAUUGUCAUUUUCUCUACUGGCCAAUGCUCACAUAUAGACAAAUCAACUUUUUCAAUAUUACCCAACAAGCCCUCUUUGGCUAGUCUAUUCAUACGUUGUUGGCCAAUAUGACCAAGUCUAGCAUGCCACACAUUCACAUCAUUAUCAUAUGAAUUAGGAGACGUGAGAAGGGAAUAACAAACAUUUGCAUUAACAUAGUCAAUAUCUAAUAUAAUGAAACCAUCCAGAAAAUAACUAUACCCAUAGAAAUUUGUAUCCAAAAACAAAUCCACACCUCUAUUAUGAAAGUUCAUAUUAAAACCUAACUUGACCAACACUAAAACAGAUACUAAAUUCCGACGAAUCUCCGAAGCAUACAAUACACCAUGUAGGAAUAAAGUGCGUCCACCACGCAUGUUCAGUUGGCAGGUGCCAAUUCCUUUUACUUUAGCUCUGAAGUUGUUUCCCACAUAGAUCCACUUAGUUCCAGUUGGUACUCGUCGGAAUUCCAUGAAGGAUCCUCUAUCCUUCGUUACAUGGUCUGUCGCUCCUGAAUCUACAGUCCACAAAGGAUUAGACUCAGUUAAGAAUACAGAACUCGACACAUAAGCAAAGUUCUAAAAAGUACAAGGGGUGUAUACCUUCUUUGGCUCACGACAGUCACGAGUAUAGUGACCAUUCUUGUCACAAUUGUAACACUUCACCCUUGUAAGCUUCUUCAUUCGAGGACGCUUUCCUCUUUCAUGUUGGUUAAGCUUAGAGGUCUUCCCUGAAGGACCUGUUUCCUUGCCUUUCCCUUUAUCGAACCAGUUAGGACAUUUGCGCUUGGAGCUCGAAGCUCCAUGUGAACUAGAACCAAUAUGAUAGAUUUCAGCUUUUGGCUUAGCCGCCAAGAGGCGGUCCUCUUCCAGCUCAAGAUGACGCACUGCAUCCUCAAAGGUUUUGAUAUUCUCAUUAUGAGUCAGGUGCACCUUCAUAUGCUCACAACUCUGAGGCAAGGAACGAAUCACUGCUUGCACAUGCUGCUCAUCAGUCAGGACAUGGCCAUCAUCUUUCAGCUCAUUAAUCAUGUUUGACAUCUUUCUAAAAUGUUACUUUAUGAUUUGACCAUGAGGUUUCUUAUAAGAGUCAAACCUAAUAGUGAGCUGCCUCAGUCUGGUCACCGAAGUAUGACCAAAUCUUGCUGCCAAUGCUUCCCACAUUUUCUUGGCAUUCUUAAAAUGCCUAAACUCUUGUAUGACGCCAUUUUCCAUGCUACUCAGUAACGUAAUGCGAGCAAGAGAGUUCUUUCUUUUCCAUGCAACAAAUGCUUCCUUAUCUCUCUUGUGCUGUGUAGUGUUUCCUUCUUCAGGUUCUACCAUGGUUAGGUUAAGAGCUUCUAGUGCCUCUUGCUCUUCUAGCACAUAUUGGAUUUUCAUGUGCCAUAUUUCAUAGUUAUCGCCAUUGAGCUUUUCACCUUUGUUCAGCUCGGCAACUAUGCUCUUUGUGGCUGAAGCCAUUAAUCUGAACACAUUGAUAUAUAUGCACGAAUAAUUAAUGCCUAAUAUUUAUGCAUCCACUUUGCACAAAACCAUCAUAUUAAUGAAUAAUUUCAAGUAAGGUUUCGGAAUCAAAAAGUCACUAUGUUUCCAAUCAUUCUAAAAAAAUCCUAACUUAAAACUAUCAUUAAUAUAAUUGUCCAUGCAAAUAAAUUCUAUGAAGCUACAAAAACUUCUAUGAACUACCCACAUCAGUCAACAAUAAUAGAAAGCAAAUAAUAUUUGACAUUCAAUAGAAUAAUAAUGCUUUCACAUAAUACAACUAACGUAUUAGUUGCCACACCAACAAUAACUAGGUAGAAAAACAUUACAUAAGAUGUCCACAAAGCACACUAAACAAAGACCAGCCAAUACAUCUAACACCAAAUCAAUACACGAACUGGGAAAGAUCCUCUUUUGUUCAAUUUCUUGAUCUUUUCCCUUGUAACAAUCCAGUAAUAAUCAUCUAUAAAAUCCAUCACAAUUUUCCUGUAUGAAGCGGCUUUGUUGACAUCCCAUAUGCGAUUCAACACUCCUUGUCAUUCUGGUGGAAGAAUGUUUAUGAAAAAAUCGCACAAUCUCAGACUGUGACAUGGGACGACCAUUCCAUAUCACAUUUUGAAUUUUCCCAUUGACUUCAAAAAGGUGAUCAAUUAAGUCGCUACUCUUUCAUGGAUGAUUAGUCAGCUCAGCUAUCAACUUAAAAAGCCUUUCCUUUUGUUCAUCGGUAAUUGCGCGAAUAUGUGUGCGCAACCUAAGGGGAGGCAUUGUUCCUGCAACAAAUGCAGAACAAAUAAGGGAUCACAUAUAAUCCACAUAGACUUAAUUGGAAAAAGAAACACAUUCUUUUCCUCUCUCUUUUUUUUGUCAACGGUCAAAGUCAACGGUCAACCGGGUCGAAGUCAAUGGGCGGCGGGUCGGGCCGGACGGACCGGUCGGGUCGGGCCGGACGGACCGGUCGGACCGGUCAGGCCGAGCGGGCCGGUCGGACAAACCAACCGACACGUGCCACGCUCGUGCCUGGCUGACGUCACGAUGACGUUAGCCGGUGCGUGCGUGGCACGCGCCAGCACCCCGCUCGUGCGUUGCACGCGCUUGGGGCCGAAACGGCGCGUGCGACGCACGCGCCUGCGGGGGACCGAAUCGGCGCGUGCGUUGCACGUGCCGAUGACCCCCGCUCGUUCCGACCGCGCGUGGCGGCGCGUCCGGCGGCCCUCGGCGGCGAUCCGCCACUCGUUUUUCUCGUCUUGACGAGGGCUUCAAUCCUACGCUUUUAGAAAAAAAUUUCAACUUACAGAAAAACAAAAAACGGGGCAUACAGAAUCAGGUGUCGGGAUUUUUUUUCUCCCCCGAUUGGUGUCGGCCGAUUUUUUAUGAAAAUUCAAUCAAAAAUCAUUCAUAAACAUGAAAAAGGAUCGGGAAACAAGAACUACGGCUCUGAUACCAAUGAAGGGAAUAGCGGAUUCCCAAAAACCGGAUUUGACACUAAAUCGAACCCCUAAAACGAAUGCGGAAGACGAGCCCAGGGAGAACAUGUAUCACCGAUCAAAGACACACCACGGAAUCGAGUGAUCUUAUUGUCCAUAGAUUAAACACCAAUGCUGACGAUCGAGGAAGAAAUUCUGAUCUCAUUCUAUCAAGGAGCGUACUGUUAGUUCAAGGGGGAGAAAACUUAUGUUGGUUUUGGGAGAGGAGAAAAGAAAAGCGUACGUUCGUCCAAAAGGUGUAUUUUCUUUUUCUUUUCUCCCCUUAAAUAUGUCUUCUCCAAAAGACGUGUCCCUUCGGUAAAAGACGUUCCCCCAAAAGUUAUAACCCUUCAACAUAUCCCUCCAUCCAUGGGCCCUAAUCUUGUGGGCCGGGCUUUUAGGCCCAACAUGGGCGGACGGGCCUUAAGCCCAUCGUCAUACAAAUAAAUAAAACCAACAGAUCCAAUUAACUCACGCGAGUGACCGAGAUGAAAGCGCAUUCUUUUGAUCACUGACCGCAUUUGUCGUCUCUGAAAGGAUUCUUAGCGAGGAAGUAGAGUAAGGAACGUGAACAGGACGAUGCUCGUUUCUAUUUUCUGAUACCAUCCUCAGUAUGAGGUUUCCUGUCGGUAUCAAUUUAUUUUGUGAUGUGCACGUCCUUGGACUCUGACUUACCGAACCCCUGGCCCCAGCCACCCCUCCACUCUCUCAUUGCCCAGCUGCUAGAAAACGACAACCUAUUGAUAUUUUUUCUUUUUCUUGGCUUUGACUACGACUUCUCCCAAGGAGUUACAUAAAUUGCUCUUGGUCGGUUGAGAUUUUGUGUACCUUUAGAUUUAUAAGAGGAUAUCUUUUUUGGUCAACUGAUUUUAUUGCUUUUGCUGUUGACAGAAGGGACCAGAAUAAGAAUGCGAGAUAAUAUCUUAAAAAUAUAUAUUAAACAGCUUUAGACUCGUUCGGAUAAAUAAAGUGCAGAUCUAUUUACAUGGAAAAACAAACUGCAAUAUAUAAACGGGCUGUUAUGAUCUAGAAAAAAAGAGAGGAUGGAUUAUUGGUUUAAGGUUCCAAAGAUCUAUUUACAUGGAGAAACAAACCACAAUAUAUAAUCGGGCCAGUAUGGUCUUAAAAAAAAAGUGGACUAUUAGUUUGAUGGCAAGUCAAAACAAACAUUACGAACAAUGAAUCGAUGCUCUACCAACCAGCGUUCGAUGGCUCUUCUGUCACGCGUAUUCACGUUCGCAAUUUGAACAAUGCACAGAACACCGCAAUUGUUCUUUAAAUCAUCCCAAAUGCUUUGAAAUUCCCUAGCCUCAGCGGUGGAAGAGAGGACCAAAACUUCAUUUUGUCGGAUCCAUUGAAUGGCCUGAUUGACAUUUUCUCGAGCUUGCUGGUAGGCAUGACGAUGAUCAUGCUUUUCAGCUUGUCUGAAAACGAUAAUAAAAAAGAAAAUAAAAAACCCAUACAUAAGAGCUGGAAAAAAAAAAUUUUAAGAAAAAAAUGUAACUCACGUAAGUUGCGGAUCAUUUUGGGCUUUUAUCCAGGCAGCCCGAUGCAUGUCCAAGAGUUCACACUUCCGCCGCAAAUUGUCAGCUGCACUCAUUUUCAGAGAAGUUUCCGAAGAGGGGGACAAGAGAGACUUUUGAAGAGAGAAGUGAGGAGGGUGAUGAAGAGAGAACCGAGGAGGGUGAGGAGGGUGAUGAAGAGAGAUACAUGCGCUUCUUAUAUACACGGUUCUUGCUAUUAAGGAGGCCGAUGGCGUGCAGAAACCGUGUGCAUGUGGUCCCCGACCAUUCACGCGGCGCCACGUGGAAGCAUGUCAACAUGAAGCUUACACUGGAAGAAAUGGCCGAGCUUGAAUCGAUUGCUUCUGCGGACAAUGUCAAGGGUGGCAGGUACGAUGGAAGCAUGUCUACAUGGGAAAACUCCGACACUCCACCCCUUUCUUCUUGGAAACCUACGUAGAAGCGUGUUUGCUUCUGUUGCUGCAUCUUUGAUGUGCAGAGUUUGAGCAUUUGCCGUUGAAGUAAUUUGAGUUUAUGUUGUGUGGCUGUUAUAAGUAUGUGUAAUAAGAGAGUGACUGUUUUCAUUUUGUACAUGUGACAUUCACUAUGAAGAGAUUAUGGAUGUGUACUUACCUUACUGGGGAAAGAUCACUCGAUAAACAUGAGAGCGAGUUGAAUACGAAGUGAGCCCGCCGUGCCGACUUUAUUGGGGUGACUUUUAGAAUCUGAGAAGUCGGGAUUUUGAAGAAUUCAAACUCAGUCGCACAUACUAGAGUGACGCUUUAUUCUCCUCCAACCAUGAGUUCAAUACUAACACCGUGUGCAACAUGCUCUUAAGACUGGAUGCUACACAUAGAUACAAAGCUUCGCUAUGUGUUUGGUUUGGCAGCGAAGUUACGAAACAGUAAAAUGUUACCUGAUGUUCUCGCGAAAACGAAGUUGGGGAUAAAAUGCUGGCGCUGUUGAUAUGAGUGUCGAGGAAAUCGAAGGUUUCUUAUUCAAGUUUCACCACCUACGGUUCAUGAGCUUUUAUGUAGCUCGAUACCUUCGCUCAUGCCUCUACAUUAUUAUAAAACAGUUGGAGAUAUUGCGCAAGUUUCCUAAAAUUAGAAACGACACUUCUAUUGUUUUUUAUUUGGAGUUAGAGUGGAGCAAUGUUGUUUUGUUUUGGUUUAGGAAAAUAACGCAAAUAGUCAUCGAACUUUAGUCCAAUGUGUUAUGUUCUUACUGAACUUUUAAUUUAUUUAGUGUGGUUGUCGAAUUUUUUGUACAUGUUUAAUUUAAAUCCUAGGCUAGAUAAAUCCAAUGAUGAUGUGUUUGGUCGUUCGAACAUCUUUGCUAUAUGGGUUAAUGAUAGGAUAAAAAUCCCAUCUAAUAUUUCUUGACGUCUAGAUAUAACAUAAUUCAAAUAAAAAAAAUUAAAUGAGUGUUUAAUUUGUAUAAUUAAAAUUAAAAAUAAACCAUGGAAGUCGUAAAUACAAUUCAUCCUUUCACAAUCUUCAUCCAUAUCAAACACCCCCGUUCCAUGUGACUUCAAUGACGCUCGCUCCUUCUGCAACACCCCUUUCGCUGUCCUUGAUCAACUUGAUGGAUUACGCUCGCUCUACCUUUGACUUCACCACAUUGAGAGGCCCUUGGGUUUGAGUUCUCCGCUGGUCUAGCCAUCUUUACUUUCAACGCCUUUUCCUGCGAUGAAUCCAUCCCUUUCGACGAGUGUGAAUACUGUGUUGAUUCCCUAUUACCGUGCCCCGAAUUGUUCAGUCGCUUCAACAGCUUCCCCUGAGACGGCGUGCGGAUCUGCUUUAUGAGUGGUAGCACCAUCGGUACCACUCGCUCCAAGUGACGUGGUUGAGGAGCUCUAUCACCUUGGCUGCCGCCUCUUUCGGAUCAUCUUCUUCACAGAGAAGAUGUCCAACUUUGAUCGGGAUCACAAAGUUCCCUACUGAUAGUUUUAGGUGAUGGGCCUAAGUUGGCCCGUCCGCCCAUGAUGGGCCUAAAAGCCCGGCCCACAGGAUUAGGGCCCAUGGAUGAAGGGGUACGUUUCUAUUUUUGAGCGAACGUAUAUAAAGGAGGAAAGAGAGAGACGAAGACACUAGUUUGCAUAACGUGCGUACGUUUCCUCUCCCUCUCCCUCCAAAAAGAAAAAUAAGCGCUUAAGGCGACGCCAUCUUCGCUUCAAGGCCAAUUGACGUCUUCGGAUCGAACAGGAUCGGAUUUCUCUUCCUCUUAUUGGUGUUGGUGUUUAAUCUGUGGCUAACAAGGUACGCUCGAAUCCGUGGUGUGCUUUAUGAUCGGUGAUACGUGAUUUUCCCGGGCUUUUCUUCCGCAUUCGUUUUAGGGGUUCGAUUUAGUGUCGAAUCUGGUUUUUGGGGAAUCAGUUAAUCCCAACAUUGGUAUCAGAGCCCUAGUUCAUGUUUUCCCGACCCCUUUGAUGUUUUAUGAUUGAUUUUUCGCGAAAAUAUUCUGCCGACACGGAUCGGGGCGAAAAAUCCCGACACCUGAGCAUUGUUCGUCCAUUUUUUCGACUUUCUGUAAGUCGAAAUCGAUUUCUGAAGGCAUAGGGUGAAAGGGCUCAUCGAGACGAGUCCGUCGACAUGUCGACCGCCGCCGGGAGACGCCGCACGCGCCCACGCGCGCGGCCAGAAGCCGCUGUACGUGGGAGCCACGUGCCUGAAGCGCUGGCUCGGCCAACGCGUGUGCCACACGCGCCGAUGACGGACCGACACGUGCGCGACGCUGCCGGCCGGCGAACCGGCACGCGCCGGUCAGCGAACCGACGCGUGCUGACGUCACCGUGACGUCACCCAACGGUCAGUAACUGCUGGGAUGACGUCAUCGCCGACGACCGUUGGCCAGUCAAUCAUCGACCGGCGACCCUACCCGACCCGACAUGCGCGGAAGCCUGGCACGUGCCACGCACGUGCCGGCUGACGUCUGCGUGACGUCAGCCCGCACACGCGCGCGGCACGUGCCGGUCGGUUCGUCCGACCCAGCUUGACCGACCCGUCUGGUCCGACCGGCAAGCCCAACGAUCGGCGACCGUUGACCGUCGUUGACCCAUUGACCGUUGACCGACGACCGUUGGCCGUUGACCGUUGACCCGAAAAAAAAAAUUGUUUCUUUUUCAAUUAUGUCUGUGUGGGUUAGAGGUAAUCUAUUUUUUAUUCUGCAUUUGUUGCAUGAAUCAUGGAAAAUUAUGUAUUUUUCAUUUUUUUUUAUUGUGGAUUAUAAGUGAUCCAUUUUUAGUUCUGCAUUUGUUGCAGGAACUAUGAUGCGUGAUGCACGGAUACCUGCAAUCCCAAGAAUGGACGAAGGAAAAGCAAGACUUAAAAGGCUGAUGACAGAGUUAACUGAUUAUCGGUGGCAUGACAGUGAUUUAGUAUCACACGUGAUCAGGGUCAAUCAGAUGAUACAGGAAAUCAUCUGGAAUGGUUAUCAUAUGCCGGAUUUUGAGAAGGUGUCGGCUUUGAUGAACACUCUUCCACCUGAAUGGCAAGCAGUGUUAGAUCGGCUAUGGAAGGUCAGCGUGGUCCCGGGUUAUAGGAGGCUAAUGGUAGCUUUUGUUAGAGAGUACUAUAGGGUUGAGUUAACCAAAACUUCAACCCUUAGAUUGAGCGCCACAUAACGCAGAGUGAAUGCGCCUUGGAGGCGACAUGAGAGCUCUUCAAAAGUUUUUCCAUGGUUGGCAAAUGUGCCUACAAAUUUCUUAAAUAUUUUGACUGAUAGAUUAGAAGGGACAUUCCCUAUUUAUUUCUUAGAUUAGUUUGAGAUGUUUUUUAAAUGUGAAUAUAUCUUUCUAUGUUGAUAUUUCUUCUUUGAAUAUAUUACUUAGUGUAAUUGAUUGUUGUAUUAUGUGAAAACAUUGUUAUUCUAUUGGAUGUUAGAUAUUAUUUGCUUUCUGUUAUUAUUGACUACUGUGGGUAGUUCAUAGAAGUUUUUUAUAACUUCAUAAAAUUUAUUUUGCAUAAGACAAUUAUAUUAAUGAUAAUUUUGAGUUAGGAUUUUUGGAGGAAGAUUGGAAACAUAGUGACAUUUUGAUUUUGAAACCUUACUUGAAAUUGUUCAUUGAUAUGAUGAGUCUAUGCAAAGUGGAUGCAUAAAUGAUAGGCAUUAAUUAUUUAUGCAUAUAUGUCUGAUGUGUUCAGAUCGAUGGUUUCAACAACUAAGAACAUAAUUGCUGAUAUGAACGGCAACAAUUGUGAAAUAUUGAAUAUGAAGAUUCAAUAUGUGCUGGAAAAGCAAGAAGUACUAGAAGCUCUUGACUAUGUUAUGGAAGAUCUUGAGGAUGUUGUACGCCACCUUGAGCUGGUAGAGGACCGCUUAACAGCAUGUGAGCCGAAAAUAGAUAUUUGCAAUGCUGGUUCUAGCUCAGAAAGGGCUUUGAGCUCUAAGCGCAAGCAUAUUGAUUCGUUCAAUAUGUGGGAAUCCUUAUUGCAAGAGAUCAAGAGUUAACCAACGCAAGAGAGGAAAACGUCCUCAAGUGAAGAAAAUGUCAAGGGUGAGGUGUUACAAUUGUGACAAGAAGGGUCACUAUGCUCACGACUGUCGUGAGCCAAAGAAGGUAAACACCUCUUGUACAUUUGAGAACUUUGCUUAUGUGUCAAGUUCUGCAUUAUUAGCUGAAUCCAAUCCUUUGUGUACUGUAGAUUCAGGAGCAACAGACGAUGUAGCGAAGGAUAGAUGAUCCUUCGUGGAAUUCCGACGAAUACCAACUGGAACUAAGUGGAUCUAUGUGGGAAACAACUCUAGAGCUGAAGUUAAAGGGAUUGGCACCUGCCAAUUGAACAUGCGUGAUGGACGCAACUUGUUCCUACAUGAUGUUCUAUAUGCUCUGGAGAUUCGUCGAAAUUUUGUGUUUGUUUUGGUGUUGGUUAAACUUGGUUUUAGUGUGAACUUCCGUAAUAGCGGUGUAGAUUUGUAUUUGGAUACAAACUACUAUGGUUGUGGUCACUUUCUGGAUGGUUUUAUUGUACUAAAUGUUGAUUGUGGUGAUGUCAAUGUUUGUUAUUCCCUUGUUUCACGUCUUCUACUUAAUAUGAUAAUGAUGUGAUUAUGUGGCAUGCUAGACUUGGUCAUAUUGGCCAACAACAUAUGAAUAGACUAGCCAAAGAGGGCUUGUUGGGCAACAUUGAAAAUGUCGAUUUGCCAAUAUGUGAGCAUUGCCUAGUAGGGAAAACGACAAGGAAACCAUUUGGAAAAGGUAAAAGAGCUGAAUUUUCUCUGCAUUUAAUCCAUUCUGACGUCUGUGGUGCAAUGAAUGUGAAAGGAAGGCAUUGGACUGUUUAUUUCAUCAUUUUUAUAGAUGAUUAUACUCGAUUCGGAUAUGUCUAUUUGAUUUAUCAUAAAUCUGAAGCAUUAAGUCGUUUCAAAAGGUUUAUGAACUUGGUAGAAAAUCAAUUAGACAAGAAAAUAAAAGCAUUGAGAUCCGAUCGAGGUCGAGAAUAUUUAUUUGAUGAGUUCAGAAAAUUAUGUGGUGAAAAAGGAAUAGAAAGACAGUUGCCUAUUCCAAAUACUCCUCAACAAAAUGAUGUUGCAGAGAGAAGAAACGGAACCCUACUGGAAAUGGUUAGGUCUAUGAUGGCGCAUGCUAAUUUACAUAUCACUUUUUGGAGUGAUGCAUUGUUAACUGCUGCAUAUAUACUUAACCGGGUGCCUUUCAAAUUAGUUAGUUCCACUCCAUAUGAGUUAUGGACAGGUAGAAAACCGGACUUAAGUUUUCUUAAGCCAUGGGGUUGUGCUGCCUAUACUCAUGAGUCCUCUCACAAGUUUGGGAAAUUGGGUCCCGAAGGAAAGAAGAGUAUUUUAAUGAGAUACUCCGAACACUCGAAAGGGUAUGUGUUCAUAGGUGAGCAGGAAAGUGGGAGUAUAACUGAAUUUGAAUCACGGGAUGUCACAUUCUUAGAGGAUGAAUUUCCUAAGAAGGGCGAAAUAGGGGAAGAUUACCCCUAUUUGAAACAUUUGAUCAAGAUAAUGAUAUUAGUGGAGUUCGUCCAAGUGGGAGUAAUAUGAGAAGUGAUGAAUUGAAUUCAACUCAUUCUCAAUUGCAACCACAUGAUGAGACAAUGUUAUCAUUAUCUAAUCCUAGUGGGAGCAUAAUAGGGAAUGAUGUGCAAAGUGUACAAUCUCCUAUACGGCGAACAAGUCGCCAAAGUAUUCCCCGUCGACGUUUUGACAUUGAAGGGGAAACUUUUAUAAUUGCUCCACAAGAUGAGGAUGAGCUAAGAAAUAUUAAUGAGGCUCUGAAUUGCCCUAGUAAGGAAAAAUGGAUUUAUGCAAUGAAAGAGGAGAUGGAGUCAAUGAAGUCAAACCAAGUUUGGAACUGGUUGAUAUUCCAAAAGGACGCAAAGCUAUUGGGAACAAGUGGGUUCUCAAAAUAAAGCGUAAAGCUGAUGGCUCAAUAUAAAGGCAUAAGGCUCGCCUUGUGGCGAAUGGGUAUAAUCAACAGGAAGGAAUUGAUUAUGAAGAAACAUUUUCCUGUAGUGAGAUUUACCUCGAUUCGCAUAAUUUUGGCAAUAGUGGUUAGUAUGGAUCUUGAGUUACAUCAAAUGAAUGUAAAAACUGCUUUCCUCAAUGGAGAAUUAGAGGAAGGAAUAUAUAUGGAACAACAUGCUGGUUUCAUAGUGAAAGGCCAAGAAGAAAAAGUAUGUCGACUUUUGAGGUCGAUAUAUGGCCUUAAGCAGUCGUCAAGACAAUGGUAUAUACGAUUUCAUAAUGCCAUAAUGGCAUAUGAUUUUACAAUGAUAGAUGAGGAUCAUUGUAUAUAUAUCAAAAGAUCCAAUGAUCAAUUUGUGAUCAUAUCAUUAUAUGUUGAUGAUAUACUAAUUGCCGGAAGCAAUAUGGAACUUGUCAAUACUGUCAAAAGUUGGUUGUCUUCCAACUUUGAGAUGAAUGAUAUGGGAUUGUAAACCCAUAGAUACUCUUAUUGCAAAAGGUGAAGGAUUGAGCCACAGAUUGUGUCAAAGGACUCCACAAGAGAAGGAACAAACGAAAUAUGUUCCUUAUGCUAGUGCUGUUGGGAGCUUGAUGUACGCUAUGAUGUAUACAAGACCCAACAUAUGUUUUUUUGCAGUUGGAAUGGUGAGCAGAUACCAAUCCAAUCCAGGUCCAGCACAUUGGAAGGCCGUUAAGAUAAUACUGAGGUAUCUAAAGGGGACUGCUAAUUAUACGCUGAGUUAUUAUGGAAAGGAUCUGCGACUCUAAGGCUAUUCUGAUGCUGAUUGUGGAGGGGAUUUAGAUGAAAGAAAAUCUACCUCUGGGUUUGUUUUCUUACCGAAUAAUGGCACCAUAUGUUGGAGCAGUAAGAAACAAAAGUGUAUAGCCUUGUCCACGAUGGAAACUGAGUUCGUGGCAUUAUCAGCAGCAAUAUAAGAAGAUGUUUGGCUUAAGAGAUUAUUGGAUCAUUUAGGUGUUAUUAGAAGUGUAGCAGAUUCAUUGUUAGUUAACUGUGAUAGCCAAGCAGCAAAAACGUACACCAAAGAUCCAAAAUAUCAUGGCAAGACCAAACAUAUAGAUACCAAGUAUAAUUUUGUCAAAGAUAUGGUUGCACGAAAUGAUGCGAACUUACAGUACAUAUCUACGCAUAGAAUGGUAGCAGAUCCUAUGACAAAGCCAAUACCUAGAAAUGUGUUUUGUGGCCAUAUGAAAUCUCUAGGAUUGCGUAGAGUCUGAUGUACUGGAUUGUAAUUUCCCUGAAGUGUUCACAUUUGAUGAAUUUGUGUUUUUCAUCAUUAAUGCUUAUGAAUCUUUGUUUGAUCUUUAUGCAUCUUAAUGCUUAGUGUAUUAUUUUAAGUUGAGAAAGUAUGUCGGACAGAUAUAAGAUUAGCCCACUCACACGGGUAAUCGCCUCUAUUUACUGUGUGAUAAAUAGAGAUGAGACUGUUUUUUAAGCUUAUUAUCUAGGUGAUAAUCGAGAGCUAAAGCUUAAAAUACGUAUAUCGCCUUAACUGAGUGUUAAGAUGAAGACAUAAUACUUACUAUGUCCAAAAGUAAAAUAACCCACAUAUUUUACUUUAUCUGUCUAUGAUGCCAGAUGUGAGUUCUGAUGAAUUUUGUGAAUGAGUAGAUACGUGAACUCAAGUUAGACAUUGGGUAUGUAUGAACUAUCAUCUGUACGGUAUUGAAGGUGUAGACAUACGCUCCAUGGGAAAUGAGUUAUUACCGUAAUACGUAUUUCAUACUACAUAUGCAUGAGACGACCAAUAAGAGUGGCAAAAGUUUGAUCUCAACUUUUAUGUCGUGUGAGACUCUUGAGGAAAAGAGUUCCUCAAUUUUUUAGUCCCCUCAUGACUCUUACUUAUUCUCAAGAUUUCUAUUUAGUGUUUGCUAUCUUAGGAUGUUGCCAAUGGUCAUGAGUUGAUUCGAUCUAAUGGGACAUUUCUAGAAAAGCAAGCUGAACUGAAAUUGAGAGUUUGAAUGGAAGAGGAAGAUCAAAUUUGGAGAAUCACAUUGUAGUUUUAUAUUUACUGGUUAACCAAUUAUGACUGUCUUUGGGAUAAUCAUAAUUGUGAAUACAAUAUAUAUAUAUCAUUGUUUGAAAGAGAUCAAGAGAGAUAUAAAUGUGAUCGAUCGAUCUAGGGUACUGCAUACAAAAUCUACUCAAAGUGUGAUGCCCAUUAUGAGCUGCUAUACAUUCCUAACAGAUGUAUGGCAACGAGCUCUCAAAGUAUGCUGGUCGCACAGAUUAUUCACCGGUAUGAAUGUUGAAGAGAGGUAAAGAGAAUUAUGUUCGGCCCACCAUGUGCGAGUGAGAGAUGAUGGUUUUAGGUGAUGGGCCUAAGUUGGCCCGUCCACCCAUGAUGGACCUAAAAGCCCGGCCCACAGGAUUAGGGCCCAUGGAUGAAGGGGUACGUUUCUAUUUUUGAGGGAACGUAUAUAAGGGAGGAAAGAGAGAGACGAAGACACUAGUUGGCAUAAUGUGCGUACGUUUCCUCUCCCUCUCCCUCCAAAAAGAAAAAUAAGCGCUUAAGGCGACGCCAUCUUCGCUUCAAGGCCAAUUGACGUCUUCGGAUCGAACGGGAUCGGAUUUCUCUUCCUCUUAUCGGCGUUGGUGUUUAAUCUGUGGCUAACAAAGUACGCUCGAAUCCGUGGUGUGCUUUACGAUUUGUGAUACGUGAUUUUCCCGGGCUUUUCUUCCGCAUUCAUUUUAGGGGUUCGAUUUAGUGUCGAAUCCGGUUUUUGGGGAAUCAGUUAAUCCCAACACCUACUAAAAUGGAGUUAAGUGACAUAAGAAAGAGGCAGGGCUGAUGAGCUCCAACGCCAGUUUUCCAAGGCAGCCAAAGGUGGUAAGCUGCUUACCAUUGCACAUAGACACAACGCCACAUAUAUGCAUCCAAAGUCUACUCGUGUACUCACUUUUAUGUAUUCAAAAUGAAAACUAUUUCAGCAUACUUACAAUGUUGGUUUGGACUACUCCAGGUGAUACACAUAAUACACUUUUACGUAUUCAUUCCCAAAAGCACGAGAAUCUAGGAAACUGCCUCUUUCAGGCUCACUAAAGCCAUUACUUGUGAUUUUACAUUUAUCUAGAAUCGAGAGAGGUGGGAUGUGUGGCAAGUGCUGGAUUAAACACAUAUAAGAACACGAAGCAUUCGUGUCACCAAGUUUUAUUCAUCCCAUCCAGAUACUUUCUCUUUAUACCACAAGAACAGGUUUCCAGCACUUCAAUAAGAAUGACAAUCACUGUAAGCAUCUAAUUACGUUGACAAGCAGGAACAAACCUAUCUGAAGUCAUCCUUAGAGAGAUUCUCCACCAACUUGGAGCCAACGGAAAAGAAUCCUCGUCCUAAAGGACUGUAGGCAACAAUUCCAAUGCCAAGCUCCCUAGUCAACAUUUUAAAGGAAAAGCAGAGUCAGAAGGAAGCUGCUGUUGCUGCAUAAACAAAGCGACCACUCCAAUUGCACCGCUGUGAUGGGAUGAAGAGCAUGUGCUCUUCUGAUUGUUGAUGCAGAGGCCUCAGAUAAACCGAUGUACUUUAUCUUACCCUCUUCAACGAGCUUCUUUAGCUCUCCGAUCUGUGCAUAUUCACAUGACAAAACAACAACAUCAAGAUCUUACAUGUUAAGAUCCAGAAAAUUAUGCAUGUCAUUAGCUUUUUAUGUGUCUAGAUCCCUCAAUUAUCAUGCAUCUCAAUGCGACAAAAAAGCCACAAGGUAUUGAGUUAACGGAGGUAGAUUUCUUGAAUCUCUCACAGAAGAGAGCAAAUAAAAGAAAUACUCCAAGUACUUGUCAUAUUUCACAAUAUGUCAAGAAUCAAAUGUCUCCGCAUAAAGUCCAGGAACAACUUUAUAUGUGAUUCCCGUUUAUAAAUUCAGGAUGAACCCCGGAGCACUUUCAUCUCAAAGGAAGAUUUCGAAUAAUUUUCGUGCUUGUUGACCCUUAACUUGUAAAAGAUGCCCACAAAACGAAAACUCAAGCCACUAAACUACUAAAUUCCACAACCCCUUGAACAACACCGUGCCGCAUCUUGAACUCUGCUAUCAGCUGAACUUAAGUGUCAUUUAACAAAAUUCAACAAACUUGUAACAACAUGACGAUGCCUUGUGUAUGUUACCCUUUUUUUCUUAAGUUCAAAGUAUAUGUUACUUUUCUCCGUGAUUUUAGACUGUAAUGCACAAGCUGUGCAUAUUCCUUUUAGAAGUGAUAGAUAUUCUGUCUCAGUCUUUGGGCUUGAUUAAUCUCAACUCAUUUUCACUUGAUAAGAUAUUGUUCUUCAUUUAAUCCUUGCGAGAAUGCUUGCUAACCCUUUUUUGUGGACAACUAGCUUCCUUAUCAAAUAAUAGCUAAUUAUUUUCCGCUCUUCGUUGUAAUUCUAACGGGGGGCGGUCCCUCACAUACUUGAGAAAACAGAUGAUGAUUUUUUUUCAAAAAUCAUUUGCCAUACUAAGAGAAGCUGCAGACAUAUGUUCUGAGAAGAUUCAAGAGAUUCCUUGUAUCACGUGCCCAAAAAAGCCAGGAGGCAUGUCUGUAUUGGUACGGGCGUAAUAUACACAUACGUUCAUUAUGUAUGCAUGUAUUUUUUUUUUUCAUCGGUAUGGUGUAUACAAUUAUGUGAUGUAUAUUUUUGUUGAUAAGGUCUUUCUUCUCCUAAUUCCUUCCAUUCUACCAAUGAAUAAUCUAUAAUAAUUUGCAAAUCGAGAUCGGCUAAUUGUUCUCGGAUAGCACCCGCUCUAGUAGAAAUUUAGAUGCCAUCAUGACAGGUCAAGUUGAAUUUAUCAUUGUUGGAGGGCAUUGAGGAUGAUACGGAGUUCUGCAUAAAACUGGCUAAAGAAGAAUCUGUCAUUGUUCUGCCCGGUAAACUCAGCCUCUCUUCUCAGACCAAAAAAAAAAACUCAGCCUCUCCAAUUGCCGGUGAAAGGAAAAUAUGUAGAUGCUUUUUUUUAUGCAUCUGCUUCAUUUUUCUAACUUCUUUCGGCUUUUUGAAUUUUUCAAAAGCGCCCCUGACGUUUGUUUCGUGUAAUGAACACUGGCUAAGGAUGCUAUAAGGGGUUUCAGAGCGAAAGACCUGAUGAAUAACUUCUUCACAGUUUUCCAAGGACUUUGAUUUUGGAAGAAAAAAGGAUCAUUGAUUUCAUUUGAAUUCACUCGCGGCAUUCUUGCGAACUAAUGCUCAGAUAAUUCCAUAGCAAACCCAUCCCGUUUUCGCUGCAGGGUUCUUGCUUUUCUCAAGCACCAUCCGUAUCCAUCAGAUAAUAAUAUAUGACAUUCGGGUUUGCAGGGAUAGCUUUUGGAAUGAAGAACUGGCUUCGCGUCACUUUUGCUGUUGAGCCAUUUUCUCUCCAAGAUGGCCUGGGGCGGAUUAAGGCCUUCCACGAAAGGCAUGCCAAAAGAUAAACGAGCCGGUCCACCCCGGUGCCGCAAAGGGCUGAGAUCAUCAACUGCUUGUUGGAUCUUGAGUUGUCUUUGUUGUCGCGUCGAAGAUCAUUGCAAAGGGUGAAACAAGAUAAGUCAAUCCAUAAGGAAGCUAAUCGUCCGAGCAUUUGCCCGGAAGUAGGGGAUGGAGGAGGAGCAGAAAAUUAACCUGACCGUUGAUCCGAUCCGAACCUCCAUUAGAAUGGUCCCUUCUUGGUCGUGUUGGUUGCAAUGGCUUUGGCUAGGAAUAAAAACCUUGAACUCGAUUUUCUACCGUAGUUAACCUUGUACUGUGUGACUAUGAUUUCUAGGUCUGAUGCACAAUAUUAGCAAGAAUAUGAUUGAUUACGCACUUAAGUUGACUCCCGUCCCGGAGGGUUAUGGGAAAGUGUUUCUUCAUGGUGGCAAAAUGGGUCUAGAACCCAUAUCGUAACUCAUAUUUAAUGUUAUAGGUCAUAAAUGGAUUGUUUUUGCUUUUAAAAACAAAACAAUAUUAAAUGGACAGCUUGCGGUUUGGCCAACACUGACAAGGACACAUUAAAUAAUAUUCUAUUUCUUAAUUUCUUAAAAAAAAUAGAAAAUAAAGAAAAUAUAAAAUAUAAAAAGUUGAGAAAUUUUAAGUAAAUAAAAAAUUAUAAAUUAUAAAUUUUGAAAAUCGUUAAAGUUAUAAAAAUUAUCAACUAUAUUGUAUUGCAUGAAAAUGUUUUAGCAAUACUUUUUAAAAAAAAUCACAAGAAAUGAAUUUCCUAAAUUUAGUUAAAUAUGAAAGUAUUUUAAUAAUACAAAUCAUAUUGAGUAUGUAUUGAGAAAUUUACAUUAUGAUAAAUGAAUUAAUUUGGACUGAACCAUUUAUGACUCGAUCCAAAUUAUUCGUUUGAUAAUUCUAAUUGAAGUCAACCCCAAUCAAGCACUACAUGGGAUGAUGUGGAAGAUCCAGUUCGAUUGCACUCGGACAAGCUGAAAAAUAGAAUCCUGUUUGGUGAUCUUGUGCGCGGGUUGCUGAUGAUCGUUGCACGUGCGAGGGUUCAGCAACUCAUUGUCAACCACUAAAAACGUCACGUCGUCACAGUUAAGUGGCAUCUUUCUCUCUCUGGAUAGCCCCUUCGCUCUGGCCAUUGCUUGGGAAACAACGCCACUUUGUCCGCGUCCGGAAAUCUAUUAAUUGCAUCUGAAUUUAAUUAAUUUUCGAGUAUUGUGGAUCACCUUUUAAAUAUUGGCAAAUUUCCUAACCUAUUUCUUUGGUAGGCACUUUCAGGUUAAAUCUUCUGGGUGCAAUUUUCAUUUCUCUCCUUUUGGACCAUGACAAAGGGUGCGUUUGGGAAGACUUUUGGGGAAAGUCUUUGGGAAAAUGCAAAGACCUUUGAGUUGAAUGUGUUUUUCAAAAUGCAAAUUGUGUUUGGUAAAUUGUAAUUUAAAAGCCCUUUGUGAAGUACCUUUGGCUAAAAUGGUGUUUGGGGGACAAAGGGCUUUUGUGAAAAAAAAAAAUAUCAAAAGAAAAAUAAAAACAAAAAACAAAAAAAUGAAAACCAGCGAGGGCAGGCGGCAUCCGGCGGCCGGCGGCGACCCUCGGCGACCUCCGGCGACCCCUGAUCUGGGCCGGCGAGGUCGCGCGACGCCGUCGCAACCUCCGGCGACCCCGGAUCUGGGCCGGCGAGGUCGCGUGACGCCGUCGCGACCUCCGGCGACCCCGGAUCUGGGCCCGCGAGGUCGCACGACGCCGUCGCGAGGGCCGGCGUGGUCGCGCCUGAGGUCGGGGGACCUCGGCGAGGGCCGCGCCUGAGGUCGGGGGACCUCGGCGAGGGCCGCGCCUGGGUCGCGCGACCUCGGCGAGGGCCGCGCCUGGGUCGCGCGACCUCGGCGACGGCCGCGCCUGGGUCGCGCAACCUCGGCGACGGCCGAUCGUCGCCGAGGCUACGCAACCCUCGGCAACGGCCGCGCCUGGGUCGCGCGACCUCGCCGGCGGUGGCGCGACCUCGCCGGAUGUCGGGCGACCUCGCCGGCGGUCGCGCGACCUCGCCGGUGGUCGCGCGACCCGAGCAGCUGCUGCCGGGGGACCUCGGCGACGGAGAAGAUGAACAGUGAUCUUCACAAGGGCAGAAAACGGAAAAACAAAUAGUUCGUAAGGAUAAUUUUGGAAAAAAAAAAUAUGAACAGUAGUAUCAGCUUACCGAGAAAGCUGAAAUGCCCAAGGCAGGCUUUCAGCCAAAUGCCUUACAAAAUAUUUUGCCAAACACCAAUUUUUUAGCCCAAAGGGCUUUGGAGGUCUAAAGGGGUUUGGAAAUGCUAAUUCCAAACGCACCCAAAGUGCACAGUGCAAUCAUGACCGAGAAGAGAGAAGGAGAAAAUAUUCAGUGGUUCGUGCGCGCCACGUCAUCGCUGACGUGGCGCACACAUACCACUCAGAUUUCGACACCUGUCCUGGGGGAUCCACAGGAAAAUGAAAAGACUUUCUCCGCUCGGCUAGGCUCGGCUCGGCAUGGGACCCACAAUCUGGUCAGACUGAGGAGAAAAUCAGGCGCCAUUUUUAAAAAAAUUCGGACCGAGCGAGGGUUUCUUCUUCUUCUUCUCUUUCUUCGCGCCUCUCAAUCUACCCGCCCUCUCUCUCUCCGACGAACAAGACGCGACCUCCCAGUCUCUCUGUGCCCUCCUUCUUUCCGACCGGCGAACCACAGCCAGCAACCGACGAACCACCGCACCGGACCGGCGAGAGGACCGCGAGAUCUAGCUCCCUCCCUCUGCCCUCCCUCUUUCCGACCGGCGAACCAUCGCACGGGGCCGGCGAGAGGACCGCGACCUCUCUCUCUCUCUGUGCAUUCCCUCUUUCCGACCGACGAACCACCGCACGGGCGAGAGGACCGCGAACAAUCGACGAACCGCGGACCUUCGCUUCCCCGGCCCCUCGCCGCCGGCUUCUCCCCGCCUGCUUCAAGAUGCGGCAGCGCGGCCUCAGGUGCUCCGCUAGCUGGCUGAUUUCCUCGGUUUCCAUGGUGCAUGUUCGGGAUUCUCAUUUUUUUUUUUUUUUGUUUUUCUUUUUGUUUCGUGUGUGGAUGACUACUAGUUCUAGGAGCAGGAGGCCGCAGGUCAAGAAGGCUUCGCCGGAUAGGCCGCCGUCGAUUGUGGUUAAUGGAGAGGGCAAAGAGGACGCUCCUUUGGCGGAGAGCGUGCGUAGCGCUGAUUGGGAAGUUGUGGCUGAUGAUUCUGAGGACGAUGAUUCCGAUGGAGUCGUGAUUGAUGUGGAGAACCAGAAUGCUGAUAGAACAGAAGCUUCCGACAGUACGGCGAUGGAGACAAAUUUGGUAUUUUUCUUGUAGCAUUUCUAGUGCUUUCUUGGGAAAUUUCUUUUUUUUAAUCUGUCUAGAUACGCGUAUGCAAUGUGCACAUUGGUUCUAGUUCAUGAAUAUCUCACAAAUUAAGAAUUUGAGAGCAUGUUUCCUUCGGGGGAGCUGCAAUUGUUUUACAGGUUCAAGCACAGUGACACUAUUGAUAGUUGAUGUUGCAGUGCCGCCUAUCCUAUAUACGGGCUUUACUUUUUGCACCAUAGCAUCAAUGUGGUUGAAUUGCAAUACAUCUACAUUGCUCAAUUAUUAGGUUGUUCUUUCCUUAAAAUUAAGGGCUUAGUUCACUUGCCCUUCCUUUUUUGUUCUGUUAAAAACUAGAGAGCGAAGGCUCCAUUUGCCUCUGCAAUUUAUUUUCCCGUCUGUUUUACCUAUAGGAAAUAUGCUCUCAUUCCUAGUCUUUUGAAUAUCUGUACAUGUUCUUAUAUGGUGUGAAUUGUUACUUCUAUAGUAGGCCAUCAAUAGUUCUUUAAAGAUAUAUUAUUAAUUCCUUCAAUUUUUGUGGCUUCAGGCACCAUGUUUUGUCGAUGGAGUAACUCUCACCACAGUGAGGAAGAUGACUCGCUGCAGUUUGAAUCUAAGGUAAUUAAGAUUUCAAAAUUGCAGUGCUUGUAAGUACUGGAAUUUUCGCAGAGUGUAUCUCCUUGAUCAAUUGCUCAUAUUUAUCUGAUUUCCAUGGCUGACCAUGUGGUUGACCUGAGUCAGUAGUUUUUCUGGCCAUUAGAAACCAUGAAGUGGCCCUUUUUGCAGAUAAUACUUUACUGUCAAUACACCCCCUUAUCUGUACCCCUUUUUGCAGAUCAUGGGCAUCGGAGGCAAAGUUGGCAGGAAUUACAGCGGGAGUGAUUCGACUUCGUCGACUUUCGUCAGGACACUUCAUCCCGGAACGCCUGGUCCUAGAGGCCAGUACAUGGUUCCAAGCAGUUACUGUUUCCCAAGGUCGAUGAGUACUCCCUCAAGGAAGAUUGAAGGGAGUUCGGCCACGUCUGGCGGUUCCAGAAGCGGUGGUUUCCCAAAGUCCAGGACUAUGGUGGGCCCUGAUGCUCAUUCAGGAUCUUCGGUUCUCAUCUGCCACAAGUGCGGGGAGCAAUUCAAGAAGUUGGAUGCUGUUGAAGCUCAUCAUCUCUCCAAACAUGCUGGUAAAAUAACAUCUUACCUUGAACCACAUGAUCAUAUCUGUUUCUGCAUUGCCUUAGCAGUUUCUCAUUCUCUGGUCUAGAUAAAUAUAAAAUCGUUUGUUUAAUUUUGGAGUAGCCUGAACGAACUGGGGGUUGAACUUCUGGUUUUUAGCUUAUCUGAGGAUGGAAAUUCUUAGACUGAACUGUCAAUUUGAUUAAUUUCAUUGCAACUUUUUCUUUUUCCAGUAACUGAACUAAGUGAUGGAGAUUCAUCCAAAAGGAUAGUGGAAAUAAUCUGCCAAACGAGCUGGUUGAAGUCUGAGCACAGCAGUUGUGAACAGAUUGAGAGGGUCUUGAAAGUCCACAACAUGCAAAGGACCCUCGCCCGGUUCAAAGAAUAGUGAGAGAUGGUCAAGAUCAGAGCCAGCAAGUUAUCCAAGAAGCACCCCCGCUGUUUGGCUGAUGGGAACGAGCUCCUAAGAUUCUAUGGCACGGCCGUGGCUUGCUCGCUUGGUGCCAAUUCUCUUGUGCCAAGUGUCAAACAACUGUGUUGAUAUGAAUUCAAUAUUCUAUCAAACACUCUUGAGGCAGUCAUUAGUUGGUCCAAUUCCUGGUAGAGAUACACUAGCAGACACUACUUUUUUGGUGCACCACCAAGAGGCCAUAUUCAACUUAUCUCGUAGUCCAGCGGCCAGCAAAGAAUAGAACAACAUAGAUUAGUCCCAUUUUAAAGUUUGCCUGCUCUCUCAUGCCAUGCCCGUCUCUUUUUGCAUUGCUCUUGGCUCUUGUUUCAUCUUUGGCUUGGUACAUCAUUUAUCUGUGCAUGAGAUGCUGUUACAGUUGUAGAAAUGCUUUAAAUCCAUCAUUUUGAAGGCUAAUAUCCCGAGACUCCUUAUUCUCUCACUUCGUUAUGCUGUUAAUAUGAGAGGAUGUAUUUCCUCCUCUUUUUAAAUCCAAGUUACGAGAAUUCUCCUGAUCCAAGACUGACUCUUCACAUUUUUUGGCACAGGCUGUGAAGUACUUCUUGGAUGCUAAGACUUUUCAAAAGGUUAAGUUUGUGUACCUGAAGAACAAAUAUGAGAGGAUGUAUUUCCUCCUCUUUUUAAAUCCAAGUUACGAGAAUUCUCCUGAUCCAAGACUGACGCUUCACAUUUUUUGGCGCAGGUUGUGAAGUACUUCUUGGAUGCUAAGACUUUUCAAAAGGUUAAGUUUGUGUACCUGAAGAACAACGACAGUGUUGAGCUCAUGAGAUCAUUCUUUGAUGAGGAGAACCUUCCUACUGAGUUCGGAGGAAGAGCAAAACUGAAGUACGACCAUGAAGAAUUCUCUAGGCUAAUGGGUUUGAGUUUUUGGCUUUAGCUUUGACUUUAAAGAAAUGAAGUUGGUAGAAGACAUAACUUCUAACUUGAAAGUGACUGGCUCAUUUUGAGAAUUUAAUAGUACUGAACGCUGAACCUUAAAUCAUAGAUGUUUGGAUUCUUGGAUAAUUUUACUUCUAAAAUGAAGCAUAUAAUAACUUUGAGUGACCAAAAGCCAUAAUACCUGAUGUGCAGUCCCUAUCAUUCCCCCCCCCCCCCCCCUCAGUGCAAAAAACAAAAACGAAAAAAAAAAAAAAACGAAAACACACACAAAAGAAGAAGUUACAACAUAAGAACUAUCGGUAGUUUUCCGUAGCUGUCUGAGUGGCUUCUCUACUGACACUGAUCAAAGGAUGGUUCUUGCCUUUUGUAGUCCUGUGUCAGCAGAAAUAACUUUUUUCUUUUCCAGGUGAAGAACAACCCUGCUGCAUUGCUUGCUUUAUGUUGGUAUUGGGCUUCUGAUGGCGUAGGAUCUAAGGUGUUAUAUUUGAAUGAGAGUGUCUUUUGAAUUGUUGUUUUUUUCCCUUUCAGUUUGCAGUCAUUGACAAUUGUUUCACUAUUUAAAUUGCUGCUGUCAGGACAUGGUAAUUCUUCCUUACAAAGACAGCCUUCUGUUAUUCAGUUGGUAUCUGCAACAAUUUGAUUUGGAUGGCAAUCGGGUAUGUGUUUAAUUUUUUGGUGAAAAUAAGGAGUUCCAUCUCCAUCUCUAGUUUCCAAAAUGUUAAAUCUCAAAUUGUUCAUUUCACAGGUCAAUCAAGGGCUUACUGUUUAUGGGAAUAAAGGAAGCACAGAUCAGCAUGCAUAAGUAAUUUUUUGAUAAAGUAAUGCCACUAUUACUUUUACAUGCUGGUGACGUGAUUAUUCCUGAUGCAUGUUAUUGUCUAAUUUCCAUAUAGCUACAAACAACAGCUGAGAGAGGGUGUGCACAACUUCUUCGUAACAUUCAUUGAAGUGCUUUGUGAUGAUUGGGAGCUUGAACCUAGUGUUACCUGUGGUGACUAUCUGUUUGGAAUGCUUCAAGUUAGUUUACAAUAAGAGCUACUAAUAUUUAACUUUAAGAAGAUUCUAGCAAUAGUCAAAGUUCUUAUGUCUAUUGUUUCUGAAGUUUAAGAUCUCACACUUCUCUUGGAAAGGAGACAUGAGUUCAGUGGAUGAUUUACUUAUAGUCACUCGGUUGUUUUCUGCAAUUGAUCCCUUUUAGAUAUGGUGAACUUCUGUAGGGAACGGGCUAUGCUCUAUAUGCCAAUGAUCGUGAGUCUAUAACAGUCACUGUUGAAGAAGUGACCCCUAGAUCAGUGGGGGCUCUUAUAGCAUUGUAUGAGUGAGCAGUUGAGAUAUACGCCUCAUUCAUGCCUAUCAUCAACCUGGUAAAUAGUUUACCUUAUAAUUCUUAUUUAAAUUAGAUGAUUGCUAUAUGUUUUGGGCUUGUUGCUGUUGAGAAUAUGUGUGGCCUCUCUGAGUCAAGAAAUCAAAUCAAUUCAUCCAACUGGCUGUCUUUUCUCUUGGCCCCCGAUGUGCGACUGAAAUUCUUAGGUGUCGAAGCUGGGAAAGAGGCAGCAGCAGAAACAUGGAUAAGAAGAAAAGGUGGCCUCUCUGAGUCAAGAAAUCAAAUCAAUUCAUCCAACUGGCUGUCUUUUCUCUUGGCCCCCGAUGUGCGACUGAAAUUCUUAGGUGUCGAAGCUGGGAAAGAGGCAGCAGCAGAAACAUGGAUAAGAAGAAAAGCAAGCUCGUAGGCAUUGCAGAUGAUGGAUAGAAAGAGAUCCGCAUUGAAAGGACAGAUGAAUUUGGCCAAAUAGUAAGUUUUCAACGAAAAAAAGAUAUUAAUCAUAAAGCCUUGUAAUACUAAAUUGUCCAUUAUAAUUUCUUUUGCGUCUGACAAAGAAACACCAAUUCAUUACUUUGAUGUUUUUAUGCCAAUCUUCUUGUUUUGAAUGUUUUGCAACAGUUAACCCCAAAGGAAGCUUUCCGAUUGCUUUCCCGUAAAUUUCAUGGAAAAGGGCCUGGCAAAAUGAAGCAAGAGAAGCGCAUGAAGCAAUACCAGGAAGAAUUGAAGUUGAAGCAGACGAAGAAUUCAGACACGCCUUUCUUUGUCUGCAGAGAGGAUGAGGGAAGCUCAAGCCUUUCUUUUUCUUUUUCUUUUUUUCUUUUUUUCCCUAAUAGUAAGCCAUGCUUACAAAGUUCUGGAUGCAUAUUAGUAUGUUAACUUCCUAUGCAAUAAACUUCCUCCCAGUUCUUUACAUGUGUCCACUUUUGAUAGGAUUUGGAAGAAGAUUUGGCAGCAGAACAUGAUCAUCUAUCAACUGGAGUCCAAGAUAAGGGAAUUACGGCAAGUCAUCAAAAGUUUAAUCAUGCAGUACACACAAUUGAUUCUCUGUAGUCAACAUGAUUCCAAGAAUCUGGACAUUUGUUGUUCUGUAUAGCACGCUGUGGAAGAGAAAGAUGAGUUCUUAACACCGGCAAAUGAGGAAGAGUCAAUUGUAUCAUCUGAACCUAUUGUUGAUGCUGAAAGCAAGGUGGCUAAUGGUUAUAUAGAUGCAGAAGUACUUUUUCUCAACUCUUUUGAUUUUAUUGCUUUAAUGUGACUGCAAACCCGACAUGUAUUCAGGCACUUCACUUUAUCACUGUAUUCGUCACUCCCAUCACAGCAGUCUGAGUAUCAUGGAGCAGGCAAAGAACAUAUUUUAGGAGGAAACAUUAAGGAGGCAGAAAAAGAAUGACCACCUGCUAGUUAACCUUUGUCUAGCGGAUGCUAAAAUCAGUAUUACAAGAACCAGAACGAUCUAGUAAUUCUGUCAACCUAUUGAGGUCAGAUGAUGUUAGCAUAUAAAUCUUUCAUAGGACCUUAGCAUUUGAUUUUGAGUGCUUUGAGUAUGGGAGCGUGUAUGAAUUUAUUUUUGAAAGCUUUAAAGAAAAAAAAAAAGAGUUGCCCAAGUUUAUUUCAAAAAAGGUUGUUGGGCAAGAAAUUAAAAAAAAAAAAAAUGAGGUAUCAGAUUUGGAUGCCAAGUUUAUUUUAAACUAGGUGUGUGUAAAUUUUUUUUUUUUUUUUUGGUGCGUGCAAAUUUUAUAUGCUUAGUUCCAUGAAGUGAUCACUGGAGUCAUGAAAAUUCGUUAUUUAGAUUGAGUACAGACUGGAAUGCUUCAAUCCACAUUCUCCUCGUAAAUCUUUUGACUAGAAAAAGAGAUUUUAAGAAUCAGGAUCGGCACUGAUACUCAUUAGUCGCCCCUUUCGCUUCAUGCAUUGCCAUGACCUUUGGCAAAGCAUUGUGCAAUCUCUCCUUCUUAAGCCACACUGUCCUCCAUACUCCUUGAUGAUGAUGAGUGUAAAAGCUAAUGAGGCGGGAGAGUUAAACGUCUCAUGAUGAGUGUAAAGCUAAUUAGGCAGGAAAGUUAAACGUCUCAUUUGAUCAAGUGUUCACUUGAAAAGAAAAGUGCGUUAUAUUUCAAUAUUUCAAUUCGAUAGUGAAAGGGUAAACGGAAAAGAGCGAAGUAACAAAUUGCUUUUGAGAAAAGAGACCAUGGCAUCAAGAAUCAACAGAUUAACAUCAAUCGCAUUGACAAAAUUUUGUGGAGAAGCUGAUACAUGCAUCCCCAUGAAAUGUCAACAAGCAUUAAAACUCAUGCCAACAACUUGGCGAGUUCAUCAACCCUCAAGCUUCCUAGUGGUGAUACAUACAAGUGGUGUUUAUCCAACUCUUUUUUCCUUUGAAUUUUCGUAUCUCUCUACUUGUUUCCUCUCUCCGUAAGUGUAGAAGAAGGUUCGCCUUCGGCAUCUACAUUUCCAUCUUCUUCCUUCACAAUCUUCUUGGACACAGCUCUCCUAGGUCGGUGCCUGAAAAUGGGGCCAGGUGGAGCAGUCUUUGCAAAAGCAACCGCCCUUUGGUAAGCAAUGUCAACAUCCAAUGAAUUACUAAUCAAGAUAAGUGCACUGCCGUUCUCAACAGCCUGCCUUAACAUCGUGCAGUUUCUCUAUUUCCACCAUGGUCUCGGAUUCUUCCGCAACAACAUCGUGCAUAGCAGCAGCUGCAUUGAUGCUCUUUGCAUCUUCUGAUUCUUCUGCUUCACUGCUUUUGCUGCCUACAGUGAUUUUAUUUCCAUCAACCUCCCUCAAAAUUGAAUCUGCAUCAGUAACUCCAUAUACCUCGUUUUCUUGAACAGAAGGAGGACUAGUUUUGCCAGGAACUUCCUGUUUUUCAUCCUGUUCUGAGAUUACUGGAAGAGGAGAUCCUUCACAUGCACGAUCAACACUAGAUGGAUAAUCCUUGUAAUAAACUUCGAGAGUUGGAAAGGAAGACUUCCACUCUCUUCGUCUCCACAUAAGUAUGUGCUCAUCUUCAAAUGAGAUUAACACACAUGGGACUAGGUCCUGGAAAUGAGGAACAAUGAACAACACAUCUUAACCAUCAAUAAGGAAAUCCUCGUCUCACCCCUACAAGACACACCCACCUUGCAUUUCAAUUUUCUUCUUACAUGUGAUUAGAAAGACUCCUCUCAGGUCAAAAAUGUUUCACAACAUCCAAGAAAUCUGCUUCUGACCACAAGCAGGGGUGCCUGGACAAUCUGCGAGGAUGAUGGAAUUAGAAGAAAAAUAAAGAAGCUAACUCAUUUGCAAACAUCAAUGAUCACUGUAGCAAAGGCACGACUAAACCAAAUACCCGUGUGAAAGCAACAUAUUGCCCGACUCUUGAUCGAUGAUGCAGGAACUAGUGACUUAAUGUUCCAUAGCAUAAUGAACCUAAGUGAAGAUGAGUGCAUAUGAUAUGUUGCUUGCCUAAUCAAGCAAGGAAGCUAUGUAAGUAAGUGAAGACGAGUGCAUAUAAUAUGUUGCUUGCCUAAUCAAGCAAGGAAGCUAUGUAUGUGCCAAGACGAACAUUCCAUCAGAACCUCAGUGAUGAACUGACCAACUAUAUUCUACAGCCAAAAAGAUAAAAAAAGGUGACCAAAUAUGUUUGAGACAUAUUUCUGAUUCAAUAAUAUGCUCAACUUCUUCUGAGCUAGUCUUCCUCAGACAAUUUGCAAAGAGGGGAAGGUAUAACCAGCAGUAAAAAUUACCAAUUUUUUUUCAUGAACAAGCUUCUUAAUUCCUUCAAGUGUCCUCCACACCACUGUCAUAAACUUUAAGAUAUGCCUCCUCUCCUUCAUCCUGAUUUCGAAUUAUAGAAAAGGUAUCAAUCAUACGAAGGUUAUGCUAGAAAUUACUAAGGAUUGCUGCGACAGAAAGAUCUUGCAAACUUCCACCAAAUGUCAUCCAGAUAGAAGUAAAGCCAAACAACUGAACCAUGCAUUAGGACAUCACCUUUAGAGAGUAUUGCUACCAAAGAAAAGAAAACUGAAUCUAAGUUCAGAUAGCAACAUUCUACAAGUUAAUACAAAAGUAAGCCUUUUAAGGUUAAUUGCCUCGAGAUACAUGCUGAUUCUACAUGUAGAGGAGCAAAUGUACUCCAAAGGAUGAGAGACAGAUACCUCAGAUGUGUCAUCUAUUGUCGCUCCGGCAUUAAAUGAUCUAGAAAGUUUUUCUUCAUCAAUUUGGUUGUUUACUCUCAUAUCUUCCUGAGAAGGAGGAAGAGAAUGCAUUACUGAAAUAAAUGCUAGUUUUUUGUCUCAUCAAAUUUCUAAAAGGCAAGAGCUCGUACAAGUUCGUAAUUUAGUAGCUCAAUCCGCUCCUGCAAGUCUGAAAUAUGAUGCUUAAGUGUCUGCAGUAAAAGAAAAUUUAAUAACAUAGAAUAGGAUAAGCAUUGUGACAAGCUUAAGGAUAAGGGAUUAAGAAUAGUCUUUCAAUCAGUUUCACCUCACGUCUCUGAAGUUCAAUAGAGCGAGCCAAUGCCUGCCUUCUAGUCAGCAAAUUUCUGGGUCUCACUGCAUGAGUCCUUUGAUAAUUCUUCCCAUGAUAAAUGAUGAUAGCAUAGCUUUUCAUAGUCUUAUCUAAGGAUACCAGCACUCCACCACUUUCAGCCUCUAAAGAAACUACAAGAUGCUUCACUUGUGCAAAACUUUUUCCCCUCACUAUUAGUUUCACCAACUCGCAAUACAUCCAAUGCAAGUGCAUGUUCUCUACGGUACCAUAAAAAAUGCCACGCCUUCCUGGAUUAAACCAAACAGAAGAUGAAAAGCUAGUCAUGAAAGCUGACUUUUUUACAUUGUUCAAUCAAGAGGCAAACCAGCUAUUCUUACCGAUAAGCAGGAAGGGCUUCAUACUCAGACCAAUCUUACGUAGUAAAGAUCUCUCCUCAUCACUUAUGGUUUCCAGAUCAACUGGAAGGUCUGCUGGUCUAAGAUUCUCCUGCACUUUUGCUAGAGCUUUCUCAGCCCUUUUGACCUUCCCUUUAGCCUGGAAAGAAGAGGAAAAAAUAAAUGGAAAAUGUGAUAAAUAAUUAAGGAAAUGGAGCAGAAUUUUAUAGCAUAAGUUUGUUCAAUCUCGUAACUUACAAGAGCAAGUUUCUUCUCAAGAUAUUUCAAGAGUGCAGCGUGCUUAUUGAGUGAUUCAUCUCUACGCAUAUGCUCAACAUCUUUGCUACUUAUUUCAUUCCCCCACCGAUAGGUGGCAGCCAGAGUUUCAGUAAGAGUGCCAGCAACAAGUGGGCUUUUAGAAGCUUUUAAUUUUGAUUCAAUUGCAGCUGAGGCCCUCUGACGUGCUUGGUCUUCCUCAUUUGCCUGCACAUCUGUUAGUUUUUCUCUCUCUUUCAAUGCUUCUACCACCACAGGAGGCAAGAAGUCAUUGCCCCUGUAAAACACAAUAUAAUCUUUGUUCCUAGGAAGUAGUGUUCCCCCAGUUAAAUUCUGCAUUCAAAAUGACACAAAUCAAUAACAAGAGCACCAAAUUUCCCUUACCUAAAGAAAAAGGACGGAAUAUGCAACACUAAACAGAAGUUGAUAUUAUCAUAAUGCCAGAACAUUAAGAUUGGAACAAAAUGCUCGGAGAGAUAAGAACUUGCAUAACCAAUCCUUCACAACACUACACAAGUAUGUCCCAGAAUGGUGACACACUAACCUUGGCUGAGUUUUACCAUUAUGAUAACAAUUAUAAAUUCCAUGGUCAGAAAUGAAAUAGAAAAUUCAGCAUUGUACUGUGGGCUUGAAGGAUAAUGAUUUAGUCAAACUACCACUCUAUGGCAAAUAGUAGGCAAUUCUUUCUGUCAGGCAAAUCAAAUAAAGUACAGAAUCUGAAAGGUUCUGUGCUCGAUGAAAGCAACAGAACACCCAUUUUCAACAAUAAUUAGCUCAUACAUAUAUGCUAAAAAGUCAACAUAUGUAGAUUGUCCAACCUUCAGUUCCUCAGCCAUUCUAUCAUUGCAAGUAUUUAGCAUGCCGUGUUUAAUUGCUAUUUUUGCAAUAGCACUGCUCUCCCACAACUUUACCAUGACCUCAGCAAGACCUUGCAGCUUUCUGUUUUUUCCUACAAAAAAAGUAGGAUUAGUUUUGAACAAUUUUGAGACAUAGUAUAAUCAAACCAGUUUGUCAGCCAUUAACCAGCAAUGGCAGAAAAGCACAAACUUUAUUGCCAUUGAUGCACACAUACCCAGGGCAAAACGUGAAGGCAUCGUUCUUGCAAGUCUACGAAACCUGGUCAUCUCUUUGUUUCUCAGACAAUGUCUAACCCCAUAAGGAAGAAGCUUAACUGGAGGUUUAUAUCCAGGAACCUCUGAAGGGAGCAAGUCAGCAUCAACUGGAACUGGCUCACAGCCUGACCAAUCCUUGAACCGUGGACCCAACUCAUCUAAUAAACUGUUAGGAUCAUUCAUAUCCAUGCGUUUUUCCUUAGACAGAUCCUUCAUAUAUUCUGCAGAACCACAUAAAAUCCGGCCUCCUUUGCUAUGAAAAACAUUACUGGCUGUGUCCUCAUUUUUCAGAGAAUUCACACUGGUCUGUAUUUUUUCGUUGUAUGAUUGGACACAAGAAAGCGUAUACACCAUCCCUCGGUACAACACCACUGAACUUCCAGAUCUCCAUAUAACAAAGCCUCCAGUCCUACUCUGACAAGGCAAGUGUAUUAGAGGCUCAUUAUCUCAGUGCAUCAAUGAUUCAUGAUUAAAAUAAAGACUCUCAAGUCUCCAACGCCAACGCAGAUUUAUUCAAGUGAUUGCAUCUUUUGAAGUCAUGAUUUUAUAUCCAUUCCAGAUGUCAAAUACGGCACUUAAAUGCACGCAAGCAAUCAGCAAACUCAUGAAAGUUCCAGGCUCAUCAAGAUUCAACCUUCAUUUACUUACUUAUCCAUAAGCAAAGAAGAGACCAGCACUAACCUCCAAAGUUUCAUGGGUUCUUUUCAUGUUAAGUGACUGGGGACCUUCAAAUUUCAACUUCACCACUUCAUCCUCUCUCCACUUCUCAUGUAUAGAAUCCACCAAAGCCUGGGUAAUCCCUGCAUCCCCAACUUCCAUCCUCUCCAUCCUGAGAGCAAUUUUCCUAAGCCUCCUGAGCUCAUGUUGCGGAAUUACUCUCUCCGCCAAGUCCACAUGCUUCCUCGACUAGGAAACAGCUGCAGAAACAGCUUCCAUAAGGAAGCCGGAGCUUGAACCCAAAUGGGAGAGAGGACAGAAGAGCCAGACCACUGCCCCCGGAAUGCUGGAGAUAGAGAACUCCGCAACGCUCCAUGGCUACAAGCCUACAAUGCUUGCGAAAUCGUGCGGUCCGUAAUUUCUCGCACAGAUGGCACGCGAAAGAAGAGAUAUAAAGUGAGACUGCCCGUGAAUUUUCUGAAUCACCGACGGAUGCUGCAAUCCAUCGGCCAUGUUUGCAACAGAGGAUGGGGACAUGCAAUUGGAGCUCCUGAGUAUGCAAUAUUCAAACAGGACCACAAAACAAGCAGAACAUCUUGCGAUUGAUCAAGGCAAGAAGCUCCUUCAGUGCACAGAAGCAUUCCCAUCAUCCAUUACUUUUGCGUUCUCAUGUUGAUCAUGGCGUAUAUUCAUCUAACUGUCAUAGGUAGGGAAACAUACAGGAGAACAUCACGGCGAACAUGAGUAACCACAGAUAUACGCCUUUAGCAUGAAGAUCUUAGAGUCUGAGAUAAUUGGAACGAGCAUAUCAUCUUGAAGAUCCUAGAGUCUGGAGGGCGUCGACGCUGCUCUGCAGGUGGUUGCAGAAAUGGGAUCCCCCAAAUCUCGGCCGCCCAAGCAGAUUAAUGCGCGAAGGAACGGCGCCGGAGCAGAGAUGGAGCGAGCAACGGAGCAAAGAGCGAGCGCCGAAGCAGAGACGGAGGAAGCGACAGGACCAGCGAGCGAGAAAGCGCCGGGCGACGGCGGGGAACGGCGGCUUGACAAACGCAAUGCACGGAGUCGAAGCUGAUGACGAGUUCGUCAGAGGGACGCAAUCGGACGGAGGUCCAGAAGUUGCCGAGAGACCAACGCGAGCACAAAACUUGUGCUCGAUCUCCGCGUUGGAAACGAUCGGAGGUGGAGGGGGUUGGGACCAGCUGCGACUGGCGGCGCUCUUGGACGAGGCGACGUGCCAGAGGCAGAUGGCGGCGAGGCUUUUGGGGGAGGCGGAGCCGGAGUUGGAGACGGAGGCAGAAGUGGAAGGGGUGGGAUGCGCGGAGAAGAAACAGAGGAGGUGUCGAUUGUUAUCUGUUUGCGAGGGGAGAGGAGAGAGAGAGAGCGAGAAAAAACCCAGCAAAUUCAAGUGAGGAGAGAGAUUAUUUGAGCGGGAGUGUUACGCAUUUAUUGACCCACUGAGCUGUCUGUCCUUUCUUCUGCCAGCGAGCCGAGCCAAGCCAGCCGAGAGAACCAGCCUCUCCAUUUUCCGGUGGGUCCCCCAUAGGACGCGUGUCGAUAUCUGGGUGAUACGCGCGCGCCACGUCAGCAGAUGACGUGGAGCUCACGAACUACUGAAUAUUUUCUCAGAGAGAAGGGAUCAUCACCAGUCUUAUUCACGCAUUUAGAUUUCAUUUGUUUAAAAUAAUUUAGAAAAUUGCUCGUAUCAUUCUAAGUAAUUAACGAAUUUUUUUUCAUUAUUAAUAAUAUUUUUGUUCAUAGCAAGUUGGAUGAAUUUUUCAUUUUUCACUUUUCCUUGGAGCAGCCACGCGAUGAUUCCUUUUGGUCAAGUCUCUCCCUCUUUCCAUGUUCAGCCAAAACCUCCAUCAUACAUCCUUGAAUAGAGAAAACAUUAGUGAGAGCUAAGGUAUCUAGCAUCGUCCUUAACGAUUUGGAGAUUUGCUCACAUUUGCAUUCAUCUUCCUUAAUCUCAUCAUCGGGGAUUGGAGCAUAAUUUGGUAAACAGUUUCUUAUUAUUUAUGCACUUGUAAUUUGUGUUAUUGAACCUUAUGCACAGUUACAAUUGACGUGAAUCAAAAUUAUUGAAAGUACCUAUUAUUAUUGGAUAACAAAUCUGGUAAGUAGACUUUGUUUCAAUGGAUUGACUUGCUAAAUGUGAGAUAAGUAUCUUAUGUACCAUUUAUAGGGCAUGCGACAUCCCUCUUUUUGUAUAAGUAUCUUGUGUAAAUUUAUAUCUAGUAGAGCAUGAAGCGAUCGAUCUGACAUAGUAACUCGAAAAUUAAAGCGGUACAUCAUUAGUUUCUAGUAAUUUAUGGGACUGUGGAUUAAGUCCAAAAUUGGCGUAGUGGGAGCCUUGUGCAUUGCCUAUUGCGCAGAUAAUGAUUUUAAAAAGAGAAUGACAUACUAUCUACUAGGUCCAUGCAGAAAAAUAUCAAAAGUAAUUUGAAUAUUGAAAAAAUUAACUUAAUUUUCGAAAGAGAGUAAUGGGAGAAUCUUGGAGAAAGGUAUUAUGCAAUUCUUAAAUUUAUUGCAUUAGUGUCAAUUUAAUCAUAAAUUUUUCAAUUAGACCAAUUUAGUUAGCAAUUUCCUACCACAAUUGGUUGGAUGAACUAAAUUGGGAAAUUAUCAAAAAUUUUAUGAUUAAAUUAACUGAAUCAAAAGGUUUAGAACUAAUCUAGCAUAAUUGUAAUAAAUUUUGAUUUUUUUUUUGAUAAAUUUCCUAUAUACUUUCUAUAGGAAAAGACAAAAACAUUUUUAAACAAGCUAUUUGCAUAUCCUCUAACGUUUGGAUAACUCGCUCAGAUUGUCCAUCUAUUUAUAGGUAAAAAGCAAUAAUAAAGUGUAGUUUAGUUCCCACGACUUGUUGAAAUCUACUCCAAAAUUGCAAAGUAAACCUAGCAUAUCAGUCAGAUAGUAUUCUUAUAGGUACGCCAUGCGGCCUCACAAUCUCAUCCGCGUACGACUAAGCAAGUUGCUCAAGAAUCCAAGUAGUUCGAAUUGAUUGGAAGUGUGUUGAUUUUAGCUAUUAACGAGACAACUAUCUAUUCUUGAUUAUCCAUCGAAAGGAAGUAGAUAUGUAUCUAAUUACUUCCUUAGCUUCAUACUUUCCGAGGUAUAGCGCCCCUAAAUACCAUCAAGAAAGAGCACUAAAACAAGGUGGGAAUAAGCGUUCUACCUAGAUUCUGCUCUUACGUAGGCCCCACCUCAUAUGGAAGAAGGGGAACCUCUCCAUUCAAUGGAAGAACCCGUGUGAGUGAGAGGAGCAACGAUCAUUCAUUCAUGGGAUACGUCUUCUUCUGUGAUCCGUUUCACGUGACUCUAGUUAGUUCUCAAAAGGCCUACUUUAUAAAGGGAACUCCUACUCCUUGCUUCCUUCAGCAUGGGAAAAUGCCCGCAUCUAACAAUCUAUCCUUUGAAAGAUAGACAAGAGGGCAUUCUUAGCACCAACCCCUCCCACUUUGACCAUUUGGUGGGAUGCGUUUUCUAGUAAGAAAAGAUCUUGGCAUUUGUUAGUUUCUUGUCUUCAUCCCAUAGAGAAAGACUAAUGCAAAACAUUUGGCGGCUCUUUUUACCAAGCGUGCAUAGUAUCGAGAAAAGUCUGUGUUCGGAUAGCUAUGGAAAUGCUCCCGCAAGACCCUCUUUUCCACUUACUCAUAACUAGGGCUGUUAAAAUGGGUUAGAGAGCCAUAUUUUAACCCACAUUUAUGAAAGUGGUUCAUAUGUGACUCAUCUUAAAAUUAAGAUAUGGACAGAGAUGGGUUUAAAAAUGAAAAAAUCCAAACAAAGUAGGUCUUAUUUGGGUUGGAUAUGGUUUACCGAUGUCCACCCUCUCUCUCCUUUUUCUCCCCUACCCGGAUGAACUCCUCCUCGACAAUGCCUCUCGCGGCAUCAACCCUUUCACCCCGACCACCACCUCCAUCGUUUCCACCUGGCUCCACGGCCAUCCGCCCCGCUGCACGGUCUACAUAUUCCUUCGGCGGCCUAGUCGACCUCGACCCCUCCCAGUUUCUCGAGCUCGCCCUUGGACGUGUAGGUGUUUUGGUGCACGGUGGUGGAGAUGGCGAUGGAGAUGCUGGCGAUGCCCAUAGGCAAGCUCUGCCUCAUCGUCAUCGCCGGGAUCGGGCAAGCAACAAGCUCUCCGACCUAGACGGAGCCGAAGCUCGCCCAGAUCCAGUGAGCCUCGAGCUUGUCGGCCUUGGCUGAGGUCGGGUUCGCCUGGAUCUGGCGAGCCAUGACGGAUUUUGGGCUCACCUGGAUCGGCUGACCCGAUGUUAUUAAAUUUACAUUAUAUGAAAAUGAAUCAAAAUAGGUUAAAUGGGUUAACAUGGGUUUGACCAUUUUUGACCUGACUUACCUAUUUGACAGCUCUAUUCAUAACAGGCUUUCCCUCUGUAUAAGACGUCUCCCAAAAAGCAUAAUUGUGCAAUUUCUUCCUUGAUUUUCAAAGAAGACUAACUCCUACUUCUCUUUCUCUCCUUCGCAGGCGGCCAUUUACCGAUACAGCCAAAAGAUUAGCGCUUCAGAUAAAAAUAUUGAUUUGACUAAAAAAUUACCAAUUACAGGUAAGGUCGCCAAGAAAGCUCCUCUUUUUGGGGGGAUUGAGAGAUAUAGUGUAAAUAUGAUCUUCCAUCCUUAUUUGGAAGGAAGACGUAUAUAGUUUCGAAUCUCUAGAAAGAAGCUAGCUAUCACUCUUUUCCGUUGCCAAUUGAUCAAAAUGAUACCGAACAUCAGCAUUUCGUUUAGAUGAAUAAUUAAAAAGAUGUCCUGAAAUCGCACGGUUAAGGAGUAACUCCCAAGAAUGAAUGGAAGUCCAUUACAUGGAAAUUUGGCUUGCGCUCCACGUUGGAGCGCUGUCCCUUCUCAAAUGGAAAAGAACAAUUUGAGUUUGUCUUCUCUUAGUCACUCGCAGGUCCAACACGUAACUGAUCCCUGCUCAAUUAUCUUAGCAAACAAGUGCUUCAAGCCACCUAAAAUGUUUAUAUAAGGCAAUUAGAAAAGACUGAGAAGGUGAAGUCAUUUCCAAAGAAUUGGAAAUGUAUCUUCCUUAAAAUUCAUUCAGCUUAUCCUAAUACGAUCGCAUCAUGGAGUAAACGUGUCCAUACACUUCAAAUUUGUUCAAUUUACUCUCAUUUGCGUCGAAUGUAUGAUCAAGAUGUCAAAUUGACGAAAUUUUAAAGUAGCUAUUGGGGACAAGAGGCAGCCAUCCCUAAUGCAUUUCUCUAGGUACAGCCACGGUAGUUGUUCCUAAAGGCACGUCAAUGGGCUUCACAAAGCAAUCGCCAUUUCUCUUCGGGAGAAGAUGGGGCGACUCGCAAUGUGUCGUCGCUGAUGAUCAUUAGGAAUGAUUUUGCAUUUUUAACUUUUUAGGGAGGGUUUUGGUCACACCCUUCGUCCAUUCUCAAAUUCCAAUUUUGAUUCUGGAGUGAGAAGAUAGAAGAUGCAUAAUACAAGCCAAGGGGGAAAAUUAUUAAGAAAAAAUCUAAUUCAUUGCAUUUAUAUCAAUUCAAUCCUAAAACCAAUUUAACCCUAAAUAUUUUCACGUUUUGCUAAUUUAGACCGAAAAUCAUUAAUUUGAACGCUAGUCAUCCUAUUAAAAAUCUUUUAGAGUUUUUAUAGUAAUUUUUUAUUUUUUAUUUUCUAUCUUCUUUAUUUAUUUAUUUUGAACUGAGGGCCAACAAAAGUUGCUGGCCGGCCCUAUUGGAAAAGAAAAGAAAAGAAAAGAAGAAAACCAAAAUAACUAUUAAAAAAAUAUAUAAAAGAGAAUGUCCAUGUUGACGUCGACGUCGACGUCGAUUAUAUUAUAUAGGAACGUCGACAUUCACGUCAGUAAUUUUCAGAUUAAAUUAUCCGGAUUAAGUGAAGUGACAAAAUAUGAAAAAAAGAAAAAGUAUAUCACUAAAUUAUCACAAUAAAAAUAUAACUGAAUUAGUAUAAGUAUAAUAGAUUGAAGAAUUUUUUUAGUAAUUUUUCGUAAGACAAGAUUUGGAGAGGUAUCUUUCUCAAUCUGAUGAAGACCACGAGGCUAUCGGCCUCUGUCGUAUUCGUAGAAUAGUAUAAGGAGGAAAAAAGGAUGAUAUUAUUACUAAGGUCCUCCUCGGUCGUGCGAAUCGGAGGAUUCCUCCCGUUUGCUUCCCUCCCUUUCUUGCUCUCCAAGAUCGUAGACCGACAAAGUCUGACGUCUGGUGGGCCCGAGACAGCAGCGUCAUCUGAUGCCACGUCACGUUUCUUCCCCUAAAUUAAUUUCCCAGAUUGUCUUUUCUCUCUCCUCUUUCCCAAGCGUCGACCCUGUUUAGAUAUUCGGGAAUUCGAGAGAAUCAAAUGGUUAAACGAUGUGUUGAGCUCAGAGACAAAUCAAAGAUUACUGCAGUAGACAAGCAGGCAGCAGACUAUGAGGAUGGGAAUCUACGCUCGUCGCUUUCCAAUGCUUAAACAAUGUAUUACUUGUCCAUUCUUGCCCUAAGUCGUCGAGAUUUAGGGGAAAAUACGUAAAGUCUCUUUCCUCUUUUUUUUUUUUCUUUUUUAAUGAUUAGCAAAUUAAUUAUUCUCACCUGAUAUAUUGUAGGGGUGAGCAUGGUCCGGGUUGGUCCAGGCCACCCCCUAACCCUAGGACCAACCCGUACAGUGUCGGUCCUCAAUUUUUAGGACCGAGGACCGACCCUAUUGAGCCUGGGACCAAGGACCGGACCGACCCGAUGGGUUCGGUCCGGGUCCAGGGUCAACCCAGGACCGAUCGAUAAUUUUUUUCGUCUUAUUUUUUAUACUUCCUAAAAAAGUAAACCUACAAAUUCAAAUUACACAUCCAUCAACAAUACGGUAUUGUGCAACUAAACUAUAAAAUAUCAAUACAUAUUUAGCAAAUUUAAGAUGACACAAUAAUAGAAAUUUCAUAUCCGCUAACUGCUCAUCGAGAUAUGGGAUAAGAUGGAAAAUUCUUGUAAUCAUCUAUCUUUAAUAUUUAUAACACCAUAUGCAAAAGCGUUUUUCUGAUCAUGUAGAGUCCACUUAACCAAAAAAUGAGCUUCGCACCACUUGACUAGUAUUUAAUCAUGUAGAGUCUACUCAAACAAAAAAUAAGCUUUACACCACUUGACUAGCAAAUCACCGUAGCAACUGCAGUACUACUCUACUCUUCAAAACUUCUAUCAUUUGACACAAAUUGAAAAGCAAAGUGCAGCUGAAAUUCAUUAGUAAAAUACAAAUUAAUCAUAAAAAGUUCAAAAUACUUAAUAUAAACCAUUAAUAUAUAACUUCACAUCUUGUUAAUUCACUUGAACUUCUAAACACUUGAAAACAAAACAAACGACACAUAAUUAAUACUUAACAAAAGUUUUAAAUUGAAAUUACUAUUAGUGCUAUUGAUAGAACAUCUCAAUAUAUUAUAAUAUAAUAGACAUUUUACUUAGGUUUGAAUAUAUAAAAGAAUUAUAAAUAAUAUAAUAUAAUAUACAGGGUUGGUCCAGGGUUGGACCAACCCAAAACUCUUAGGACCGAGGACCAACCCGCACAGUGUUGGUCCUGGAAUUUCAGGACCAAGGACCGACCCAGUCCCCUUGGGAAUCGGACCAGGACCGGCAGGGUUGGGCCAGUCCAGGGUCGGUCCAGGGUCGACCCUAAACCGCUGCUCACCCCUAAUAUAUUGAAUCACCUGCUCACGAGUCACGUUACGUGAACUCUUUUUGAAAUAUGCAUAUUUGAUUACAUGGUAAAAUAUCAAUGUCAAAAAUAGUAAUUCUGAAUCUUAAUUUACUUCUCUUAUGAAAUUUAUUAAGAUUAUAUGGACAUACGGUCAUCUGUUGAAUCUUCUUCAUUUUAUGUGAUCUUGAGACGUCCUUAAGCAUGUUUAAUGUUGUUUAAAGUUCAAUUUUCAACCAAUUGAUUUCCAAAUUUGUUUAUAUAUAUAUAUAUAUAAAGUGGCAUUAGCUCAUGAUUCGAGGGAUUCCAUCAUCCCUUUGUCUCCAUUUUUUGUGUAGAGUAACGUGUAUUAUAUGUCUUUUCCAUGAGGAUUCAACAAUUAUGAAAGUAGUGCAGUGAUACUUCAGAAUUUCUUGAUAUGCUAUGGCAAGAUGGUUGAUUCGUUAAAUACUACCAAUAUCUAUGUCAGAUUCAAUCUCCCAUUGUCUUGAUCCCAACUUUAUACUACCAUUAGAUUUCAAGACCACACAUUGUCAUUUUGUAAUGUUGGAUAAUAUUAGCAAUAAUAUUAUUACCCACUUAAGCGGAAUUCAAAUAUGAAAAUAAAAUGAAGUAAAAUAAAACGUACGGAAAGGUAUUCCGGUGUAUUGAAGUCUUAGUCGACCACCAUAAUGCGCUCAUAUUAGGAAGACAACUCUCUCCACUCUCCUUAGCAAGCAGAUUGGAACACGCCAUCUUAUUUUAUUCUCGUUUCCUUGACUCCGUUUUUCACUAGGAAGAACUCGCAAACAUAAUUAAUAAAAAUCAUGGGAUGAUCCGAAAAAACCUGUUUGAUGUUAGGACAGUGCUUAGUAUGCUGGUGACGGACCUUGAUGCUCAUCGUUCAUGUGGAUCUAAGUCAAGAUAUGACAAUCAACAACAACAACAAUAAAUAAUAAUAAAAAUAAAUAAAUAAAUAUUGGGUCUUUGAUUAAAGUUUGAAUGACUUGAGUCGGUCUAUUAACAUGAGGAAUUAAGGGUGAUUGAUUUAAAUAAUAUUCUAGUCAGAUUUGAAACUUGGAACUAUUUUAUUAGAAUCUAUUCACAGUUUUUGGAAUCUACAACCUACCAUUGUUUUGGAAUCAACCCUACAACUCAUCAUGUUUUUUGGGUUUGAUUUUAGGGUUUACUUGAGAACCUAUUUUUCUUUUGUUCCUUUUUUGGAUUUCAUUUUUAACACAAAUAAUAUAAGCAACAAAAUGGUUCAAAGUAAAAAAUAAACAAAAGCUAGCAAAUGAAGACAAGUUAGGAACGAGUGAGGGCAGGCCACGAGCGAGCAAGGAGGAGAGUGAGUCACGAGUGAGAGAGGGAAUCGUUAAGUGUUUAAAUUAGGUUUGAGUCGAUAAAGCCAAAAGAGAGAGAGAGAGAGAAAGGUCCCAAGAGAAAAACUAAGGUCUUUAGACUUUAUGAAGUCGCUUCUAAAUCUAGUCUAGUUUCCAAGUGGCUCUUCAAUCAAAAUAGGAAAUCGAAUUGGUUCUAAUGAGAACUCGGAGUUGGAUCAACUUUCAAAGCGAUUUGGUCCAAUUUUUGAGUUAGAUUUGGUUGGGUUGCAUCUCCUAGGAGGAAUCAUGUGGUCCUAGGGGAUAGAGAGAGACUAGGUAAAUCGUUGGUGUUUUGUGCAUGUGUUGCUAAUGAUCGGUGCAUGGUGAAAAGUGAAUAGUUAAGAAUAGGAGAAUGAUAAAAACUCUAAAUAAUACCAAUUGUGACAUAUUUAUCGUAAAUUUUCUUUAUGAUACUAAAAAUCCCAAACUUGUACUCGUAUGACAUAUUUACUUGACCAUGAGCACCGUUAAAAAAUGCUUACAUAGACUCUAGAAAGCAAAUAAUAUUAACAUGGAAACAAAAACAAUGUUAUUUUGAUAACAAAAUAUCAUCGGACGGAAUUUUGACAGAGUGCAAAUGCAUUACGUAAAUAUAAGUUUAAAGUAAAUGUGUAAUAGAAAGCAUAGUAUAUGAUUUUUUAUGUUACAAAAAAAGUUUGAAAUAAAUGUAUUAGGUGAACAUAACUUGAAGUUUUUUUGUAACCUUUUUUUGUUACAUGAAAUUGAUAUAAUAAGUAAUAUAAUGGAUCAUAAUUGCCCAUUUUAACAGGUAAUCAUAUUUAAAUGCAAUGAAAAUCCAUUAUGUUUCUUUGCACACCGAUGUCGUAGCUUUUAUCAGCAGAUGGUGCUGUCCUUCGCGCUUUCCUUUUGUCUCCGCCCGUGUCAAUUAUUGUAGAAUGUCGACGUGCAUUAUUGGUAAAUUUUUAGAAAUUCAAAAAACACAAAAGAAUUCAAGCGAACGGAGGAAUGCCUGGAUUCUUUUGUUCCUCUCGUUUCUUUCUUGAGGCCGAACAGUGAUAGAUGAAAUAUGAGAAUGAGCGAUUGAGGGCGUUGAUCAACUUCGCGAGACAUGAGAUUACACUAUACACGAUUGCAACUCAUUCAGUUAAAUAUUUGCCUAAAAUUGAGUUGCACUUAAAUUAACAUAUGCACGUGCAACAUUUCAAUCGAAAUUGGCCUUCAUAGAUAUACGACCUCAAGUAAGACUAUAUUCAUAAUGCAUCCCAUAAUAAUGAUUGAUAGAUUCAUUAAAUAGAUGGAUCAAGUCGAAAAUAGUCAAAUGCAAUUUGAUUACGAAUUUGAUAACUCAUACCCAAAUUGUCCCAAUUCCUUUUAACUCAAUUUAGGAUAAUUGAUAUUCAAAUUGAGGCGAAAAUAUAAAGUGAACGAAUGCGAGAUCAAACGAGAAUGAGAGAAUCUUUAUAUUAUUUUGAAAUUUAUUAUUUUAAAUUUAUAAGUAAUUUACCGAAUAUAACUAAUUUAUAUAAUUACUCAAUUAAUAUAUUUAUGUCAGAUCACAAUCGCGGGGUCUCUUCUCCAUAAGUUGACCGCCUCGCGAGCGGCCCUCACAAAACGACAACUCCUCCGCCGGCUUGCGAAGCUCGCGGGAUCAUUCCAUAUAAUGCAAGCGCAAGAGCACCGCACCACCACAGGCUCACGAGAAAAACGAAAGGACGCUCUUGUCCUUCUUCGUCUCCUCCACCGCCACCGCCAUCAUCGACCUCUCAAGGUCGACGGGGGCCGCGGGGGCGGGCAAGGGGAAAGAGGCGAGCAUGGAGAACGGGGCGCCGGCCUGGAAGUUCCGGGGCAAAGAGGGCCUCUCGGCCGCGUCGGCCAUCACCGUCCGCGGCAUCCUCUUCGAGCUGAUGGCGAAUCUCAACGCCGACGACGGCCGCACCAUGGUCCCGCUCGGCCACGGCGACCCUUCCUCCUUCCCUUGCUUCCGCACGGCCCCCGCCGCCGAGGACGCCGUCGUCGACGCUGUCCGCUCCGGCAAGUUCAACUGCUACGGCCCGACCGUCGGUAUUCUUCCCGCCAGGAGGUAAGAAGGCGGUGUCGCUUGAGAUUAUCAGGAUAAGAUUUCUCGUUUAUGUUCGCGACCCUUUUUGGCUUGAAUCAAAAGGGAAAUAGGGAAAAAAUGAGGAGAGUCUCGAGGUCUUUAUGUUUCGUGAAAGAUGGAUGGUUUGGAAAUCGUCUUCCAUAGCUUAUAUGGUAUUUAAAACUGAAUGGCCAAAAGAUAUUUUCAUUUUUCACGAAUAUGGUAUAUUACCGCUGCUAAUGAAAAAAUAUUCUCUAUUAAUUCAUUAUUUUAAAUGAUAUAAGUAAUCACUUUUAGAAAAAUACUUUUGAAAUCAUUUAUUUUCACAGCUUGAGCUUUAGAUUAGUUAUCUGUCUUGUGAAAUCUUGAGACGAGCAGAUGAUAUGCUCUGUCUAAGCUUGGUGAUAGCAUGGAUCGACUCGUGCUUCUUAUGGUCUGGACUGUUUGUUUAGCUGCGCAGCCAUAUUACCUAAGCAAGUUAUUUCGCAUCCUCAAUCUUCCUAGUACCUAUGAGUCGAUUGUUGAUGCGUUUAAGGUACUGACGGAAUCAUGUACUCACAAAUUGCCAGGAUUUACGUUCAUGUGGUCAUACGAGAUUUAAGAAAUCGUAUAGUUAAAUAGUCAAUGAUUGAGAGGCUGAUGAGUGGCUAGUUUGGAAGGUGACUCAAUUGAGGUUUAUGGACCUUAUUGCGUGUUCUGUUUCCUUCGCAACGACUGCAGGGGGUCGAAUGCAAAAUGCCUAGUUCUGGCAGUUGUUUUGCUUCAAUUGUACAAACCAUUUUGGUUUGUUCAUGGUUGUAUCUUAACAGCAGAGUAGCUGUUAUUGCCGAUCAAUAUCAACUGUCUCGUCAAUCAACUCGAAUCAUCAUAUUGCUAGUAAAGACAGUGUAUUGAAAACAGAGAGUAAAUGAUGAAACCAAGCUUUAUUAGUGACUAUAGGAAGUAGUCAUUGUUAAUUGUUUGGAUAAUGAUUGAAUUUUAUGGAAAGGCCGCUAUGAAUGUGUUGAUCUAGGUGCUUUCUGUAGGUUGAAUAGCAAUUUAUUUCCAGACGACAUGUUUGAGUGAGCUAGACUAAUUGGGGGCACCAAAUUCUACAGGGCUAUUGCUGAUUAUCUCUCUUGUGAUCUCCCGUACAAAUUAUCACCAGAUGACGUUAAUCUGACACUCGGGUGCACACAAGCAAUUGAAGCCAUAUUAACAGUUCUUGCUUGCCCUGGGGCCAAUAUAUUGCUUCCAAGACCUGGAUUCCCAUACUAUGAUGCACGUGCUAAACACAGCCAUCUUGAGAUACGGUAUUUUGAUCUUCUUCCAGAUAAGGGUUGGGAGGUUGAUCUCAAGGGUGUUGAGGAUCUUGCAGACGAGAGUACUGUCGCCAUGGUGAUCAUCAAUCCUGGAAAUCCUUGUGGAAGUGUCUAUAGCUACCAGCAUCUAAAGAAGGUUGCUUUUGCAUUUUGUUUGAGAUUUCUUCAUAUCUUAGCAAGUAGAUGAAUUGUGAACAUGGAAAAAUCUAUGAUUAUAAGCUGGAAUGGAGCUAAUAGAUUCUGAUGGAGCUUAAUCUAGAGAGCUACCUUGCCUCUUGAGAUGCUCGUUUAUCUCAAGGCAGUGGAAGCUCGAUAGAUUUGUUGCCAGUCACUUUUAUAAUCUUUGGUAUCCGCAUUUGUGUUGCUUCAGCUGUUGUUCAUCAUUUUCUUUCUUUCAUUUUUGAAAAAGGUUGCCGAAACAGCAAGGAAGCUUGGGAUUAUGGUAAUUGCAGAUGAAGUCUAUGGUCAUCUAGCUUUUGGGGAUACACCAUUUGUUCCCAUGGGUGUUUUUGGAUCCAUCGCACCUGUCUUGACGUUGGGAUCAAUAUCAAAGAGGUGGAUUGUUCCAGGUUGGCGACUUGGUUGGCUUGUGACAAAUGAUCCAAAUGGUUUUCUGAAAGACACUGGGGUCUCUCUCUCUCUUUCUCUCUCUCUCUCUCUCUCUCUCUCUCUCUCUCUCUCUCUCUCUCUCUCUCUCUCUCUCUCUCUCUCUCUCUCUCUCUCUCUCUCUGUGUGGACGCAUGAGCGCAAACGCGAUCGCUUGCUUGAUUGUAUAUCUAUUUGGGCCAAAUUAUUUGACUACUAGGGUUUGUCACAGGAUACUUAGGUUGCUCCUUUUCUCUUUACAGGUUCUUAAGUCCCUUAAAGGAUUUCUGGAUAUAUCCUCUGAUCCUCCAACGUUUAUCCAGGUAUGUAACUACUCCAGAUAAUUAACCAGUGACUUUCAGAUUUGAAGACGUGGUGUUUUUCAAAAUGAUUUAUUUGGUAGGCUUGUCUGCACUAUUUUUGUAUCACUACCAGAGUUGUGGAUAUUCUUGGCUAUUCAUUCAGGAAAUGACAAAUUAAUGAGAGCUUUUUCUCUUGAAGAUGGAUAAUUAAAACAAUGGAUGCUGCAUAGCAAUGUAGAGUUGCACCCAAGCAGAACCCCAAUGAUUUACGUGUUUCCUCUCUCACCUGGUUUAUGUUUUUUUUCUCUGUGAUUUUAGACUGUAAUGCACAAGCUGUGCAUAUUGCUUUUAGAAGUGAUCAAUAUUCUGUCUCAGUCAUUGGGCUUGAUUUAUCUGAACUCACUUUCACUUGAUAAAGUAUUGUUCUUCAUUUAAUCCUUGCAAGAGUGCUUGCUACCUUUUAUUUGUGGACAACUAGCAUCCUUAUCAAAUAACAGCUAAUUAUUUUCUGCUCUUCGUUGUGAUUCCAACAGGCAGCGGUCCCUCACAUUCUUGAGAAAACAAAUGAUGAUUUUUUUUCAAAAAUCAUUUGCAUACUAAGAGAGGCUGCAGAUAUAUGUUAUGAGAAGAUUCAAGAGAUACCUUGCAUCACAUGCCCAAAAAAGCCACAAGGAGGCAUGUUUGUAAUGGUAUGGGCAUACUAUACACAUACGUACAGUAUGUAUGCAUGUAUUUUUAUUUUUUCAUCGGUAUAGUGUACACUGUUAUGCAAUUUAUUUUUUUCUCGAUAAGUGAAAGAUGUCAUUGUGACAGGUCAAGUUGAAUUUAUCAUUGUUGGAGGGCAUAAAGGAUGAUCAGGAGUUCUGCUUAAAACUGGCUAAAGAAGAAUCUGUUAUUGUUCUGCCUGGUAAACUCAGCCUCUCCAAUUGCUGGUGAAAGGAAAAUAUAUUGAUGUUACUUUUUAUGCAUCUGUUUCAUUUUUCUAACUUAUUUCAGCUUUUUGAAUUUUUCAAACGCGUCUUCUGACUUUUGUUUCUUGAAAUGCACAUUGGUUAAGAAUGCUAUAAGGGGCUUCAGAGUGAGAGUCCCGAUGGCCAACUUACUUCACAGUUUUCGAAGGAUCAUAAAAUUUUGGAGAAAUAGAAGGGAUCCUAGUGAUUUCAUUUGAAUUUACUCGUGGAACUCUUGCAAGCCAAUGCUCAGAUAAUUCCGGAGCAAUCCCAUCCCAUUUUCGCCACUUGCUUCUUACUUGUGCAAUGUCCGUAUCCAUCAGAUAAUAAUCAAUGACAUUCGUUUUUGCAGGGAUAGCUGUUGGAAUGAAGAACUGGCUUCGCAUCACUUUCGCCAUCGAUAUAUCUUCUCUCGAAGAUGGCCUGGAGAGGAUUAAGGCCUUCUAUGGAAGGCAUGCCAAAAAAUAAAUGAGCCGGUCCAUGCCGGUGCCACAAAGGGCUGAGAUCAUCAACUGCUCGUUGGAUCUCGAGAUGCCUCUGUGGCCACGUCGGAGACCAUUGCAAUGUGUGAAACAAGAUUAGUAAAUCCAUAAGAAAGCUAAUUAUCCGGGCAUUUGCCCGGAAGCAGGGGAUGGAGGAGGAAGAAAUCAACCUGACUGUUGAUUCGAUCCGAAACUUCCGUAGCAUUAGCUUUGGCUUGAAUAAAAAACUUAGAUUAAGGGCUUGUUAUUUUGCUGCUCGUGCCCGGAAGCAGGGGAUUGAGGAGGAGGAAAUUAACCUGACUGUUGAUUCGAUCUGAAACCUCCGUAGCAUUAGCUUUGGCUUGAAUAAAAAACUUCGAUUAACGGCUUCUUAUUUU